GCCCUCGGCGGCGCCCUCGAAGUACCCGAUCCUCCUCACGGCAUCCUCCUCGCCGGACGAGCUGGUGGCCGCGUCGUCAUCGGAGCUCUCGUCGUCGUCCUCGCCGUCGCCGUCGGAGUCGGACUCGUCGUCCCCGGAGGAGUAGUAGGUGGAGAUGUGCGAGGAGAUGACCUCCUUCCCGCGGGAGCGGAGGCGGAGGAUGAGCACCUGCAGCCUGCCGAGCAGGCUGGGCAGCGUCGCGAGCGCCGCCAGCGCCACGGCCAGCGGCGCCCACAUCUCCGCCAGCAGCGCCGCGAGGCUCGGCCCCCGGAACCGCCCNNNNNNNNNNNNNNNNNNNNNNNNNNNNNNNNNNNNNNNNNNNNNNNNNNNNNNNNNNNNNNNNNNNNNNNNNNNNNNNNNNNNNNNNNNNNNNNNNNNNGAAGGGGUUCCGGGAUUUCACGSGGGGGGGGGGGCAACCCACCCCGGGGAAGCCCAUAGGCCUUGAGGGUGGCACACCAGCCCUUAGUGGUCUGGUGGGACAGCCCAAAAGGGCCCUAUGUGCAUUGGAAGAAAAAUCAAAGGGAAAAAAAGGAGGAGGUGGGAAAGGAAAGAAGGACUCCACCCACCAAACCAAGUAGGACUCGGUUUGGGGGGGAGUCCUUCCCCCCUUUGGCUCGGCCGACCCCCUUGGGGCUCCUUGAGCCCCAAGGCAAGGUCCCCUCUCUCACACCUAUAUAUACGGAGGUUUUAGGGCUGAUUUGAGACGACUUUUCCACGGCAGCCCGACCACAUACCUCCACGGGUUUUCCUCUAGAUCGCGUUUCUGCGGAGCUCGGGCAGAGCCCUGCUGAGACGAGAUCAUCACCAACCUCCGGAGUACCGUCACGCUGCCGGAGAACUCUUCUACCUCUCCGUCUCUCUUGCUGGAUCAAGAAGGCCGAGAUCAUCGUCGAGCUGUACGUGUGCUGAACGCGGAGGUGCCGUCCGUUCGGUACUAGAUCGUGGGACUGAUCGCAGGAUUGUUCGCGGGGCAGAUCGAGGGACGUGAGGACGUUCCACUACAUCAACCGCGUUCACUAACGCUUCUGCUGUAUGGUCUACAAGGGUACGUAGAUCACUCAUCCCCUCUCGUAGAUGGACAUCACCAUGAUAGGUCUUCGUGCGCGUAGGAAAUUUUUUGUUUCCCAUGCGACGUUCCCCAACAGUGGUAUCAGAGCUAGGUUCAUGCUAGAUGUCUUCUCGAGUAGAACACAAAAGUUUUUGUGGGCGGUGAUGUGCGUUUUGCUGCCCUCCUUAGUAUUUUCUUGAUUCCGCGGUAUUGUUGGAUUGAAGCGGCUUGGACCGGCAUUACUCGUACGCUUACGAGAGACUGGUUUCAUCGCUACGAGUAACCCCGUUGCUCAAAGAUGACUGGCAAGUGUCGGUUUCUCCAACUUUAGUUGAAUCGGAUUUGACCGAGGAGGUCCUUGGAUGAGGUUAAAUAGCAACUCAUAUAUCUCCGUUGUGGUGUUUGCGUAAGUAAGAUGCGAUCCUACUAGAUACCCAAGGUCACCACAUAAAACAUGCAACAACAAAAUUAGAGCACGUCUCACUUGUUUUUGCAGGGUAUGCUUGUGAUGUGAUAUGGCCAACAAUGUGAUGUGAUAUAUUGGAUGUAUGAGAUGAUCAUGUUGUAAUAGAUAAUAUCGACUUGCACGUCGAUGGUACGGCAACCGGCAGGAGCCAUAGGGUUGUCUUUAUACUAAUGUUUGUGCUUGCAGAUGCGUUUACUAUUUUGCUAGGAUGUAGCUUUAGUAGUAAUAGCUUGAGUAGCACGACAACCCCGAUGGCGACACGUUGAUGGAGAUCAUGGUGUGGCGCCGGUGACAAGAAGAUCGUACCGGUGCUUUGGUGAUGGAGAUCAAGGAGCACGUGAUGAUGGCCAUAUCAUGUCACCUAUGAAUUGCAUGUGAUGUUAAUCCUUUUAUGCACCUUAUUUUGCUUAGAACGACGGUAGCAUUAUGAGGUGAUCUAUCACUAAAAUUUCAAGAUGAAAUUGUGUUCUCCCCGACUGUGCACCGUUGCUACAGUUCGUCGUUUCGAGACACCACGUGAUGAUCGGGUGUGAUAGACUCAACGUUCACAUACAACGGGUGCAAAACAGUUGCGCACGCGGAACACUCGGGUUAAACUUGACGAGCCUAGCAUGUGCAGACAUGGCCUCGGAACACAUGAGACCGAAAGGUCGAUCAUGAAUCAUAUAGAUGAUAUGAUUAGCAUAGGGAUGCUUACCACUGAAACUAUACUCAACUCACGUGAUGAUCGGACUUGAGCUAGUGUAAGUGGAUCAUGAACCACUGAAAUGACUAGAGAGAUGUACUUUUUGAGUGGGAGUUUAGCGAAUAAUUUGAUUAAGUUAAACUCUAAUUAUAUUGAACAUAGUCUAAGUCCACUUUGAAUAUAUUUGUGUUGUAGAUCAUGGCUCACGCGACAGUCACCCUGAAUUUUAAUACGUUCCUAGAGAAAGCUAAGUUGAAAGAUGAUGGAAGCAACUUUGUAGACUGGGCUCGUAAUCUUAAGCUAAUCUUACAAGCUGGGAAGAAGGAUUAUGUCCUUAAUGCUGCGCUAGGAGAUGAACCACCCGCUACGGCUGAUCAGGAUGUUAAGAACGCUUGGUUAGCACGUAAGGAGGACUACUCAGUAGUUCAAUGUGCAGUCUUGUAUGGCUUAGAACCGGGACUCCAACGUCGCUUUGAGCGUCAUGGAGCAUUUGAGAUGUUCCAGGAGUUGAAGUUUAUCUUUCAGAAGAACGCCCGGAUCGAGAGGUAUGAGACCUCCGAUAAAUUCUAUGCUUGCAAGAUGGAGGAGAACUCGUGUGUUAGUGAACAUGUGCUCAAAAUGUCUGGGUACUCAAACCGUCUAGCUGAGCUGGGGAUUGAACUCCCGCAAGAGGCUAUCACUGACAGAAUCCUUCAAUCACUGCCGCCAAGCUAUAAAGGCUUUGUGUUGAACUACAACAUGCAAGGGAUGAACAAGUCUCCCGGCGAGUUGUUUGCGAUGCUGAAAGUCGCAGAGUCUGAACUCCGUAAAGAGCACCUAGUGUUGAUGGUGAAUAAGACCACUAGUUUCAAGAGAAACGGCAAAGGCAAGAAGGGUAAUUCAAAGAAGAGCGGCAAGCCUGUUGCCAAUCUGACGAAGAAACCCAAAGCUGGACCUAAGCCUGAAACAGAGUGUUACUAUUGCAAGGGUAUGGGUCACUGGAAGUGCAAUUGCCCCAAGUAUCUGGCAGAUAAGAAGGCGGCCGAAGAAAAAUCAGGUAUAUUUGAUAUACAUGUUGUUGAUGUGUACUUAACCGACUCUCGUAGUAGUGCCUGGGUAUUCGAUACCGGUUCUGUUGCUCAUAUUUGCAACUCGAAACAGGAACUGCGGAAUAGACGAAGGCUGGAGAAAGAUGAAGUGACGAUGCGCGUAGGAAAUGGUUCCAAGGUUGAUGCAAUCGCCGUCGGCACAACUUCACUUCAGUUACCAUCAGGAUUAGUUAUGAACUUGAAUCAUUGUUAUUUAGUGCCUGCGUUGAGCAUGAACAUUAUAUCUGGAUCUUGUUUAUUGCGAGAUGGUUACUCUUUUAAGUCAGAGAAUAAUGGUUGUUCUAUUUCUAUGAGUAACAUCUUUUAUGGUCAUGCACCCAAUGUGAGAGGAUUGUUCAUAUUGAAUCUUGAUGGCGAUACACACAUACAUAAGAAUGAGACCAAAAGAGUUAGAGUUAACAAUGAUAGCGCCAUGUUUUUGUGGCACUGCCGCUUAGGUCAUAUUGGUGUAAAGCGCAUGAAGAAACUCCAUGCCGAUGGACUUUUGGAGUCACUUGACUUUGAUUCACUUGACACGUGCGAACCAUGCCUCAUGGGCAAGAUGACUAAGACUCCGUUCUCCGGAACAAUGGAGCGUGCAAGUGACUUGUUGGAAAUCAUACAUACCGAUGUGUGUGGUCCGAUGAGCGUAGAGGCACGCGGCGGAUAUCGUUAUUUUCUCACCUUCACUGACGAUUUGAGUAGAUAUGGUUAUGUCUACUUAAUGAAGCACAAGUCUGAAACAUUUGAAAAGUUCAAGCAAUUUCAGAGUGAAGUUGAAAAUCAUCGCAACAAUAAGAUCAAGUUCCCACGGUCUGAUCGUGGGGGUGAAUAUCUGAGUUUCGAGUUUGGUGCUCACUUAAGACAAUGUGGAAUUGUUUCACAGUUGACACCGCUUGGAACACCACAGCGUAAUGGUGUGUCCGAACGUCGUAAUCGUACUUUAUUAGAGAUGGUGCGAUAUAUGAUGUCUCUUACCGAUUUGCCAUUAUCGUUUUGGGGUUAUGCAUUAGAAACAACUGCAUUCACUUUAAAUAGGGCACCAUCAAAUUCCGUUGAGACGACACCAUACGAACUUGUUGGGGAACGUCGCAUGGGAAACAAAAAAUUUCCUACGCGCACGAAGACCUAUCAUGGUGAUGUCCAUCUACGAGAGGGGAUGAGUGAUCUACGUACCCUUGUAGACCGUACAGCAGAAGCGUUAGAGAACGCGGUUGAUGUAGUCGAAUGUCCUCACGUCCCUCGAUCCGCCCCGCGAACAAUCCCGCGAUCAGUCCCACGAUCUAGUACCGAACGGACGGCACCUCCGCGUUCAGCACACGUACAGCUCGACGAUGAUCUCGGCCUUCUUGAUCCAGCAAGAGAGACGGAGAGGUAGAAGAGUUCUCCGGCAGCGUGACGGCGCUCCGGAGGUUGGUGAUGACCUUGUCUGAGCAGGGCUCCGCCCGAGCUCCGCAGAAACGCGAUCUAGAGGAAAAACCGUGGAGGUAUGUGGUCGGGCUGCCGUGGAAAAAUCGUCUCAAAUCAGCCCUAAAACCUCCGUAUAUAUAGGUGGGAGGGAGGGGGCCUUGCCUUGGGGCUCAAGGAGCCCCAAGGGGGUCGGCCGAGUCCAAGGGGGAGGACUCUCCCCCCCAAACCGAGUUGGACUAGGUUUGGUGGGAGGGAGUCCCCCUACCUUCCCACCUCCUCCUUUUUUUUUCUUUCUCUCUUGAUUUUCUUCUCCUUGGCGCAUAGGGCACUUGUGGGCUGUCCCACCAGCCCACUAAGGGCUGGUGUGUCUCCCCCAAGGCCUAUGGGCUUCCCCGAGGUGGGUUGCCCCCCCGGUAAACUCCCGGAACCCAUUCGUCAUUCCCGGUACAUUCCCGGUAACUCCGAAAACCUUCCGGUAAUCAAAUGAGGUCAUCCUAUAUAUCAAUCUUCGUUUCCGGACCAUUCCAAAAACCCUCGUGACGUCCGUGAUCUCAUCCGGGACUCCGAACAACAUUCGGUAACCAACCAUAUAACUCAAAUAUGCAUAAAACAACGUCGAACCUUAAGUGUGCAGACCCUGCGGGUUCGAGAACUAUGUAGACAUGACCCGAGAGACUCCUCGGUCAAUAUCCAAUAGCGGGACCUGGAUGCCCAUAUUGGAUCCUACAUAUUCUACGAAGAUCUUAUCGUUUGAACCUCAGUGCCAAGGAUUCGUAUAAUCCCGUAUGUCAUUCCCUUUGUCCUUCGGUAUGUUACUUGCCCGAGAUUCGAUCGUCAGUAUCCGCAUACCUAUUUCAAUCUCGUUUACCGGCAAGUCUCUUUACUCGUUCCGUAAUACAAGAUCCCGCAACUUACACUAAGUUACAUUGCUUGCAAGGCUUGUGUGUGAUGUUGUAUUACCGAGUGGGCCCCGAGAUACCUCUCCGUCACACGGAGUGACAAAUCCCAGUCUUGAUCCAUACUAACUCAACUAACACCUUCGGGGAUACCUGUAGAGCAUCUUUAUAGUCACCCAGUUACGUUGCGACGUUUGAUACACACAAAGCAUUCCUCCGGUGUCAGUGAGUUAUAUGAUCUCAUGGUCAUAGGAAUAAAUACUUGACACGCAGAAAACAGUAGCAACAAAAUGACACGAUCAACGUGCUACGUCUAUUAGUUUGGGUCUAGUCCAUCACGUGAUUCUCCCAAUGACGUGAUCCAGUUAUCAAGCAACAACACCUUGUUCAUAAUCAGAAGACACUGACUAUCAUCGAUCAACUGGCUAGCCAACUAGAGGCAUGCUAGGGACGGUGUUUUGUCUAUGUAUCCACACAUGUAAAUGAGUCUUCAUUCAAUACAAUUAUAGCAUGGAUAAUAAACUAUUAUCUUGAUACAGGAAUUAUAAUAAUAACUAUAUUUAUUAUUGCCUCUAGGGAAAAAUUCCAACAGAACUGUGGUAUGGCAAAAGGCCAAAGUUGUCGUUUCUUAAAGUUUGGGGAUGUGAUGCUUAUGUCAAAAAGCUUCAGCCUGAAAAGCUGGAACCCAAAGCGGAAAGGUGCAUCUUCAUAGGUUACCCAAAAGAGACAGUUGGGUACACCUUCGAUCUCAAAUCCGAGGGCAAAGUGUUUGUUGCUAAAAAUGGAGCUUUUCUCGCGAAGGAGUUUCUCUCGAGAGAAUUGAGUGGGAGGAAGAUAUAACUUGACGAGGUUGUCGAACCUCUCAUCCCUCUGGAUGGUGGCGCAGGGCAAGGGGAAACCUCUAUCGUUGCGACGCCGGUUGAGGAGGAAGUUAAUGAUGAUGAUCAUGAAACUCCGGUUCAAGUUUCUGUCGAACCACGCAGGUCGACGAGACCACGUGCUGCUCUAGAGUGGUACGGUAAUCCUGUCUUAUCAAUCAUGUUGUUGGACAACAAUGAACCUACAAAUUAUGAAGAAGCAAUGGUGGGCCCAGAUUCCAACAAAUGGCUCGAGGCCAUGAAGUCCGAGAUAGGAUCCAUGUAUGAAAACAAAGUGUGGACUUUGGAAGUACUACCUGAGGGCCGCAAGGCUAUUCAGAACAAGUGGAUCAUUAAGAAGAAGACGGACGCUGACGGAAAUGUGACCGUUUAUAAAGCUCGACUUGUGGCAAAAGGUUUUUCACAAGUUCAAGGAGUUGACUACGAUGAGACAUUCUCACCCGUAGCGAUGCUUAAGUCCGUCAGAAUCAUGUUAGCAAUAGCUGCAUUUUUCGAUUAUGAAAUCUGGGAGAUGGAUGUCAAAACGGCAUUCCUUAACGGUUUCCUUAAGGAAGAGUUGUAUAUGAUGCAACCCGAAGGUUUUGUCGAUCCUAAGAAUGCUAACAAGGUGUGCAAGCUCCAGCGAUCCAUUUAUGGACAGGUGCAAGCAUCUCGGAGUUGGAACAAACGCUUUGAUGAGGUGAUCAAAGCAUUUGGGUUUAUACAAGUGGUUGGAGAAUCUUGUAUUUACAAGAAAGUGAGUGGGAGCUCUGUGGCGUUUCUAAUAUUAUAUGUAGAUGACAUAUUGCUGAUUGGAAACAAUGUAGAGUUUUUGGAAAGCAUAAAGGAUUACUUGAAUAAAAGUUUCUCUAUGAAGGACCUAGGAGAAGCUGCUUACAUUCUAGGCAUUAAGAUCUACAGGGAUAGAUCGAAACUCCUAAUAGGACUUUCACAAAGCACAUACCUUGAUAAAGUUUUGAAAAGGUUCAAAAUGGAACAGUCCAAGAAAGGGUUCUUGCCAGUUUUACAAGGUACGAGAUUGAGUAAGACUCAGUGCCCAGCAACUGAUAAAGAUAGAGAGCAUAUGAGCACCGUCCCCUAUGCUUCAGCCAUAGGAUCUAUCAUGUAUGCAAUGUUGUGCACUAGACCGGACGUUAGCCUGGCCAUAAGUAUGGCAGGCAGGUUCCAGAGUAAUCCAGGAGUGGAUCACUAGACGGCGGUCAAGAAUAUCCUGAAGUACCUGAAAAGGACUAAGGAGAUGUUUCUCGUGUAUGGAGGUGACGAAGAGCUCGCCGUAAAAGGUUACGUCGAUGCAAGCUUUGACACAGAUCCGGACGACUCUAAGUCGCAAACCGGAUACGUAUUUAUUCUUAAUGGGGGUGCGGUAAGCUGGUGCAGUUCCAAGCAAAGCGUCGUAGCAGAUUCUACAUGUGAAGCGGAGUACGUGGCUGCCUCAGAGGCGGCUAAGGAGGGUGUCUGGAUGAAGCAGUUCAUGACGGAUCUUGGAGUGGUGCCAAGCGCACUGAAUCCAAUAACCUUGUUCUGUGACAACACGGGUGCCAUUGCCUUAGCAAAGGAACCACGGUUUCACAAGAAGCCCAGACACAUCAAACGACGCUUCAACCUCAUCCGCGACUACGUCGAAGGGGAGGACGUAAAUAUAUGCAAAGUACACACGGAUCUGAAUGUAGCAGAACCGCUGACUAAACCUCUUCCACGGCCAAAGCAUGAUCAACACCAGAACUGUAUGGGUGUUAGAUUUAUUACAAUGUAAUUUGCAUGAUGAUGUGAGGGCUAGAUUAUUGACUCUAGUGCAAGUGGGAGACNNNNNNNNNNNNNNNNNNNNNNNNNNNNNNNNNNNNNNNNNNNNNNNNNNNNNNNNNNNNNNNNNNNNNNNNNNNNNNNNNNNNNNNNNNNNNNNNNNNNUUAUGGGAAGUGAUGGAUUCACAUAUAAAAAUAAUGAUGAUUGAAACUUGUUGAGGGUAGACAAACAUAGACCUUGGUCAUUGUUGCAAUUAAUAGGAAGUGAUGAAGAAGGAGAGGUUCACAUAUAAAUAUAUCAUCUUUGACACCAUCUAUGAUUAUGAACACUCACUAAACUAUUGCAUGCUUAGAAGUAGAUGUUAGACAAGGAAGACAACAUAAUGAAUUAUGCUUGCUUGGUUUUGAAAAUGAUUAUAUGACUAGAGAUCCCUUAGCAUGUGACGAUUGCUUCCACCUCAUAUCAGCCAAAACUCCGCACUAAGUAGAGAUACUACUUGUGCAUGCACAAACCUUCAACCCCAGUUUUGCCAUGAGAGUCCACCAUACCUACCUAUGGAUUGAAUAAGAUCCCUCAAGUAAGUUGUCAUCGGUGCAAGCAAUAAAAAUUGCUCCCUAAUAUGUAUGAUCUAUUAGUUUGUGGAAAAUAAGCUUUGUAAGAACCUGUGAUGAGGAAGACAUAAAAGCGACAGACUGCAUAAUAAAGUUCUUUGUCACAGGAGGCAAUAUAAAGUGACGUUCCUCCACGCUAAGAGGACACACAUCCAAACCUCAAAAGCGCAUGACAACCUCUGCUUCCCUCUGCGAAGGGCCUAUCUUUUACCUUUACUUUUUGCCCCUAAAAGAGUCAUGGUGAUCUUCACUAAUUCCUUAUUUUGCCUUUAUCUUGGCUAACGUCAUAUGCUAGGGAAAGAUCUAUAUUCAUAUGUCAACUUGGAAGUAAGUAUUCAUGAAUUAUUAUUGUUGACAUUACCCUUGAGGUAAACAGUUGGGAGGCGAAACUAUAAGCCCCUAUCUUUCUCUGUGUCCGACUAAAACUUUGAUCUCAUGAGUACCACGUGAGUUGUAGCAAUUGUAGAAGACGAAAGGAUGAUUGAGUAGGUGGAUUUGAUUUACAAGCUCUUACUUGACUCUUUCCGAUGUUACGAUAAAUUGCAAUUGCUUCAAUGACUAAAGGCUAUUGGUUGUUAAUUCUCAGUAAGGUUCUUGAUUCAUACUUUACUUUGUGAAGGAAUUGUCACUUUAGCAUGAGAAAUUAUAUGAUGUUAUUGCUGUUCUGACCAUGAUAAUGAUGCCUGCAUAUCUGUAUCUUGUUUUGUCGACACCUCUCUCUCUAAACAUGUGGCAUAUUUAUUGAUCUCGGCCUUCGCUUGAGGACAAGCGAGGUCUAAGCUUGGGGGAGUUGAUACGUCCAUUUUGCGUCAUGCUUUCAUGUUGAUAUUUAUCGCUUUAUGGGCUGUUAUUACACUUCACGGUACAAUACUUAUGCCUUUUCUCUCUUAUUUUGCAAGGUUUACAUGAAGAGGGAGAAUGCCGAGAGCUGGAAUUCUGGCCUGAAAAAGGAGCAAGUUUGAGAUACCUAUUCCGCGCAACUCCAAAAGCCGUGAAAAUCAACGAGGAUUUAUUUUGGAAUUUAUAAAAAAUACUGGGCCAAAGAUGUUGGGGAACGUCGCAUGGGAAACAAAAAUUUUCCUACGCGCACGAAGACCUAUCAUGGUGAUGUCCAUCUACGAGAGGGGAUUUCUGAUCUACGUACCCUUGUAGAUCGCACAGCAGAAGCGUUAGUGAACGCGGUUGAUGUAGUGGAACGUCCUCACGUCCCUCGAUCCGCCCCGCGAACCGUCCCACGAACCGUCCCGCGACCCGUCCCACGAUCUAGUGCCGAACGGACGGCACCUCCGCGUUCAGCACACGUACAGCUCAACGAUGAUCUCAGCCUUCUUGAUCCAGCAAGAGAGACGGAGAGGUAGAUGAGUUCUCCGGCAGCGUGACGGCGCUCCGGAGGUUGGUGGUGAUCUAAUCUCAGCAGGGCUCCGCCCGAGCUCCGCAGAAACGCGAUCUAGAGGUAAAACCGUGGAGGUAUGUGGUCGGGCUGCCUUGAAAAAGUUGUCUCAAAUCAGCCCUAAUAGCUCCAUAUAUAUAGGAGGAGGGAGGGGAGGUUUUCCUUGAGGCUCAAGGAGCCCCAAGGGCUGCGCACCAAGGGGAGGAGGAGUCCUCCUCCAAUCCUAGUCCAACUAGGAUUGGAAGGUGGAGUCCUUCUCUCCCUUCCCACCUCCUUUUUUCUCUUUGAUUUUCUAUCUAUGGCGCAUAGCGCCUUCUUGGGCUGUCCCACUAGUCCACCAAGGGCUGGUGCGCCACCCCCAAGGCCUAUGGGCUCCCCCGGGGUGGGCUGCCCCCCCGGUGAACACCCGGGACCCAUUCGUCAUUCCCGGUACAUUCCCGGUAACUCCGAAAACCUUCCGGUAAUCAAAUGAGGUCAUCCUAUAUAUCAAUCUUCGUUUCCAGACCAUUUCGGAAACCCUCGUGAUGUCCGUGAUCUCAUCCGGGACUCCGAACAACAUUCGGUAACCAACCAUAUAACUCAAAUACACAUAAAACAACGUCGAACCUUAAGUGUGCAGACCCUGCGGGUUCGAGAACUAUGUAGACAUGACCCGAGUGACUCCUCGAUCAAUACCCAAUAGCGGGACCUGGAUGCCCAUAUUGGAUCCCACAUAUUCUACGAAGAUCUUAUCGUUUGAACCUCAGUGCCAAGGAUUCAUAUAAUCCCGUAUAUCAUUCCCUUUGUCCUUCGGUAUGUUACUUGCCCGAGAUUCGAUCGUCAGUAUCCGCAUACCUAUUUCAAUCUCGUUUACCGGCAAGUCUCUUUACUCGUUCCGUAAUACAAGAUCCCGCAACUUACACUAAGUCACAUUGCUUGCAAGGCUUGUGUGUGAUGUUGUAUUACCGAGUGGGCCCCAAGAUACCUCUCCGUCACACGGAGUGAUAAAUCCCAGUCUCGAUCCAUACUAACUCAAUGAACACCUUCGGAGAUACCUGUAGAGCAUCUUUAUAGUCACCCAGUUACGUUGCGACGUUUGAUACACACAAAGCAUUCCUCCGGUGUCAGUGAGUUAUAUGAUCUCAUGGUCAUAGGAACAAAUACUUGACACGCAGAAAACAGUAGCAACAAAAUGACAUGAUCAACAUGUUACGUCUAUUAGUUUGGGUCUAGUCCAUCACGUGAUUCUCCUAAUGACGUGAUCCAGUUAUCAAGCAACAACACCUUGUACAUAGUCAGAAGACCCUAACUAUCUUUGAUGAACUGGCUAGCCAACUAGAGGCUUGCUAGGGACAGUGUUUUCUCUAUGUAUCCACACAUGUAUAUAAGUCUUCAUUCAAUACAAUUAUAGCACGGAUAAUAAAUGAUUAUCUUGAUAAAGGAAUUAUAAUAAUAACUAUAUUUAUUAUUGCCUCUAGGGCAUAAUUCCAACAGUGUCCCACUUGCACUAGAGUCAAUAAUCUAGCCCUCACAUCACCAUGUGAAUUACAUUGUAAUAAAUCUAACUCGCAUACAGUUCUGGUGUUGAUCAUGCUUUGCCCGUGGAAGAGGUUUAGUCAACGGGUCUGCUAUAUUCAGAUACGUGUGUACUUUGCAUAUAUUUACGUCCUCCCCUUCGACGUAGUCGCGGAUGAGGUUGAAGCGUCGUUUGAUGUGUCUGGUCUUCUUGUGAAACCGUGGUUCCUUUGCUAAGGCAAUGGCACCCGUGUUGUCACAGAACAAGGUUAUUGGAUUCAGUGCGCUUGGCACCACUCCAAGAUCCGUCAUGAACUGCUUCAUCCAGACACCCUCCUUAGUCGCCUCCGAGGCAGCCAUGUACUCCGCUUCACAUGUAGAAUCAGCUACGACGCUUUGCUUGGAACUGCACCAGCUUACCGCACCCCCAUUAAGAAUAAAUACGUAUCCGGUCUGCGACUUAGAGUCGUCCGGAUCUGUGUCAAGGCUUGCAUCGACGUAACCCUUUACGAAGAGCUCUUCGUCACCUCCAUACACGAGAAACAUCUCCUUAGUCCUUUUCAGGUACUUCAGGAUAUUCUUGACCGCCGUCCAGUGAUCCACUCCUGGAUUACUCUGGAACCUGCCUGCCAUACUUAUGGCCAGGCUAACGUCCGGUCUAGUGCACAACAUUGCAUACAUGAUAGAUCCUAUGGCUGAAGCAUAGGGGACGUGCUCAUAUGCUCUCUAUCUUUAUCAGUUGCUGGGCACUGAGUCUUACUCAAUCUCGUACCUUGUAAAACUGGCNUUGUAAUAAAUCUAACUCGCAUACAGUUCUGGUGUUGAUCAUGCUUUGCCCGUGGAAGAGGUUUAGUCAACGGGUCUGCUAUAUUCAGAUACGUGUGUACUUUGCAUAUAUUUACGUCCUCCCCUUCGACGUAGUCGCGGAUGAGGUUGAAGCGCGUUUGAUGUGUCUGGUCUUCUUGUGAAACCGUGGUUCCUUUGCUAAGGCAAUGGCACCCGUGUUGUCACAGAACAAGGUUAUUGGAUUCAGUGCGCUUGGCACCACUCCAAGAUCCGUCAUGAACUGCUUCAUCCAGACACCCUCCUUAGUCGCCUCCGAGGCAGCCAUGUACUCCGCUUCACAUGUAGAAUCAGCUACGACGCUUUGCUUGGAACUGCACCAGCUUACCGCACCCCCAUUAAGAAUAAAUACGUAUCCGGUCUGCGACUUAGAGUCGUCCGGAUCUGUGUCAAGGCUUGCAUCGACGUAACCCUUUACGAAGAGCUCUUCGUCACCUCCAUACACGAGAAACAUCUCCUUAGUCCUUUUCAGGUACUUCAGGAUAUUCUUGACCGCCGUCCAGUGAUCCACUCCUGGAUUACUCUGGAACCUGCCUGCCAUACUUAUGGCCAGGCUAACGUCCGGUCUAGUGCACAACAUUGCAUACAUGAUAGAUCCUAUGGCUGAAGCAUAGGGGACGGUGCUCAUAUGCUCUCUAUCUUUAUCAGUUGCUGGGCACUGAGUCUUACUCAAUCUCGUACCUUGUAAAACUGGCAAUAACCCUUUCUUGGACUGUUCCAUUUUGAACCUCUUCAAAACUUUAUCAAGGUAUGUGCUUUGUGAAAUUCCUAUCAAGCGUUUCGAACUAUCCCUAUAGAUCUUAAUGCCUAGAAUGUAAGCAGCUUCUCCUAGGUCCUUCAUAGAGAAACUUUUAUUCAAGUAAUCCUUUACGCUCUCGAAAAACUCUACGUUGUUUUCAAUCAGCAAUAUGUCAUCCACAUAUAAUAUUAGAAACGCCACAGAGCUCCCACUCACUUUCUUGUAAAUACAAGAUUCUCCAACCACUUGUAUAAACCCAAAUGCUUUGAUCACCUCAUCAAAGCGUUUGUUCCAACUCCGAGAUGCUUGCACCAGUCCAUAAAUGGAUCGCUGGAGCUUGCAUACCUUGUUUGCAUUUUUAGGAUCGACAAAACCUUCGGGUUGCAUCAUAUACAACUCUUCCUUAAGGAAACCGUUAAGGAACGCCGUUUUGACAUCCAUCUGCCAGAUUUCAUAAUCGAAAAAUGCAGCUAUUGCUAACAUGAUUCUGACGGGCUUAAGCAUCGCUACAGGUGAGAAUGUCUCAUCGUAGUCAACUCCUUGAACUUGUGAAAAACCCUUUGCCACAAGUCGAGCUUUAUUAUAAAUGGUCACAUUCCCGUCUGCGUCCGUCUUCUUCUUAAAGAUCCAUUUGUUCUGAAUAGUCUUGUGGCCCUCAGGUAGUACUUCCAAAGUCCACACUUUGUUUUCAUACAUGGAUCCUAUCUCGGACUUCAUGGCCUCCAGCCAUUUGUUGGAAUCUGGGCCCACCAUUGCUUCUUCAUAAUUUGCAGGUUCAUUGUUGUCUAACAACUUGAUUGACAAAACGGGAUUACUGUACCACUCUGGAGCAGCACGUGGUCUCGUCGACCUGUGUGGUUCGAUAGGAACUUGAACCGAAGUUUCAUGAUCAUCAUCAUUAACUUCCUCCUCAACCGGCGUCGCAACGACACGGGUUUCUCCUUGCCCUGCGCCACCAUCCAGAGGGAUCAGAGGUUUGACAACCUCAUCAAGUUCUAUAUUCCUCCCACUCAAUUCUCUCGAGAGAAACUCCUUCUCGAGAAAAGCUCCGUUUUUAGCAACAAACACUUUGCCCUCGGAUUUGAGAUAGAAGGUGUACCCAACUGUCUCUUUUGGGUAACCUAUGAAGAUGCACUUUUCCGCUUUGGGUUCCAGCUUUUCAGGCUGAAGCUUUUUGACAUAAGCAUCACAUCCCCAAACUUUAAGAAACGACAACUUUGGCCUUUUGCCAUACCACAAUUCGUAUGGUGUCGUCUCAAUGGAUUUUGAUGGUGCCCUAUUUAAAGUGAAUGCAGCUGUGUCUAAUGCAUAACCCCAAAACGAUAACGGCAAAUCGGUAAGAGACAUCAUAGAUUGCACCAUCUCUAAUAAAGUACGAUUACGGCGUUCGGACACACCAUUACGCUGUGGUGUUCGAGGCGGUGUCAACUGUGAAACAAUUCCACAUUGUCUUAAGUGAGCACCAAACUCAAAACUCAGAUAUUCACCCCCACGAUCAGACCGUAGGAACUUGAUCUUCUUGUUACGAUGAUUUUCAACUUCACUAUGAAAUUGCUUGAACUUUUCAAAUGUUUCAGACUUGUGCUUCAUUAAGUAGACAUAACCAUAUCUACUCAAAUCGUCAGUGAAGGUGAGAAAAUAACGAUAUCCGCCGCGUGCCUCCACGCUCAUCGGACCGCACACAUCGGUAUGUAUGAUUUCCAACAAGUCACUGGCACGCUCCAUUGUUCCAGAGAACGGAGUUUUAGUCAUCUUUUCCAUGAGGCAUGGUUCGCACGUGUCAAGUGAAUCAAAGUCAAGUGACUCCAAAAGUCCAUCGGUAUGGAGUUUCUUCAUGCGCUUUACACCAAUAUGACCUAAGCAGCAGUGCCACAAAAACAUGGCGCUAUCAUUGUUAACUCUAACUCUUUUUGUCUCAAUGUUAUGUAUAUGUGUAUUAUCACUAUCAAGAUUCAAUAUGAACAAUCCUCUCACAUUGGGUGCAUGACCAUAAAAGAUGUUACUCAUAGAAAUAGAACAACCAUUAUUCUCUGACUUAAAAGAGUAACCGUCUCGCAAUAAACAAGAUCCAGAUAUAAUGUUCAUGCUCAACGCAGGCACUAAAUAACAAUUAUUCAAGUUCAUAACUAAUCCUGAUGGUAACUGAAGUGAAACUAUGCCGACGACGAUUGCAUCAACCUUGGAACAUUUCCUACGCGCAUCGUCACUUCAUCUUUCGCCAGCCUUCGCCUAUUCCGCAGUUCUUGUUUCGAGUUGCAAAUAUGAGCAACAAAACCGGUAUCGAAUACCCAGGCACUACUACGAGAGACGGUUAAGUACACAUCAAUAACAUGUAUAUCAAACAUACCUGAUUUUUCUUUGGCUGCCUUCUUAUCAGUCAGACACUUGGGGCAGUUGCGCUUCCAGUGACCCAUACACUUGCAAUAGUAGCACUCUGUUUCAGGCUUAGGUCCAGCUUUGGAUUUCUUCGUCGGAUUGGCAACAGGCUUGCCGCUCUUCUUUGAAUUACCCUUCUUCCCUUUGCCGUUUCUCUUGAAACUAGUGGUCUUAUUCACCAUCAACACUUGAUGCUCUUUACGGAGUUCUGACUCUGCGACUUUCAGCAUCGCAAACAACUUGCCGGGUGAUUUGUUCAUCCCUUGCACGUUGUAGUUCAACACAAAGCCCUUAUAGCUUGCGGCAGUGAUUGAAGAAUUCUGUCAGUGAUAGCCUCUUGCGGGAGUUCAAUCCCCAGCUCAGCUAGACGGUUUGAGUACCCAGACAUUUUGAGCACAUGUUCACUGACAGACGAAUUCUCCUCCAUCUUGCAAGCAUAGAAUUUAUCGGAGGUCUCAUACCUCUCGAACCGGGCAUUCAUCUGAAAGAUAAACUUCAACUCCUGGAACAUCUCAUAUGCUCCAUGACGCUCAAAGAAACGUUGAAGUCUCGGCUCUAAGCCAUACAAGACUGCACAUUGAACUACUGAGUAGUCCUCCUUACGUGUUAACCAAGCGUUCUUAACAUCUUGGUCAGCCGUAGCGGGUUGUUCAUCUCCUAGCGCAGCAUUAAGGACAUAAUCCUUCUUCCCAGCUUGUAGGAUCAACUUAAGAUUACGAGCCCAGUCUACAAAGUUGCUUCCAUCAUCUUUCAACUUAGCUUUCUCUAGGAACGUAUUAAAAUUCAGGGUGACUAUCGCGUGAGCCAUGAUCUACAACACAAAUAUAUUCAAAGUGGACUUAGACUAUGUUCAAGAUAAUUAGAGUUUAACUUAAUCAAAUUACUUGCUAAACUCCCACUCAAAAAAUACAUCUCUCUAGUCAUUUGAGUGGUUCAUGACCCACUUACACUAGCUCAAGUCCGAUCAUCACCUGAGUUGAGUAUAGUUUCAGUGGUAAGCAUCCCUAUGCUAAACAUAUGAACUAUAUGAUUCAUGAUCGACCUUUCGGUCUCAUGUGUUCCGAGGCCAUGUCUGCACAUGCUAGGCUCGUCAAGCUUAACUCGAGUGUUCCGCGUGUGCAACUGUUUUGCACCCAUUGUAUGUGAACGUUGAGUCUAUCACACCCGAUCAUCACGUGGUGUCUCGAAACGACGAACUGUAGCAACGGUGCACAGUCAGUGAGAACACAAUUUCGUCUUGAAAUUUUAGUGAGAGAUCACCUCAUAAUGCUACCGUCGUUCUAAGCAAAAUAAGGUGCAUAAAAGGAUUAACAUCACAUGCAAUUCAUAAGUGACAUGAUAUGGCCAUCAUCACGUGCUUCUUGAUCUCCAUCACCAAAGCACCGGCAUGAUCUUCUUUGUCACCAGCGCCACACCAUGAUCUCCAUCAACGUGUCGCCAUCGGGGUUGUCGUGCUACUCAUGCUAUUACUACUAAAGCUACAUCCUAGCAAUAUAGUAAACGCAUCUGCAAGCACAAACGUUAGUUUAAAGACAACCGUAUGGCUCCUGCCGGUUGCCGUACCAUCGACGUGAAAGUCGAAAUUAUCUAUUACAACAUGAUCAUCUCAUACAUCCAAUAUAUCACAUCACAUUGUUGGCCAUAUCACAUCACAAGCAUACCCUGCAAAAACAAGUUAGACGUCCUCUAAUUUGUUGUUGCAUGUUUUACGUGGUGACCAUGAGUAUCUAGUAGGAUCGCAUCUUACUUACGCAAACACCACAACGGAGAUAUAUGAAUUGCUAUUUAACCUAAUCCAAGGACCUCCUCGGUCAAAUCUAAUUCAACUAAAGUUGGAGAAACCGACACUUGCCAGUCAUCUUUGAGCAACGGAGUUACUCGUAGCGAUGAAACCAAUCUCUCGUAAGCGUACGAGUAAUGUCGGUCCAAGCCGCUUCAAUCCAACAAUACCGCGAAAUCAAGAAAAGACUAAGGAGGGUAGCAAGACGCACAUCACCGCCCACAAAAACUUUUGUGUUCUACUCGAGAUUACAUCUACGCAUGAACCUAGCUCAUGAUGCCACUGUUGGGGAACGUCGCAUGGGAAACACAAAUUCUCCUACGCGCACGAAGACCUAUCAUGGUGAUGUCCAUCUACGAGAGGCGAUUUCCGAUCUACGUACCCUUGUAGAUCGCACAGCAGAAGCGUUAGUGAACGCGGUUGAUGUAGUGGAACGUCCUCACGUCCCUCGAUCCGCCCCGCGAACCGUCCCACAAACUGUCCCGCGAUCCGUCCCACGAUCUAGUGCCGAACGAAAGGCACCUCCGCGUUCAGCACACGUACAGCUCGACGAUGAUCUCGGCCUUCUUGAUCCAGCAAGAGAGACGGAUAGGUAGAUGAGUUCUCCGGCAGCAUGACGGCGCUCCGGAGGUUGGUGGUGAACUAAUCUCAGCAGGGCUCCGCCCGAGCUCCGCAGAAACGCGAUCAAGAGGUAAAACCGUGGAGGUAUGUGGUCAGGCUGCCUUGAAAAAGUUGUCUCAAAUCAGCCCUAAUAGCUCCGUAUAUAUAGGAGGAGGGAGGGGAGGCUUGCCUUGAGGCUCAAGGAGCCCCAAGGGCUGCGCACCAAGGGGAGGAGGAGUCCUCCUCAAUCCUAGUCCAACUAGGAUUGGAAGGUGGAGUCCUUCUCUCCCUUCCCACCUCCUUUUUUUCUUUUCUCUUUGAUUUUCUAUCUAUGGCGCAUCGGGCCUUCUUGGGCUGUCCCACCAGCCCACCAAGGGCUGGUGCACCACCCCCAAGGCCUAUGGGCUUCCCGGGGUGGGCUGCCCCCCCCGGUGAACAUCUGGAACCCAUUCGUCAUUCCCGGUACAUUCCCGGUAACUCCGAAAACCUUCCGAUAAUCAAAUGAGCUCAUCCUAUAUAUCAAUCUUCCUUUCCGGACCAUUCCGGAAACCCUCGUGACGUCCGUGAUCUCAUCCGGGACUCCGAACAACAUUCGGUAACCAACCAUAUAACUCAAAUACGCAUAAAACAACGUCGUACCUUAAGUGUGCAGACCCUGCGGGUUCGAGAACUAUGUAGACAUGACCCGAUUGACUCCUCGGUCAAUAGCCAAUAGCGGGACCUGGAUGCCCAUAUUAGAUCCCACAUAUUCGACGAAGAUCUUAUCGUUUGAACCUCAGUGCCACGGAUUCAUACAAUCCCGUAUGUCAUUCCCUUUGUCCUCGGUAUGUUACUUGCCCGAGAUUCGAUCGUCAGUAUCCGCAUACCUAUUUCAAUCUCGUUUACCGGCAAGUCUCUUUACUCGUUCCGCAAUACAAGAUCCCGCAACUUACACUAAGUUACAUUGCUUGCAAGGCUUGUGUGUGAUGUUGUAUUACCGAGUGGGCCCCAAGAUACCUCUCCGUCACACGGAGUGACAAAUCCCAGUCUCGAUCCAUACUAACUCAACGAACACCUUCGGAGAUACCUGUAGAGCAUCUUUAUAGUCACCCAGUUACGUCGCGACGUUUGAUACACACAAAGCAUUCCUCCGGUGUCAGUGAGUUAUAUGAUCUCAUGGUCAUAGGAACAAAUACUUGACAUGCAGAAAACAGUAGCAACAAAAUGACACGAUCAACAUGCUACGUCUAUUAGUUUGGGUCUAGUCCAUCACGUGAUUCUCCUAAUGACGUGAUCCAGUUAUCAAGCAACAACACCUUGUACAUAGUCAGAAGACCCUGACUAUCUUUGAUCAACUGGCUAGCCAACUAGAGGCUUGCUAGGGACAGUGUUUUGUCUAUGUAUCCACACAUGUAUAUAAGUCUUCAUUCAAUACAAUUAUAGCACGGAUAAUAAACGAUUAUCUUGAUACAGGAAUUAUAAUAAUAACGAUAUUUAUUAUUGCCUCUAGGGCAUAAUUCCAACAAAAGAAGUACCAGAGGGGAGCCAGUAAGAGGCCACAAGCCUGCUAGGCGUGACCUACCCCCCUGGCCGCGCCUAGGGGGCUCGUGGGCUCUCUGCUGGCCCUCUGGCCCCCCUCUUUUGCUAUAAGGAGGGUUUCGUUCCAGAAAAAAUCAGGAGGAGGCUUUCGGGAGGAAUCGCCGCCGCCACGAGGCGGAACUUGAGCAGAACCAAUCUAGAGCUCCGGCAGUGUCCUCCUGCCGGGGAAACUUCCCUCCCAGAGGGGGAAAUCGUCGCCAUCGUCAUGACCAACACUCCUCUCAUCGGAGGGGACUCGUCACCAUCAACAUCUUCAUCAGCACCAUCUCAUCUCCAAACCCUAGUUCAUCUCUUGUAACCAAUCUUCGUCUCGCGACUCCGAUUGGUACUUGUAAGGUUGCUAGUAGUGUUAAUUACUCUUUGUAGUUGAUGCUAGUUGGAUUACUUGGUGGAAGAUUAUAUGUUCAGAUCUUUGAUGCUAUUCAAUAUCUCUCUGGUCAUGCAUAUUAUUAUGCUUUGUGAGUAGUCACUUUUGUUCCCGAGGACACGGGAUAAGUCUUGCUAUAAAUAGUCAUGUGAAUUUGGUAUUCGUUCGAUAUUUUGAUGUGUUGUAUGUUGUCUCUCCUCUAGUGGUGUUAUGUGAACGUCGACUACAUAACACUUCACCAUUAUUUGGGCCUAGAGGAAGGCAUUGGGAAGUAGUAAGUAGAUGAUGGGUUGCUAGAGUGACAGAAGCUUAAACCCUAGCUUAUGUGUUGCUUCGUAAGGGGCUGAUUUGGAUCCACUAGUUUAAUGCUAUGGUUAGACUUUGUCUUAAUUCUACUUUCGUAGUUGCGGAUGCUUGCGAGAGGGGUUAAUCAUAAGUGGGAUUCUUGUCGAAGUAAGGACAGUACCCAAGCGCCGGUCCACCCACAUAUCAAACUAUCAAAGUAGCGAACGCGAAUCAUAUGAACAUGAUGAAAACUAGCUUGACAGAAAUUCCCGUUUGUCCUCGGGAGCGGUUUACCUCCUAUAAGAGUUUGUCCUGGCUUGUCCCUUGCUACAAAAUGGAUUGGGCCACUUUGCUGCACCUUUGUUACUGUUGUUACUUGCUACUUUCUCCGAAUCAUCUUGUCACACAACUGCAUGUUACUGACAAUUUCAGUGCUUGCAGAGAUUACCUUGCUGAAAACCACUUGUCAGAUCCUUCUGCUCCUCGUUGGUUCGACACUCUUACUUAUCGAAAGGACUACAAUAGAUCCCCUACACUUGUGGGUCAUCAAUCAUUGACAUGAAAUAAGGGACCAUUAAAUUCCAAUUUCCCCUUAAAAAUGGAAUGGAACACUUCCCUUGUAAGAAGAUUAAGUUACCUUAUGAGUCCGUUACUCGGGUAAGUUAUUAUUUUGGAGUUGAUAAUACUUGAUCUUUUUUGCAUUAUGCCUAGCUCAAAGGCAUAAAAGAAAGCGCUUGUUGGGAGGUAACCCAAUUUGUUUUUACUUUCAGUUUAAGUUGUCUUGAUGCUUGUUACUACUGUGGCAACAUCAUUGUAUCUUUAUUUUCAAGAUUUGUACCAAGUUUUAGCCUCCGAUUGCAAGAAAGUUCAAAAGUUGUGACAUCCUGUCGAGAAACAGAUUCUGUAUGCUUGACAAAAAAAUUUGCCUCAUAUCACGAGGUAAUCUUUUUUAUCUGAAUUUUUUUGACACGAUGCUCUAUAUAAUUAUCUUUCCGGCGUAUGUUCUGAGUUUUUUUAUUUGAGUUGCAGAAGUGCCUCGAAAAAAUUAUUUACUACCUGCUGUUUUGUUUUUCACAGAUUCUGCCACGUUUUGCGUUUUCAUCAUUUUGCAAAUCUUAAGCUUUGUUUUUAUUUGCAAAAACCUUUUGGCAAUCUUGAUAAACAGUAGCUCUUAAUGAAUUUUUUUAUUUCAGUAGAGAAUAAGUUAUUUAUUAUGGGCACUAACCACUCUAAUCAGCUUAUGAUGAGUUUCGUAUGAAGGGAGUUUUCAAGUAUGCUAUGGAAGAUGAUGAAAGAAGAUCCAGGAGUGUCAAGCGCUCAAGCUUGGGGAUGCCCCCAUGCACCCCAAGAAAUAUUCAAGGAGACUCAAGCGUCUAAGCUUGGGGAUGCCCCCAUGCAUCCCCUUCUCCAUCAACAAUCAUCAGUUCGUCCAUCUCUAUGCUAUAUUUUUCUCACUUCAUAUGUUAUGUGCUAUGCUUGGAGCGUCUCACUCUUUACUUUUUAGUUUGUUUUAGUUUUUCUUGCUGUUCAUAACAAGUUGGAACCUAGCCUUCUUUGUUUGGGAGAGAAACACGCUCCACUCCACCUUAGAACACAACAUAGGUUUUCAUGCUUAUCUUUUUGUGUGUUCUUUAUCUUUCCAUAGCUACUGUCAUGCUUAGCUAUUACUCCCUCCGUUUCUAAAUAUAAGUCUUUUUAGAUGUUUCACUAAUAGACUACAUACGGAUGAAUGUAGACAUAUUUUAGAGUAUAGGUUCAUUCUAUUUUACUUCGAAUGUAGUCUUUUAGUGAAAUCUCUAAAAAGACUUAUAUUUAGGAACGGAGGGAGUAGUUUUCAUGCUUUAUCUUUUUAAGAGAUUUUAUUUAGGUUGCUUUUGAAACUCUCUUGAGUUAUCAUGCUUAUCUUGUUUAGAGAGUUGGCUUGUUGCACUGAGUUGGGUGUCUUGCAUGUGUAGGUAAUUGAGGUUGCUAUUUAAGUAUAGUAGUAACUUGCAACAAUUUUGAGGUAUUGUUUUGAGAAAUGUUUGGACUAUUGGUGCCAAGAGCUUGAGCCUAUUAGUGAUAGGUGUCGUAUUUUGGGAAAUCCGUGUGUUUUUCAAAACAAAAAAAUUAGUUGAGAACUCUAGCUACUAGAUGAAUCGCUAACCUCUGGUUGGGUUGGAAUAUAUAGAGUACCCUCACGUUACCGUAGGUCGAGGAUGCACAAGGAUAACCAAACCCCCAAACACUCCUCCUCGGGGUGCUUGUCUCUUUGUAAAUCUCCUAACAAGAUAGAGACUUACCGAUAACAAGUGCAUGAGUUCUUCAGACUAAUGUGAGUAUUCGAUUGUUGCCACUUCCACCACCAUAUUUUGCUAGCCUCUUUGGUACCGUGUAUUACCUUUUCUCAUCUUGAGAGUUGGUGCAAACUCCGCCGGUGCAUCCAAACCCUUGGCAUGAUACGCACUGCCAUCAUAAGCCUCAUUAUAUCUUUCCUCAAAACAACCACCAUACCUACCUAUUAAGGCAUUUCCAUAGCCUUUCUGAGAUACAUUGCCAUGCAACAUCCACGACCUCAUGACUUGAUCUUCAUGUCAUACAUGCUUUUGCUUGAUCGAGGAGCCGCAUGCUAGUUGGGCCUUGCCCUUGUUAUUGCUACAUGACGCGCUAGUUUCAUUGCAUAUCCUGCUACACUCGCACAUGCAUACAUUUGCAUACAUCAUGAUAGUUUUCAUUUGUCUUUAUGUUGAGUAUUUCUUAUAAAGUGUGAAGAUCUUCCUUUUACUCUUGUAAAACAUAGAGUGUUUCCCUUAAGUGAGGAAAGGAUCCCAAAGAGGACAAAUGAAAAGAUCCCAAAGAGGACAAAUGAAAAGAUCCCAAAGAGGACAAAUGAGAGAUAAAUAUAAAGAGCCAAAGAGGCCACAAAAAAAGAAAUAAAAAGAGAGAAGGGAGGAAACACUACUAUUCCUUUUGAAAGAUCCACACUCGUACUCCAUUGUUAUAUUUGUACUCCAUAGAGAUUAUCAUUCAUGCAUGACUAUGUGGGGACCCAUACACUAUAGAACUUGGCUUGUAUAUUCCAAUGAUGAGCCUCCUCAAAUGAGCUCUAGGUCUUCAUGAGGAAGAAAGUUGGAUGCACCCCCACUAGUUCCAUUGGAGGGCUUACCUUAGCUCAUAUGUGCAUCCGUUGCAUGGCAAUCCCUACUCCUCACAACAUAUCUAUCAUUUGGCUUUCUCUCGCCUAUGGUUGUCCUCAUUGAUGUGAGCCUUUCACUACUUUUUUUUGUCUUCCUUCUCCAUAAAUAUUCUCUUUGUCAUCCUAAGUACCAACAUAUCUUUCUUGCGCUUAUCCAUUGCAUGAGUGCUCAAAGUCGAAAGGGAGAGGAUCAUUUUGACUUGUGCCUGACUAGUGGUCUGGGGAUGAGUCAAAAUAAGAUUCCGGAGGAGACCAAGUGUGAAGUUUUAGUAGAUUGAGUUCUUAAUUAAAAACUAUUUUUAUGCUCUAAACCCAUCUCCCACUUCUUGCACGCAAACACCAUUUGGAUACAUUCGAGUCACGAACAGCGAGGGCUCUUGCACCUUUAUGUUCUUACUUUGCUAUUUUCAAUACUAAAUAUAGACUCUUGCUUGUUAUUGUCUUGACUUGAAUUGCAUAUCUCACUUGCUUUACUUUGAAGUUCUUAUAUGUGUGUUAGCAUGUCACCAUAGAAAUUAUUUGUGUUAUCAUUUACCUACUCGAGGACGAGCAGGAAUUAAGCUUGGGGAUGUUGAUAUCCCAAACGUAUCUAUAAUUUCUGCUUGUUCCAUGAUCUUUUUGGUGAAAUUGUUAUAUGUUUUGCUACACUUUCAUACCUUUUUACACAUAUUUGGACUAACCUACUAACUGAGUGCACCCAGUGCCAGUUUCUGUCUGCUGAUGUCUUUUUUCCAGGGACUUUUACCCCAAUUUAUAGAGUCCCAAAAAUCCCGAGAAAAAUAUAUAAAAAUCAGCAUGACGGAAGCUUUCAGAACACCGAAGAUGGGCCAGAGGGGAGCCAGGGCCUGCCCAGGCGUCCUCGCUGUGCGGCUUGCCCCUGGUCGCGCCCACAGGUCGGCUCGGUGGGGUCCACCUCCUCUGACGCCCUCCUUUGGCCUAUAUUUACCCCUCCGAUCGAAAACCCUUCCAUCAUAUCCAGAAUCACGAAUUUCUCCAUCGUUCUGCCGCCGCAGCGCUUCAGAGAUCGGGAGCGUCACAAGAUCUCUUCCCGGCACCCUGUCGGAGGGAGGAUUGACCUCCAGGAGCUCGUCCACCGCCAUAGACGCUUCCCGGAUGUGCCGUGAGUAGUCCUCCUUGGACCAUGAGUCCAUGACCAGUAGUUAUGUGAUGUCUUCUCUCCAAUCUUGUGCUUCAAUGAUUAGCCCUUGUGAGCUGCCCUACAUGAUCAAGGCAUCUAUGUAAUUUUCCUGAUAUUCCUAUGCUUGGUUUCUGGGAACCGAUGGAUUAUGAGAUUAUAUUCAGAUCAUGAUGAGUUAUAUAUUUGAUUAUCCUUUUAUAUGAUGUUCUUUUGUGAUUCAUGCAUGUUCUCCGUUGCUUUUUAUUGCUUUGGCCGAGUAGUAGAUUGUAACUCCAAGAGGGAGCGUUAUGCAUGAUUGUGGGUUCAUGGCCCCUCAUGUCUAGCUUGAGUGACAGAAACAUGAGACUAGGGGAUGUGUUGUUGCCAUAAGGGAGAAAACAACGGUGCUUGUGACCAGGUUGCAUGUAUUGUUUACCUUACGCAAAGUUCGUUAAUGCAGUUGUCCGUUGCUUUGAGUUUACACUUUGGGUGGGGCUCGCAACUUAAUACCAGCGAGAUGUUCUGGAUAGAUAACUCAAGGUGGAUGAUUAGUAAGUAGAUGCUGAUGAAUAAACAGUCUACUUGUCUUGGCGUACUGCCCAUUACUUUUGAGCCACUAACUUUCUAGUAGCAUAAUUAGCAUUGUGGUACGUUUAUAAUUUUGGCAAUUGCCCAGCUGUAAUUUGUUUACCCAUGCAUAGUUGUUUAUCGUCUUUUGGGAGAGAGACAUCACUAGUGAACAUCAUGUGAUUCCGGCCCAUAUUACCACCAUUGCUUACACCUCCACCAUUUACUGCUUUUAUUUACUUUUUCGUUGCAAUCACUAUCACUAUUCCUUCUUGUGUUUUGAUCCUUUGCAAACUACAAGGCUGGAGAGAUUGACAACCUCUCUGUACUCGUUGGGAGCAAAGUUAUAUGUUGUGUGUGUGAGAAAAGUUAUUUGUUGUGUGUGCAGGUCCACGUCUUCUGCUAGCGCCAGAGCAGCGGACACCUACUGGUUAAUCCUCGGAGUCCUCCCGGUUCGAUAAAUCUUACAGUCCCUGUGUAAGGGAAAUCUGCCGCUGACUACAUCUCCACCUUCCACUUUGGGUAACCAACGAGGGGUGAGAAGUAUAUCCAUCAACUCGUCAUCAAUAAUCAAUUGUCUCAUCGUUUCCACCGAACACAUAAGAUUUGUUACCUGACCAUUCUAUAUUCAGCAAGUUGUCUUUUAUGAGAAUACUUCUCCUAGUCAUCGGCCAAGUAAAAACUUUGAUUUUAGGAGGUACUUAUUUUUCGCAAAUACAUAGAAGGAAAAUUAACAUCAUUUACAAUCAGUUGGUUAUAAAAGGAUUUCACAGAAUAUCUGCCACAGGCAUUCAGGGUCCAUAUACUUCUAUAUUUUCUAUAGAUAAAGUAAUUUAUGCACAAACAUUUUAAUCCCCUCCAAUUGUGCCAAAAUGUCCCCCACAAGGUUCUUCUGAACUGAAAUACACCCCACCAUUUAUUCAUCACAUCAGCCAUCUUAAUGUUCUUCUUGAAACAUAAAUUAUACGGCCUGGGGUGUGAUUGAUUCAGUAGCUUAUCAUCCCCCCACCAAUCCUCCCAGAAUCUAGUAUUCAGCCCAUCUCCCACUACUCUUUUUAUAUAUUUAUAAAAAAGGUUUUUAGCAACUAGAGUCCCAAACAAAAACUGAGAAUCCCAACCUCUAGGUUUAGCCUCACCCAAACAUUUCCCCCUCGAAUAUUUUGAUUUCAAAACAUAUUGUCAUAGGCCAUCUUCAGUUUCUAGUUUUUAUGGCCAUUUAGCAAAGAAAACCUUGUUCAUGAGGUCUAGGUUAAGGAUCCCCCAACCCCCUUAACUUUAGGUUGGCACAGCUCUCACCAUCUAACUAGUUGAUAUUUAUUUUUCUUUUUAUCUCCUUGCCAUACAAUCCUGGCUCUAUAAAAACCCAUGUUUUUCCUAACCCCAACUAGAAUUGAAAAAAAAUCAUCAUACACAUUGGUAUGCUGGUCAAAGAUGACUGCGCCAAAGCAACCCUCCCAGAAAUGUUCAUCAUGUUGGAAAAUUAGGCAAGUUCAUGAUUAAUUAUAAUAAAUAAUUCAUGACCAAAACAUAAGAUAGCAUGCAAUACUCUAGCAAUCUAGAAGAGCAACCGACCAUGCACAUCAUCACCGCGCAAGAAGCAACAACUACAGCGAGAAACAUUAACACAUUACGAGUAACACACUGUUCGUUAGUUGCAGCAGGAGUGAGUGUGUUGAUGAUGAUGUUGGAGACGAUCCUUUGUUGAUGGAGAUGAAGACGACGAUGAGUAGCACCACCCAACUUGGACGGUAGACGACCCGUGGUGAAGAAUUUGAGCACUCGCACAAAGCGCUUUCCAAAAACCUAAUUUGUUCUCUCCCGGUGCAUGAUCGCAAAGACGAACGGUUCCGUAGACGUGCUCUCUCGCACGCCGAUGCAGGCCGGCAUUCGAGAUGAGGUAGAUUACAACGGCAUCGCAAGUUGUGAGAUGAAGCAAAACCCUAGGUGUUUUUGGUGUGUCUUUGGCCGACCACGGUAAGCAAUAUAUAUAGGAGGACCAAAGUCGAUACCGUGUCGCGAUCAUGAUCUCAAACCGACUUGGUUUCCAAGUCGUAUACUUAUUGGACAAGAAAUUCUCAACUUGUUUGUCAAGACAUAAAAAUAAAACGGCAAAAGGAAGACGUGCCCCCGCAAGGCAACGAACCGGAAUUUGGUGGACCAUUCACGCGCAGGUCGCAUGUACAUCUGGCCCAGAACGGUGAGCAAGCGCACGCGUGUGGUCUUCUCCUUUCUCUUUGCAACACACACUUAAAAUGAUGGGGAGAACUCACUAUAUAAAGAGGUCCAACUCUUCCUCAACUAGCGGUAUGAGACUAAACUUUAACACCACCACACCACCACUUGCCAAUUUACUCAUGGGAUCAUUCGAGAUUUCAGAAUUUUGUAGUUGGGCCAAGCCCAUUGAUUCUAACACAUCAAUCCCCCCCUCCCCCACCAAUAGGCACAUUUCUUCUCAAUUUUGGUUUCAUAAGGUUUCCAAUCAGGAUUUCACAAUCUGGCUUUAUUAAUAGGCAUCCCCAAGUAUUUAAUGGCUACUUUGCCCAAUUGGCAAGUGAAAUCUGCCUAGACUCCAUUUCUUUCCCAAUUGCCUACCCAAAAAGAAAUAAUUCACUUUUGUGGAAACUGAUUUUCAACCCAGACAUUUGCUCAAAGGAAUAUUUUUUUUUCAAAUCUCUAGCACUUCUCUACAUCAUCAAGUAUCAGGAAGAUAAUAUCAUCUGCAUAUUAUAACAAGUUUAUUCCAUUGUCACUAUAUCCGUCUAGCAGUCCUUUAACAAAUCCUGUUUUCUCUUAGUAUUCAUGAUAAUAGCGAGUGCAUCCACUGUCGAAUCUGGCUUCUUCUUCACAACGGAGUCAAUCAAAGAAAUCUUUUAAAAAAGAAAUCCAUGUAAGAGUGUUAUAACUAUGUUUUCGGCAAUGAAAAUGUUAGGAAACGACAUUGUUGCAUCUUUUAUUAAUAUAUAAAAUACCAUAGAACAAAUUGUUCUAUGGUUGUUGGCCUAAAAAACCCUUAUACAUGGCAAUGUUUUACAAUUACAAAACUAGUGUACAUGCCCCAACGCGCUUAAAAAACAUCAGUCUUCCGGAUUUUAUCUUCCGAUCCAUUAGGUUCAUUGGCCAGCAAGCAAGAGAUUAUUCUCGCAUCAUAAUUACCUGUUUUCGCCUUCUCUCUCUCUCUCUCUUUUUUUUGCAGGGGAGCAUUCGCCUUCUCACAAAGUCAUAAGACUCCGGCCGUAACGCGUCGUUGUUCAGAACAUGGUGCACGAGGGAAAAAAACUGCUUGAAAUGCAUUUUCAUUUGAUCUUGUCGAAAGAGACACCGUUCGAAUUUUCCGUGGUGAGCAAAGCACACCAUCUGACGUGCCAUACAUCGGGAAGACGAAGACACUGCGAGAAGAAUACAAAAUACGGCAGUCACAUCUCAACUAUUUACAGUGAACGUCGCCAAAAACACUUCUGUCGCCUUGCCAAAUGGAGAGGUAAUAUCAUGCACGACUCCAGACGCCAAAGCAUCCUAAUCUUCAUAGGGCUGCCAGGUCAUGCGGACAGGAUAAUGCCUUUGUCGACGUGAAAACAGAGUAAAACAUUGACCUCUAUAAUCAAGGUGAAAUUGUUGGUCAUCUUUUUGUUCUCCUGCCCGCCUGCCAUCGUACUUUGGCCAGGGGCGAACCCACUUUUAUUUGACUGGGGGCCAUGGCCCCUACUCAAGUUUUUUAAAUCCUGUAGGAUUUAGUUAUAUUUUUAGAAAAUAAAUACCAAAACUCUAUAAAUUUAUACAAAAUAUCAAAAUAUGCCCCAUUCAAGUAUUUUGCCCCCGGUCAAAAAUGUUUCUAGGUCCGCCCCUGACUUGGCCGUACCAUUUUUUUUACUUUUAACUUAGGACCAUAAUAAGUAUCAUAUGUGUGGCAUGAAGCAAUUUUUUCCUGAAUUUUUUUAUGACAAAUUUAGUUAUUCAAGAAUGACAAUUUUAUUGUAAAGCAUGAUGAUUUUCUGUUUGAAUGACAACUUUCAGUUUAUUUUAUUUUUAUUUUUAUUUCUCAGAUGGUAAUUUCAGUUAUAAAAACGUCAUAGUGAUAUUGCUUCAUGUCACACGUGUGACACUUAUUAUUUGAGUUAACUUAUCUCCACGUACUAGUACAGCUAAUUUGUUUGAAAACUGAUUGGGCGAGUUUAAUCUUAAAGUUAACCAACAUUUUUUUUAGAAAAUGAGGAUAUACCCCCGGCCUCUGCAUCUAGACGAUGCAUACAACCAUUUUAUUAAUUAUUCACAGAGACCAUACAAAGUAAUACAUCAGUUAGCCUGAAGCCACCAUCUAGGCAACACAUGUUGCUACUCCUAUUCCUUGAUGAAGGUGUGCUAAAUAUCUGGGCCAAAUACCAAAGAGAUAUCGCACCAAAUCCUAACAUCUAUAGUCUGAUGCUCAAGCCCAGCCACCACUGAGACUGGAUCCCAAACUGGCCGGCGCAGAGGCCGCCUCCACCAUCUAUCACCGUGCCCUCUCCAGAGCUAGAACAAACACAUCAUCCUUGCGAGGUCUGCCGUCGACGCCACCACGGUGCCAGACAGCGCCACCAUCCUGCACAUAUCCGCCUACACGUGCCUGUCGACGAACCACCGCAGCGCCAUGCCGUCGGGCUACACCGUAGGGCUCACGGUAGAUCAAACACCGCUCCUCCUCUUGUCCCGUCCACCCAGCACGUGCUCCAAAACGAUGCCCUCAGGAGAGAAACGACAUCGAAGAUGACAUCAUCGUCCGACCGGUAGAUCCAGAUCUAAGGUUUCCCUCGGAGCAUCACGAGUGUGGUGCCACGACCAGCAACAACGAUGCCAUGGGCUGGUAACGACGUCCUAGACGCCGCCAUCGUCCGCCAUGACCGAGGUCGGCGCGGUUUUCACCGAAAGUCGCGACCCCCGAUCUCGUGGCUGGAUGGAACUGAGGGAGGCACGUCAUGUAGACGAAGACCGCCGUCGGCAUGCCGGCAGGGGCCUCCAGCCGCCCCACACCGAUCCUCCUCGCGCCACGGGCCGAAGAAGUCCAAGCCGUGACGGAUCUGGGCAUGAUACGCCAGAUCCGCAGCCCUCGAUGACCGCCCUUGCGCGCAGCCGCUGCCCUCGCCGGAUGGAGCGCCUCACCGCCGCCAUCCAACCCGACCACGGCAUAUGUGGGUGAGAGUUUGUGAUGGGCUCUCGAUCUUAUGAGAUUGUCCGAACGACUCUGUUUCCAACAAAGUUUAAAUACUAAAAAAAUGCAGAUCAUUUUUUUAAGGCUAAAGCAUGGUUCUGUACGUGGUGCUUCACCACGCGAAGAUACAAGAGCUUAUGAAUAAUAGAUGCCAUAGAUGGAAAACGGUCUCAUGUAUGUUCAUAUUUAUUUCUAAAUGUAUUUUAAUAUUUUUUGGUGAUGCAUGUUCAGUAUUUUCUCUGUAAAGUAAUAUAAAAAUAUUUAGAUAACUAAAAUAAUAAUUUAAAUGCUUUUAUAUUAAUUUAUGGAGGGAGUAGAAAGAGAUGCACCCGUCGUACAUCAAGCGUUUUGAUGACUUCAUCAAUCUCAACUCGAUAUGUGACUUAAUUUUUUAAAAAUGUAUACAAGGAUAGGAUGUAUACAUAUGUGUGUUUAUAUGAUUAAGUAUAUAUGCAUAUGUAUAAGCAUGUGAGCGUUUGUAGUAGGUUAAAAAAAUCACGACCCAGCAUCAAAGAUUGCAUAUUAUUGUUGAGAAACAAAAACGCAAAUGAUGGAUUGUGUGGAGCCGAAAGCGCACAGCUGGACCCCAUGGCGUAGCGGCAACAACCGGCGAAGCACAUCAUCCAGCGCGGUGACACCGACGGCAAACCUCUCCACGAACAGUAGACACCGAAAUUAGACUGCAAUUAUGCUGUUUUGCUGUUUCCCAAUAGCCGGAGAACCGGAACACCAUGAGGCUUUUGCAACCACAAAUUAUUGUUUAUACUGAAACAAGAUACGCUUGACAGGUGACAGCCACUUGUAGCACCACCAUACCCCGAGACCCAGAAUUCGGGUUUUUUCACUCUUCUGACUCACUAACAAUAAAAAAUCACAUAACAAACUCGCCUCAAAAACAAUUUGACCCUUUUUAAAAACGUUAUAUACGGUGGCGUUGCAGGUAAACGAUGAAACGCCAGUCCAAUGUGGCGUUUGUGGCUUUGUGUCCAACGCGAGUCCACUGUGGCGUUGCUGGCCAUGUGUGCAACGCGAGGCAUAUUGAUGUUUCUAGCACUCAUAUCUGCCUAGCCCGACCCCGUCGCCCACCAACCACCUAUUCUUCUCUUCUUUCUUUCGACCUUUCGCGAAAAAUCUCUCCCUCCUCCUCCAGACCCCCCCCCUUCGAUCUUCGUCCUCCCUCAACCGUUUUGUUGGUUUUUGGGGCAAAUCAAAGAUGCCGGUAAGCUCUUCCAAUCUCUCCAAUUAGUUUUUGCAAUGCCUUUGUAUUUGUGUAUCUUUUUUUCCACUAGGUGUAACGUAUGUUUUGAAGUAAAAUCUAUUUUGUGAUGAUUAAUGCAUAGGUUUUUGGCAAUAGGUGUAGUUUACGGUGGCUCUAGGUAUAACCUAGGUUUUGUCCAUAUUAUUCGCACUAGGUUUAUGCCUAGGUUUAGUUCAUAUUGUUGGCACUAGAUGAAUGCCUAGGUUUAGUUCAUAUUAGUGGCACUAGGUGAAUGCCUAUAUUUAGUUCAUAUUAUUGACACUAGGUGAAUGUGUAGCUUUUUUGGCACUAGGUGUAGUGUGUUUGUUUUUCACACUAGGUUAAUGCCUAAAAGAAUUUUGUUCAUAUUAUGUAGGAUGUUUUAGUCGGAUAAAUAUCCGGGCCUUGAUGAGUUCUACGAGCAGAAGCAUCGUGCGGUGCUAGUGGAAAGAGGAGAGGUAAUUAUGAUGGCCUUGAUGAUUAUUUUUCUAUAUUCCAUGAUUUUCAUAUUGUGACAAGUUGAGACAACUAACGAAUUAUGCGUUUGUUGGUUUAGGUUCCUCCACUACUUCGUUUGAGGGGGCACAACCCGAAUGAAUCUCUCUUAUAUGACCCUCGGUACGAGCCUUAUUUUAGAAGAAUGGAUCUUCUUCAGUUUGUGCUCAACUUUAAAGGCACACCACCAUGGUUGAACGCCACGACCCUUACCGCCCUUACGGACCGUUGGAGGCCGGAGACGCACUCUUUUCACCUUCCUCUUGGUGAGAUGACCAUAACUCUGGAGGAUAUUGCUAUGAUCACCGGACUUCCGAUCGAGGGCAGGGCUCUUACACGGAAGGUUAUGUCCGAUGGGUGGCGACAACGGGUUGCAGCAUUGGUUGGUGUUGAACCCGAGCCAUGGAUUCAUGAAACCAGGAAGGAUCCUAGGCCAUCUGGUGUGUUGUUCUCUUGGAUACAGAGACAUUUUCGCAAGUGCCCAAGGGAUGCUAGUCCGACUGUUGUGGAGAGGUUCGCCAGGGCUUACCUCUGGAAUCUUUUGACCCAAGUGGUGUUUCCGGAUGGCACGGGGGACACAGCCUCAUGGAUGUUUUUGGAUCCUCUUCGUGACUGGGAUGUUAAGUGGAGUUGGGGUUCGGUGGCACUAACCUUCUUGUACCGUCAGGUAUGGCUUAAUAUCAUGCAUUUUCGUUUUAUUCAAUGGGUAUAUGAUGCAUUUUCGUUAUAUUGAAUGGGUAUAUGUUGCAUUUUCAUUUUAUUAAAUCUGUAGUUGGAUGGAGCAUGUAUGAGGAGCAAGCCGACGUCCACUCUUGGAGGUUUUGUUUGGGCCCUACAAGUUUGGAUGUGGGAGCGUAUCCCUGUUGGUCGUAACCUCAGCCUUCCUCCGGAAGAACCUUGGAUGUACCCUUUUGACGGAGAUGAGUUGCGGCACCCCACUAUCGCACACACAUGGGCUAAUGUCCAAUGGACGAGUAUCGCAGCUAUGGGGCGGUAUAAGGCAUACAUAAGCGAGCUAGACAUGCUCACUUAUGAACAAGUAAAUGCUUUCACAAAUUUUCUGGAAAAUUUUCAUGGAUGGUCGAGUGACUUGUUGUUAUGUAGGUGAAUUGGAGGCCGUACACGGUACUUAGGUAGUUCCCUCUUAGCAACAUGUGCCUUCGUGACCAACAUCUUUGGCGUGUCGGCUACGUCAUCCUCCAUCCUUGCGUUAUACUCCUCUUCCUUCUUCUUCCGCGCUUCGGCUGCGUCCUCCUCUCUCAACUUCUUUGCAUCCCUCUCCCUCAACCCCUGGUCCUCACCGGAUGCAUCCUUCUCCUCCCCCACUCCGUUGUUGCCUUGUUGGGUUGAGACGCCGCCAUACCUACAUAAAAACAUCAAGGCUCGGAGUUAGUACAAUAACAUGAUAAAGAUAAGUGAAAUAUGUGACAACAAAAAAUGCACAACAUGACAAAAAUAAUGAAAUAUAUCAAACUUACGGAAAUGGUCCUUAUAGGUAUCCGAACAUUCCUCUACCACCACCCGAACCUCUACCCAUAAAACCUCCUCUACGACCAGCACUACCACGAGCACUUGAACGGCCACGUCUACUAUCGUCGGAUCCUCGGCCCACAACACGGCCACCACUUGAACCACCACGUCUACCAUCACCGGAUCCUCGGCCCACAUCAAGGCCACCACUUGAACCACCACGUCUACCACCGCCGGAUCCUCGGCCCACAGCAAGGUCACCAGUGGAACCACCUUCACCACCAACACUUGAACCACCUCUGCCACCCACAUCACUAGUAGAUGCAUUGUGACCUUUUGAAGUUUUGUUUGUUUUGCAAGUCCUCUUAUUAUGUCUUGUUUCAUUGCAAUCACCGCAUUGGUUCCUAUCACGUGGCUCCAUGAAAUGUCCACUACCAAACUCUCUCGUGCUCAUGAGGUCGUCCAUAUCAUUCCUAUAUCGUUUUGUUCUCCUUCUACCCUUCGGUUGAACCAUCAUCUCUGGAUCUGGCCUAAUAUUAGGGCUGUGAUACUAUGGCCACUGUGAUGGGUCAAGAAAAGGGUGGAAUCUCCAAGCCCAUGUUAACUUAUGAGUUUGCAAGUUGAAUUCAUGCAACCUCACAACUACACCAUCAGAGAAGGGAAAAUUCCUCAUGCGACAUGUCGUCAUCAUGUGCGAGCAUGUCCAGUGGUACUUAGUAGGCCGGUCACAAGUGAAAUGCCACGUCCGAAGGGAUACCGUAAAUGAGCGACCACCAUAUGAUUGCCCAUCUCUCGUUGUACCGCUUGGCUCAUCCACUUGGUAUUUCAUUUUAGCAUUACCGAAACAAGUGGCUCGCUGCAUGGCUGACUUCUCUUUUUGAAACUCUAGCCACUCGGCAACCUUCUUCGGAUAGAUCUCAUUAGGAGGCUUCUCACUCUCACCAAUCAACUUGUCGAUUUAUUCGGAGUGCUUCAGAAAAUACUCAUUGAGCUUGUAAAAGGUAUAUUCAGCUAUUGCCGUCACCGGCAACUGAUGUGCCCCCUUCAAGACAAAGUUGAAGCACUCAACAAGAUUGCUUGUCAUAUCGCCAUAUCUCAUGCCUCCUUCUUCACAUGCCCGUGACCACUUAUGUUUCUCAUCUAUAUUCAUUUCUAGGAAUUCGCCCUANNNNNNNNNNNNNNNNNNNNNNNNNNNNNNNNNNNNNNNNNNNNNNNNNNNNNNNNNNNNNNNNNNNNNNNNNNNNNNNNNNNNNNNNNNNNNNNNNNNNAGGAUCAUUCUAUGGACAGGAGCAAGCAUCUCGGAGUUGGAAUAUACGCUUUGAUGAGAUGAUCAAAGUUUUUGGUUUUAUACAAAGUUUAUGAGAAACUUGUAUUUCCAAAGAAGUGAGUGGGAGCGUUAUAGAAUUUUUGAUUAGAAUAUGUGAUUGAUAUAUUGUUGAUCGGAAAUAAUGUAGAAUUUAUGGAAAUCAUAAAGGGUUGUUUUAAUGGGGUUUUCAAAGGAAAACCUGGAUUGAGCUACUUGAACAUUGAGCACCAAGAUCUAUGGAGAUAGAUCAAGACGCUUGAUAAAACUUUCAAAUGAAUACAUACCGUAACAAGAUUUUUGAAGGAGUUCAAAAUGGACCAGGUAAAGAAGGAGUUGUUGACUGUAUUGUAAGGUGUGAUUUCGAGUAAGACUGAAAAGACCGACCACAACAUAAGAAAUAUAAAGGACGAAGCUCGUCCCCUGUGCCUUAGCCGCACUCUCUAAAGUAUGCCACGUUGUGUACCACACCUGAUGUGUGGCUUGCCAUGAGUCUGUCAAGGGGUACAAAGAGUGAUCCAGGAUUGAAUCACUGAACAAGGGUCAAAGUUAUCCUUAGUAACUAGUGGACUAAGGAAUUUUUUAUCGAUUAUGGAGGUGAUUAAAGAGUUCAUCGUAAAGGGUUGCGUCAAUGCAAGCUCCGACACUAAUUCGGAUAACUCUGAGUAGCAAACCGGAUUCGUAUGGUGGAGCAGUCAUUUGGAAUAGUUCCAAAUGGAGCGUGGUAGCAGCAUCUAUUGGGACAUAGAGAUUUGUAAAGCACUCACGGAUGUGAAAGAUUUAGACCCGUCGACUAAAAAGCUCUCUCACAAGCAAGAUAUGAUCAAACCCCAUAACUGUAUGGGUGUUAGAUUCAUUACAAUCACAUAGUGAGGUGAACUAGAUUAUUGAGUCUAGUGCAAGUGGGAGACUAUUGGAAAUAUGCCCUAGAGGUAAUAAUAAAUUGGUCAUUAUUAUAUUGUCUGGACACAUAGACAACACACUGUCCCUAGUGAGCCUCUAGUUGACUAACUCAUUGCUCAAAGAUGGUCAAGGUUUCCUGGCCAUAGACAACUGUUGUAACUUUAUAACGGGAUCACAUCAUUAGGAGAAUGAUGUGAUGGACAAGACCCAAACUAUGAACGUAGCAUAUGAUCGUGUUAGUUUAUUGCUAUUGUUUUUUGCAUGUCAAUGUAUCUGUUCCUAUGACCAUGAGAUCAUGCAACUCCCGCACACCGGAGGAAUACCUUGUGUGUAUCAAAUGAAGCAACGUUACUGGGUGACUAUAAAGGUGCUCUACAGGUAUCUCCGAAGGUGUUUGUUGGGUUGUCAUGGAUCAAGACUGGGAUUUGUCACUCCAUGUAACGAAGAGGUAUCUCGGGGCCCACUCGGUAAUAAAACAUCACAACAAGCCUUGCAAGCAAUGUGACUAAGGAGUUAGUCACGAGAUCUUGUAUUACGGAAUGAGUAAAGAGACUUGCCGGUAACGAGAUUGAACUAGGUAUAGAGAUACCGAUGAUCGAAUCUUUGGCAAGUAACAUACCGAAGGACAAAGGGAACAACAUACGAGAUUAACUCAAUCCUUGACAUAGAGGUUCAAUCGAUAGAGAUCUUCGUAGAAUAUGUAGGAGCCAAUAUGGGCAUCCAGGCCUCGCUAUUGGUUAUUGACCGGGGAAUGUCUCAGGUCAUGUGUGCAUAGUUCUCGAACCCACAGGGUGUGCACACUUAAGGUUCGGUGACGUUUCGGUAUAGUUGAGUUAUGGUUGUUGGUUACUGAAGGUUGUUCGAAGUCCUAGAUGAGAUCCUGGACAUCACGAGGAGCUCCAGAAUGGUCUGGGGGGGGGGGGUAAAUAUUGAUAUAUAGGAAGUCCUGCUUUGGUCACCGGAAAAGUUUCGGGCUCAUCGGUAGUGUGCCGGGAGUGCCGGGAGGGUGCCGGGGGACCACCAGCAGGGGUGUGACGACCUAAGAGCCUUAUGGGUUGUGAGAGGAGGUAGACCAGCCCUUGGUGGGCUGGCUGAAGCCUCUCUCAAAAGCCCAUGCGGCUAGGAGUAGAGACAAAAGGCAAAAGUCAUUUAAAAGGAAAGGAAGGAGGAGUCCUCCCAAAGUAGACCACCUCGCUUGUGGGAAGGUGGACUCUUCCUUUAGGGUUCGGCCGACCCCUUCUCCUUGGAGUAGGGGCCAAGACUGCCUCCUCUCCCCCCUACUAUAUUUGCUAGAGGUAUUGAGGGGUUUUGGACAACAUAGAAAUCAACCACGGCUGCCUCUCUCUCUAGAUCUGUUUCUCCUUUAGUCUAGAAUGACAGUGCUUAGGCGAAGCCCUGCUGGAUUAGUUCACGACCACCACCACCAUGCCACCAUGCUGGAGAACUCAUCUACCUCUCCGCCCCCUCUUGCUGGUUCAAGAAGGCGGGGAUCGUGAUCGAGUUGUACGUGUGUUGAACAUGGAGGUGCUGUCCGUUCGGCACUAGAUCGGGAUGGAUCGUGGUGGGAUCACGGGACGGGUUGUGAUGAGAUCGUGUGACGGGCUGAGAUUUGGAUAGCGAAGAUGUUCCACUACAUCAACCGCGUUAUAUACGCUUCCGUUUAGCAAUCUAAAAGGGUAUGUAGAUUCACUCUCCCCUCUCGUAGAUGAUCAUCACCAUGGAUAGGUAUUGCGUGUACGUAGGAAUUUUUUUGUUUCCCAUGCAAUGUUCCCAACAGUUGGAGGCCCGUCCGGUUGCCUGCUGGAGACCUGUUUGGCUGUCGGCCCCCGGCUAUCCGGUUGUCGGCUACCGGUUGGGACCCGUCCAACUAGAACGCGUCUGGCUCGAGACCUAUCCGGGUGGAGCUGAGUGAAGUCAACUGCAAGGUCCCAUCAGACACGACGCAAGGAUGCUACAGCAUGCAUCACUGCGCCCCAGCAGUCCAGUCUGCAUCACUGCGCACCCGUCACCUCCAAUAGUGAAGUUAGUCCAUGCGCCCCCACACCCAUCAUGUCCAAUAGUAAAGUUAGGCCACGUGGGCCACCCUUUCUCCCCUAGGCACCCCUUUAAAAGGUGAUCCAAGGAGCCAGCCCAAGGACAGACACACACGAUGGGGAGGAGUCUCCAUGGCUCCCCCAUUCUCUUGUUCCCCACUCUACACGAGAAGAGGAGAGAUCCCAGCCUCCUUCUUCUUCCUCCAGACAGCUCAAGGAACACCAUGUACAACCAUAUACUCUCCAUAUACACCACACAUGCACGAGUAGGGGUGUUACCUCUACAUGAGGGCCCCGAACCUAGGUAAACCACCGCGUGUUGUUGCCCAACCCAUUCCGGAUCUCCACGGGGUCCCUGAUCUCACCUCUCUAAGCCACCACUCGCAUAUGUCGUGCGAAACUACCAGGACAUGUCGGCUGGCGGCCGCUGAACCGUCUGGUCCUCACGCUGCUAGCCGUCUGGCGAUAGCCGACCCGUAUGGCUAGCCCCAACGGCAACUGGCGGGUCAACACUCGUUCCAUCCAUACCAGCGUAUGACGACAAGACCAGACUCCUGAUGCAGAGGUGCUAGUGCUAAUAGUGUGCGCUAACAAGCCCGGCGUGGCCACGGGCGUACCGAUGCGAGGGUGACCGGGCGAGGUGGCCCUAUAGCCAUUCAUAUCCCUACCUACUCAAUGAUGACGGCGUGCUAACCACUAUCGCGCUCGGCCGGCGGGCCCCACGGCGAACAAGACUCGACAACCGACGAGCCUCUCAGCCAGCCGGAGAGAGGCUCACAGCCGGGCCCUGCCCCGGUUCCCCCCCACUACUGUACACUCCUGGCUAGACUAUAAACACAAACCCCAGCCCCUCAAGAGAGGGCUUGCGAACUCUCGGUCCACAGAUCCCCACAUAGCACACCGGAGAGGCAGUGAGGCGGGCACCGACAACUCUGUCUCCUCCCUCGCGAAUAGCUCGAGGAGCACCAUUGUACGGUGAUCACAUAUAGUCAUACCGGUAGGGCUAGGGGUUUUACCUCACUGGAGGGUCCUAAACCUGGGUAGAUCGGCGUCAUGUGUCUCUCGCCUACACCCAUUCCCAAACGAUGUUGGCGCCCAUCGUCCGCAAACCACGAUCUAAGCCAUCCAGUGGCAUCUCCCAUGGAAAUACCAUGAUAGUUGGCGCCCAUCAUGGGGUUGGCAGCAACGCCGGUCGGAGUAAUGUUCCAGGAAGGACCUUUCACCCCUUUUGGCGAGCACGUGGCGCACGACUUGGUUGUCCUCUAUGGCAUGCUCGACUGCAUCAACGACAACGCAUGCCACCUCAAGGACGCGGACGUCCCCGUCGAUGGCUCCAUCGUCUCCUUUGGCUCGCAUUGCAUCUACGUCGCGGUCGUCCCCGACGAGUACCCCGCCGAGGUGCUCAGCUACGAUGAACUGCCGCCGUACGACAAUAGCAACCUCUGCACCGGCGUAGAGGUAUGGACUGCUACCUCGUUAGGCGGUACGUCAGGGCACUGAACCCCGCUUCGCGUCGUAGUGGACACACUGCGCACACCCAUCCCUGUGGUAGCCGACCCUGCGGCCGAAACCGAGGAGCUGGACGGCUGAUGACUGAUACGUCUCUGUCGUAUCUACUUUUUCAACCUCUUUUGCCCUUGUUUUGGACUCUACUUUGCAUGAUUUCAAUGGAACUAACCCAGACUAACGCUGUUUUCAGCAGAAUUGCCAUGGUGUUGUUUUUGCGCAGAAAUAAAAGUUCUCGGAAUGACCUAGAAAUUUAUGAGGAUUUUUUGUGGAAUAUAUAAAAAAUACUGGUGCAAGAAUCAACCGGAGGAGUGGAGCGAGGAGCCCACAAGCACACCGGGAGCGACCCCCCUGGCCGCGCCUAGCAGGCUUGUGGGGCCCUCGGAGCUCCACCGCCUCCAACUCCAGCUCUAUUUAGUCCCUUUCGUCCGGAAAACAAAUCAAGGAGGAGAGUUCAUCGCGUUUUACGAUAUGGAGGCGCCGCCACCACCUGUUAUUCCUCUAGAGGGCCGAUCUGGAGUCCGUUCUGGGCUCCGGAGAGGGGAGAUCGUCGCCAUCAUCAUCACCAACCUUCCUUCAUCGCUAAUUCCAUGAUGCUCUUCACCUUUCGUGAGUAAUCUCAUCGUAGGCUUGUUGGACGGUAAUGGGUUGGAUGAGAUCUAUCAUGUAAUCAAGUUAGUUUUGAUGGGGAUUGAUCCCUAGUAUCCACUAUGUUCUGAGAUUGAUGUUGCUAGUACUUUGCCAUGCUUAAUGCUUGUCACUAGGGCCCGAGUGCCAUGAUUUCAGAUCUGAACCUAUUAUGUUCUCGUCAAUAUAUGUGUGCUCUUGAUCCUAUCUUGCAAGUUGUAGUCACCUACUAUGUGUUAUGACCCGGCAAUCCCGGAGUGACAAUAGCCGAAACCACUCCCGGAGAUGACCAUAGUAUGAGGAGUUCAUGUAUUCACUAAGUGCUAAUGCUUUGUUCCAGUUCUCAAAAGGAGAACCUUAAUAUCCCAUAGUUUCCAUUAGGACCCCGCUGCCACGGGAGGGAUGGACAAUAGAUGUCAUGCAAGUUCUUUUCCCUAAGCACGACUACAUACGGAAUACAUGCCUACAUUACAUUGACGAACUGGAGCUAGUUACAUAUCUCUCCAUGUUAUAACUGUUGCAUGAUGAAUAUCAUCUGGCAUAAUUAUCCAUUACCGAUCCAAUGCCUACGAGUUUUUCCUACUUGUCCUUGUUACGUUACUUUGAUGCUACUGUUACUCUGUCGCUACUACUGUCACUGCUGCUACUGUUACUCUGUCGCUACUCCUGUCACUUCUGCUACUGUUACUCUGUCGCUACUGCUGUCACUGCUGCUACUAUUACUGUUGCUACUGUUGCUAUCCCACCACCUUGAUACUGAUACUUUGCUGCAGAUACUAAGUCUUUCAGAUGUGGUUGAAUUGACAACUCAACUGCCAAUACUCGAGAAUAUUCUUUGGUUUCCCCUUGUGUCGAAUCAACAAAUUUGGGUUGAAUACUCUACCCUCGAAAACUAUUGCGAUCCCCUAUACUUGUGGGUUAUCAAGACUAUUUUCUAGCGCCGUUGCUGGGGAGGCAUAGCUAUAUUCUCUGAGUCACUUGGGAUUUAUGUCUGCUAAUCACUAUGAGGAAUCCGAGAGAUCCAAAAACUAAAGUCUUGCCGUCAACUACGAGGACAUGUAAGGAACUGCCAUCUAGCUCUGCACUUGAUUCACCUUCAGUUAUGAGUAAGUUUGCGACACCACCUCCUGCUAAAAUUUUUGAUGUGUCGUCUGUGCUUGAUGAUGCUACUUCUGCUCUCCAUGAUGCUUGUGAUGAUGUUUUGCUUGGUACUGCUUUGCCACUAGGUGCAUUCCUAGGUGCACAAAUUGCUGGAGUUGCUGCUAGAUGUGAUGAUACUUCUGAAACUGCUGAGAUUAUUGAAGUAGAACCUGCUAUUUCGCCUGUUAGAACUAGCUCUCCUAGAUAUGAAUUGCCUGAUAUGCCUCAGGGUUAUGUUAUGGAGGGAGAGAUAGCUGAGGACUUUCUUGCUUGUAAGGAUAGCUAUGAUCUUCAGAAAUUACCGCGCAAGUGGAAAGAAAAAUCUUUGAACGCUAGGAUGAAAUACGACCCGAAGUUUUCUACUUCGCCUAUCUUUGUGACCGAUAAGGAUUAUGAAUUCUCUGUCGACCCUGAGUUAAUCACUCUUGUCGAAUCUGAUCCUUUUCAUGGUUAUGAGUCUGAAACGGUUGUAGCACAUCUUACUAAGCUGCACGAUAUAGCCACCCUAUUCACGAGUGAGGAAAAGAUCCGUCACUACUAUAUCCUUAAGUUGUUUCCUUUCUCGCUAAAGGAUGAUGCUAAGACUUGGUUCACUUCUCUUGCUCCUGGUUGUGUGUGUAGUCCCUAGGAUAUGAUCUACUACUUCUCUAAGAAAUAUUUCCCUGCCCAUAAGAAGCAAGCUGCCUUGCAGGAAAUUAAUAACUUUGCGCAAGUUGAAGAAGAGAGUCUCCCACAAGCUUGGGGGAGGCUUGUCCAACUACUGAAUGCUUUGCUCCAUCACCCUCUUAAGAAGAAUGAAAUACUUGAUAUAUUCUAUAAUGGACUAACCAAUGCUUCUAAGGACCACCUUGAUAGUUGUGUUGGUUGUGUUUUCAGGGAACAAACUAUAGAACAAGCUGAGAUCCUAUUGAACAAUAUCUUGUGCAAUGAGAAUGCUUGGACUAUUCCCGAACCACCUCCGAAGCCAACUCCAAAGAAAAGAGGUAUUCUAUUCCUCAGUCCUGAAGAUAUGCAAGAAGCUAAGAAAUCUAUGAAAGAGAAAGGCAUUAAAUCCGAAGAUGUCAAAAAUCUACCACCUGUCGAAGAGAUCCAUGGUCUUGAUAACCUGACACAUGUAGUAGAGGUAAAUUCUCUUCACAGAUUAAAUGAGAGUGAUAUUCCUUUUGAUAAACCUGCUAGCUUAUGCGUGGAUGAAUUUGAUAACUUUGUUGCCACACAACGAAGUUUCAAUGAUUAUGUUAGUAGACAAUUGGAACAUAAUGCUCGUAUGCUUAGUCAUUUAAGUGCUUGUGUGGACAGAAACGUCAAUGAUCUUAAGCUUUUGAGUAAACAUGCCUCUAUGCUUACUACUCAAGUAGAACAAGUACUUAAGGCUCAAAAUGACUUGCUCAAUGAGUUGAAUGACAAUUCUGUCAGAGUCGUCACUAGAGGCGGUAGACUGACCCAAGAACCUUUGUAUCCUGAGGGUCAUCCUAAGAGAAUUGAACAAUAUUCUCAAGGCAUUAGCACUGAUGCACCUAGUCAUCCUAGGAAGAAGAAGAAAUAUGAUAGGAACUUGCAUGCUAGCAACCCUGUUGCUGUUACACCCGAGAAUCCAAACGAUGUCUCUGUUUCUCAUGCCGAAACACAAUCUGGUGAUGAACAUGGGCCUAAUUAUAAUAUCGAUAGUGAUGUUCUUGAUGAUGCUCAACCUAGCAAUGAUAACGAUGUGGAGAUUGAACCAGUUGAUCUUGAUAACCCACAACCUAAGAAUAGGAGAUACGAUAAGAACGACUUCACUGCUAGAAAGCAUGGUAAAGAAAGGGAACCAUGGGUUCAGAAACCCAUGCCCUUUCCCCCCAAACCAUCCAAGAAAAAGGAUGAUGAGGAUUUUGAGCGAUUUGUUGAAAUAAUUAGACCUGUCUUUCUGCAAAUGCGUUUGACAGAUAUACUCAAAAUGUCUCCCUAUGCUAAGUACAUGAAGGAUAUUGUUACUAAUAAGAGGAGGAUACCUGAGGUUGAGAUUUCCACCAUGCUCGCUAAUUACACCUUCAAGGGUGAAACUCCUAAGAAACUAGGUGAUCCCGGAGUGCCCAGUAUACCUUGCUGCAUUAAAGGCAACUACGUUAGAACUGCUUUAUGCGACCUUGGAGCCGGUGAUAGUGUUAUGCCUCUCUUUCUUUAUCGUAGACUUGAACUGGAUAAGUUGACACCCACUGAAAUCUCUCUGCAAAUGGCCGACAAAUAAACAUCUUUCCCUAUCGGCAUUUGCGAGGAUGUGCCUGUUGUGGUUGCUAACGUUACUAUCUUAACGGACUUUGUUAUUCUGGACAUUCCCGAGGAUGAUGCCAUGGCAGUCAUCCUUGGAAGACCCAUUUUGAACACUGUAGGGGCUGUUAUUGAUUGCAAUAAAGGCAAUGUCACUUUCCAUGUCAAUGGUAAUGAGCAUACGGUGCACUUUCCAAAGAAAAAAUAUCGGGUACAUUGCAUCAAUGCUAUUGAAAAAACUUCAUCGAUUCUUAUUGGGAGCUUUGAAUGCCCUAUACCUACUUUUAAGAUGAAGUAUGAUUUGCUUGUUGGGGAUAUGCACAUCCCCAUUGAGGUAACCUAGUGACUAUUCUCCGUUUUUACGUGAUUCGAAAAAAGUUUGUCAAGGAGACUUGAUCAACUUCAUUGACGGAUUUCUUUUGAUGACCAUGAGAUGGAUGAAUCUAAGAGCCAUAACCCUCUGUUUCAAACCUUUACCUUCGGUAGCUUAGAAGAAAAAUGAUAGAUUUAGCUUUAGUGUCUCCUGUUUUCUGUUUUUUGUGUCCUGUAGAAAAGUGUCCGAAAAUAAAAUUUCUCCCAAUGUCGUGAAAAUCAAGUAUGAUUUUUUCUGGAUUUUUUGAAAAAUACUGAGACGGAGAGCUAGUCAGGGGGAUGCACCAGUGGGCCACAAGCCCAGGAGGCGUAGGCACCCCCUGGUCGCGCCUACCAGGCUUGUGGGGCCCACGUGUCCCCCCUCCACUUAUUCCAGCUCCCAUCUCCUUCUCCUACCUCGAGAAAAAUUCAUUCUACAGCUCAAACCCGUGUUCUUGCUCUUCUUGCUGCGAUUUUCAAUCUCCUUGUGCAAAGCCCCAUUCACGAAACUGUUUUGGGGGAAAUUGCUCCUUGGUAUGUGACUUCUUCAUUGGUCCAUUAGUUUUUGCUCUAGUGUCUUAUUCGUUGCGUAUUUUUGCUGCCUUGGUGACCCUGUUCUUGAGCUUUGCAUGCUAAUUUUAGCUGGUCCCAAGUAAUUUUGAUGCGUGAUAUGGCCUCUAGGCACUUGUAGGAGUAGUUGAUACGAGUUUCAUUGGGCCUUGUUCACUUUUCCUUAGAGUCACUAAAAAUUUCAGAAAUUUUCUAAGAAAGAAAAAGGAAAAGAUGAGGAGGUUCCUAAGAGGCUCUUCAAGCCGUGACCCCAAGGAUGAAGAAAAUGAGAAGAAGAAACCCAAGUUCGAGCGUGCGAGUGGCCAAGAGAUGUGUUCUUAUGCGCCACCGGACUUUAUGAGGACUUUUACUACUUGGUGGAGAACGCAGGCCUUACCGCCUUCGUUGAAGAUAAGUGUCCGCAAUAUUUUCGUGCAAAGCUUUAAUUUCUAUACAAGGAAGAGUCCUCCUAUGGUUGAGUUCAAGUUAUAUGAUAUCCCCCGGCGCAUGCCACUUCAAGAUUUUUGCAAUGUUUGCAAAUUACCUUAUGUUGGGGAUAUUCAUGAACCUCGUCCACGGGACUUGGAGGCUUUCAUAGAUACUAUUGUUGUAGGAGAGGAGAGAGGAGAGUCUUGCGCUAGAGCUGCUAGCAUACAUUUUCCCGUGCUUCGGUACUUCUCAUUAUUCGUGGGAAAAUGUUUGAUUGGCCGUGGGAAAGCUGGGGCCCUUAGCUCCCCAGAUCUUGGGGUUUUGCGCGAAGCCCUUUAUAAUGAUAAAACUUAUAGCUUGGAUGCUAUAGUAGCUCAACGGUUGAACACGAACCGUUCCAAAGGCGUUGUUUAUGAAGGUAUCUAUGCUACCCGUCUUGCUAGACAUUUUGAGAUACCUAUAAGACUGCACGAGGAAGAAGAGAUUCUUCUUCCUCAGAGAUAUCUAGAUUAUGAUAGCAUGGUUCGCCAUGACCUUCUUGAUAAAGAUAUAAGUAAGAGGAUGAUUUAUAACCUGGUAUUUAGUCAGGGUACUCGUGAGACUAUUACUUUGCCUGCUCCUUCUUUCUUCAAUCUUCAUCUAGGCAGGUACAUUAUUAUGCCCUCGGACAUCUACGCAUAUUGGGGCAUAGCACCACCACAGGCGCCCGUGCCCGAGCUACCAGUCGAGUACGAGACGCCAAUUUAUCAGUGGGAGCCAGAGGAGCUCACACAGCAGUGGCACCCUCAGUACACUCCGGAGUACCCCAGAGACGGUUAUUUCCCUCCUUGGGAGUAUACCAAAUUAGGCCAAAAGCCUAAGCUUGGGGGAGUACGUGUUUCUCACCGACUUUAUAUUCUUGUUCACACAUUCACUUUGUUAGUCGGUGUUUACACUUUGCCACUGUAUCAUCCAUGCUAGUUUAUUUCUUUUUCUUGCUUUCUUCUCGUGUGUUUGUCUAGUUUGAGAAAACCCAAAAAGAUUUCUCGUUCUUCUUUUGCUUGUUGGGAGUUUUCCCGUGUAAAUAGUUUUCUUUUUCUUUGGGUCAAGGUAGAAGACCAUGGUUACAAUGUUUAGUGGCUCUCACAUGCAUAUCUGUUUAUCUGUUGAAGAGCCAUAUUACUUUGUCUUCUCCUUUGUGUUUGCUUGCAGAUUCUAGCUUAGUCCAAUGCACGAGUACUCUUAUUAUUGUUUACAUCAUUCGGUCGUGCAAGUGAAAGGAGAUAAUGAUGAUAUAUGAUGAAGUGACUGAGCCUGGAAAAGCUGGUAUGAACUCGAUCUAUUUUGUUUUUGUAAAUAUGACUAGCUCAUCAUUCCUGAUUCAACUUUCUUGUGAGAGAAACAUGUUUGCAAUGACAACUUAGAGAUCAUAGUUUCUCAUGCCAUGCUUAAUUAGCUAGGAUCUUAUAAUGGUUUGUCUUGGAUCCCACCAUGAAUUUGAGAUGAUUAUGAUGUAGUAUGAUAGGAUGGUAUCCUCCUUUGAAUGAUUCAAGUGGCUUGACUUGGCGCAUGUUUACUCAUGUAGUUGAAACAAAAUCAAGAUAGCCUCUAUGAUAUUCAUGUUCACGGUGAUUUAUGUCCUACUCAUGCUUGAACUCCAUGUUGGUUAAUCUCAAUGCAUUUUGAUGACUGUUGUCGCUCUCUAGUUGGUCGCUUCCCAGUCUUUUGCUAGCCUUCACUUCUACUAAGCAGGAAUACUGCUUGUGCAUCCACUUCCAUAAACCCAAAGUUGUUCCAUAUGACUCCACCAUACCUACCUAUAUGCGGUAUCUACCUGCUCUUCCAAGUAAAUUUGCAUGUGCCACUCUCUAAACCUUCAAGAAAUAAUCUAUUUUGCAUGCCCGAACCACUCAUGUGGUGACAGGGGGCGAUCAGUAUCUUCCAUGCUAGGCGUGUUAUCCCCGAUAUGUGUUUAUUCACUAUCAUUCAUGAGCAAGGGGUCGGUAAUUGGAACGCCCAAUUCCAUGCUCAAAUCGAAAAUAUAAUUGCAAACAAAACUCCCCCUGGAUUGUUGUUGGUAUGGACGGCACCCGAGUAUUCGGCUAGUCAUGGAGUGAGAUUGAUCGGUGGUGGGGGAGUCAACACUUUACUUUUCUGUUUGGGAACCGCCUAUAAUAUGUGUAGCAUGGAAGAUGGUGAAAACUCUUGGUCAUCGCGUUGACACUGAAAGCAUGCCACGCAAAAUUAUUUAUCUCUGUUUUAAAAGCUUGAGCUCUAGUACCUCUGCAAAUCAAUGCUUUCCUCUGUGAAGGACUUGUCUAUUUAUGUUUCUGUUGAGUCAUCCUCUUCUUAUAAAAGCACCAAUUAGAGAUUACCUCUGUCAUUUCUAUAAUUUGCUUUUAAUUGAUAUUGAGUAUGAUUGUGACUGGUUCUUCUUUGCCAUGAAUUACAAUGUUCAGUCAGCCCUUGGUCUUUGAAGGUGCUCUGCAUUUAUGUUUUGCGGUCUGAGAAAUAGCUAGCGAGAUACCAUCUGUUCAUAUUGCUUCAUGAUUGUUUUGAUUGAAGUGUUGACAUUUGAAACUCAUUAGUAUUGCUCGCUACUUGAUUAUGCCGUUGAUAUGAGUUCCUCUUGAGACCUAAAUGUCGUUGCUUAUGUGGUUAGCUUAUGAUCUUGCUGAAAAUCUGAAUAUGAGUUAGACAUAAUUGCAACAACAAGAUUAAACAGAGUUCGUAAAAGUUUUUCUUUUGUCUGUUUCAGUUUGUCAACUAAAUUUCUUGAGGACAAGCAAGGUUUUAAGCUUGGAGGAGUUGAUACAUCUCCGUCGUAUAUACUUUUCCAAACUCUUUUGCCCUUGUUUUGGACUCUAAUUCGCAUGAUUUGAAUGGAACUAACCCGGACUAACACUGUUUUCAGCAGAAUUGCCAUGGUGUUGUUUUUGCGCAGAAAUAAAAGUUCUCGGAAUGACCUGGAAAUUUACGAGGAUUUUUUGUGGAAUAUAUAAAAAAAUCCUCGUAAGUUUCCAGGUCAUUCCAAGAAAUUUUAUUUCUGCACAAAAACAACCAUGGCAGUUCUGCUGAAAACAGCGUCACUCCGGGUUAGUUUCAUUCAAUUCAUGCAAAUUAGAGUCCAAAACAAGGGCAAAAGAGUUUGGAAAAGUAGAUACGUUGGAGACGUAUCAACUCCCCCAAGCUUAAAUCCUUGCUUGUCCUCAAGCAAUUCAGUUGAUAAACUGAAAGAGACAAAAGAAAAACUUUUACGAACUCUGUUUGAUCUUGUUGUUGUAAUUAUGUCUAACUCAUAUUCAGACUUUCAGCAAGAUCAUAAGCUAACCACAUAAGCAAUGACAUUUAGGUCUCAUGGUAUACUCAUAUCAAUGGCGUAAUUAACUAGCAAGCAAUAAUAAUGACUUUCAAACAUCAACACUUCAAACAAAAUAAUCAUGAUACAAUAUGAAAAAUGGUAUCUCGCUAGCCCUUUCUCAGACCGCAAAACAUAAAUGCAGAGCACCUUCAAAGACCAAAGGCAGACUGGAAAUUGUAAUUCAUGGCAAAGAAGAUCCAGUCAUAGUCAUACUCAAUAUCAAUUAAUAGCAAAGCAUAUAAAUGAUGGAGGUGCUCUCUAACUUGUGCUUUUUAAUAAGAAGAGGACGACUCAACAGAAACGUAAAUAGAUAUGCCCUUCGCAGAGGGAAUCAUUAAUUUGGAGAGGUGCUAGAGCUCAAGCUUUUUUUAAACAGAGAUAAAUAAUUUUGGGUGGCAUGCUUUCAUUAUCAACGCGAUGACCAAGAGUUUCCACCAUCUUCCAUGCUACACAUAUUAUAGGCGGUUCCCAAACAGAAUAGUAAAGUUGUGACUCCCCCACCACCGAUCAAUCACACUCCACGACUAGCCGAAUCCUCGGGCGCCAUCCAUACCAACAACAAUCCAAGGGGAGUGUUGUUUGCAAUUAUAUUUUUGAUCUGAUUUGAGCAUGGAACUGGGUAUUCCGAUUACCGACCCCUUUCUCGUGAGUGAUAGUGAAUAAACACGUAUCGAGGAUAACACGCCUAGCAUGGAAGAUACUGACCGCCCCUUGUCACCACAUGAGCGAUUCAGGCAUACAAAACAGAUUAUUAUUUGAAGAUUUAGAGAGUGGCACAUGCAAAUUUACUUGGAACGACAAGUAGAUACCACAUAUAGGUAGGUAUGGUGGACUCAUACGGAACAACUUUGGGUUUAUGGAAGUGGAUGCACAAGCAGUAUUCCCUCUUAGUACAAGUGAAGGCUAGCAAAAGACUGGGAAGCGACCAACUAGAGAGCGACAACAGUCAUCAGUAUGCAUUGAAAUUAACCAAUGUUGAGUGCAAGCAUGAGUACGAUAUAAAUCACCAUAAACAUGAAUAUUUUCGAGGAUAUGUUGAUUUUGUUUCAACUACAUGCGUGAACAUGUGCCAAGUCAAGCCACUUGAAUCAUUCAAAGGAGGAUACCAUCCUAUCAUACUACAUCAUAAUCAUCUUGAAAAUCAUCUUGGCAUCCAAGACAAACCAUUAUAAGCUCCUAGCUAAUUAAGCAUGGCAUCAGAAACUAUGAUCUCUAAGUUGUCAUUGCAAACAUGUUUCUCUCAUAACAAUGCUGAAUUAGGAACGAUGAGCUAGUCAUAUUUAUAAUAACAAAAUAGGUCGAGUUCAUACUAGCUUUUGCAGGCUCAGUCACUUCAUCAUAUAUCAUCAUUAUUGCCUUUCACUUGCACGACCGAAUGAUGUGAAUAAUAAUAAGAGUGUUCGUGCAUUGGACUAAGCUGGAAUCUGCAACAAAAUUCAGAGGAGAAUACAAAGUAAUAUGGCUCUUUGACGGAUAAACAAUAAUGCAUAUGAGAGCCACUAAUCAUUUUAAUCAUGGUCAUUGAUACGUCUCAAACGUAUCUAUAAUUUUUGAUGGUUUCACGCUGUUAUCUUGCCAUCUUUGGAUGUUUUAUGUACCUUUUAUAUAUUUUUUGGCACAAACUUAUUAAUUCAGUGUCAAGUGCCAGUUCCUGUUUUUCUGUGUUUUUGACUCUUUUUAGAUCUGAUUUUGGAACGAAGUCCAAACGGAAUAAAAACCCCGAAAUGAUUUUUUCCCGAACGGAAGAAGAUCAGGGGGGCUCGGGGCCAAGCCAGGUGGGCUCUAGGGAGCCCAGAGGCUCCCACUCCGCCACCAGGGGGAGGCGGCGGUGUCAGGGCUUGUGGCCUCCCUGGCCGCCCCGUGACCUAGAUCCUUGGCCUAUAUAUUCCCAAAAAUUCAGCAAAAAAUCAAGGGAGCCUCGAAAAUACUUUUUCGCCGCCGCAAGCUUCUGUUUCCGCGAGAUCUCAUCUGGUGACCCUUCCCGGCGCCCUGCCGGAGGGGACUUUGGAGUUGGAGGGCUUCUUCAUCAUCAUCAUCGCCCCUCCAAUGACUCGUGAGUAGUUCACUUCAGAUCUACGGGUCCGUAGUUAGUAGCUAGAUGGCUUCUUCUCUCUCUUGGAUCUUCAAUACAAAGUUCUCCAUGAUCUUCAUGGAGAUCUAUCCGAUGUAAUCUUCUUUGGCGGUGUGUUUGUUGAGAUCCGAUGAAUUGUGGAUUUGUGAUCAGAUUAUCUAUGAUAUAUAUUUGAGUCUUUGUUGAUUUCUUAUAUGCAUGAUUUGAUAUCCUUGUAAGUCUCUCCGAGUCUUGGGUUUUGUUUGGCCAACUAGAUCUAUGAUUCUUUCAAUGGGAGAAGUGCUUGGUUUUGGGUUCUACCAUGUGGUGACCUUUCCAAGUGACAGUAGGGGCAGCAAGGCAGACAUUAAGUAGUUGCCAUCAUGCGUAAAAAGAUGGGGUUUUCAUCAUUGGUUUGAGAUUAUCCCUCUACAUCAUGCCAUCUUGCUUAAGGCGUUACUCUGUUCUUAUGGACUUAAUACACUAGAUGCAUGCUGGAUAGCGGUCGACGUGUGGAGUAAUUGUAGUAGAUGAAGAAAGUAUCGGUCUACUUGUUUUGGACGUGAUGCCUAUAGAUAUAAUCAUUGCCAUAGAUACAGUCACGACUUUGCGCGGUUCUAUGAAUUGCUCGACAGUAAUUUGUUCACCCACCGUCUACUUGCUUUCAUGAGAGAAGCCACUAGUAAACACUACGGCCCCCGGGUCUAUUCACAUCCAUCGUUUACACCUCCGCUUUUACUUUGCUUUGUUACUUUGUUGCUUUUAGUUCUCACUUGGCAAACAAUCUAUAAGGGAUUGACAACCCCUUCAUAGCGUUGGGAGCAAGCUUUUUGUGUUUGUGGAGGCUCUUGUGAUACUCCUCCACUGGAUCGAUACCUUGGUUCUCAAACUGAGGGAAAUACUUACCACCUCUAUGCUACAUCACCCUUUCUGCUUUGAGGGAACACCAAUGCAAGGCUCCAAGGCCACGGGGGAAAUACUUUGCAUACUUGCCGAGGAAGUCCCUUAAGGUGUAGCCGCAGAAGAAGGAUCAACCCAAGUAUUCUCCCGUCAACGUGCCUAUUUCUGGCACCAUUGGAAGGUCCUUGGUUGCAGUAGCAGAAGUAUUUCUGGCGCCGUUGCCAGGGAGGAGAGAUCUAUCCAAGUAGGUCUCACAAACUCAUCUCUUGCAUUUACUUUUUUGCCAGUUUCCUCUCGUUUUCCCCUCCCCGACUUCACAUUUGCCGUUUUCAUUUGCCUUUCUCCUUUGCCUUUUUCAUUCGCCCUUUUCUCUUGUUUGCCUUUCCGUUGCUUGUGUGCUAUGUGCCUUCAAUAUGCUUGCAUCUUCGCUUACUGAAAAUCUAGUGAUAUGGAUCCUCAUCCACUUGCUAAUCUCUUUAAGAGACCAACUUAUGUGGAACGAAUUGCUAGUGAGUUGAGGGCACUUGAUUAUCUUUAUGGAGUUUUGCUUGAGAUCCGUGAAUCUGAAAAUUGCGAGGAAGAAAAUUAUGAAGUGAUUCACAAGGGCUCCUUGGAUGAAAAGCAUGAUUGCAAUGGUUUCACUAUAAAUCCUAUUAGUGAAAAUCAUGCUAAAAAUAUGCAAAACCCUAAUCUUGGGGAUGCUAGUUUUGCUAUGUCCCCUACUUGUUGCAAUAAUCAUGAUUGGGGUGAUGAUCUUUCUUAUGAUCUUGAAAAUUUGUUUAAGCCUCAUGAUGAGUAUGAUAUUUGCAACAAUAUUGAAAGUGGGAUUGGAGAAGUCAUGACUUUAUUUAAUGAUAAUCCCACUAUUUUUGAAGAGCGUCAACUUUGCAUGCAUAUGGAUCAUGAAAAGAAUAUCCUAUGUGAUAGUUACAUUGUUGAAUUCGAAUAUGAUCCCACAUGUAAUUAUUAUGAGAGGAAAAUAUGGUGGUAGAAACUUUCAUAUCACUAAAUCACCUCUCGUUAUGUUGAGAUGGCUAUUGUCUCUUUCUUCUUCCUUGCAUUUGGUAACUAUUGGUUGUCUUGCCAAUUUGUUUUCCUAUAAAAUGCCUAUGGAUGGGAAGUAUGUUAGACUUAGAUGUGAUUUUCACAUGCUUUAUGAUGCUCUCAUUGUGCUUCAACUCUUGUCUUUUGUGUGAGCAUCAUUGAUGCCUAGCUAAGGGCGUUAAACAAUAGCGCUUGUUGGGAGGCAACCCAAUGAAUUUAUUCUUUUUCAUUCUGUUUUGUGUUUUCCCCACUUUCAUAAUUCUGUUAUGAUUGUGUUUUUUGUGUUUAUUUUUGCGUUUUUGCCAAGCAAAACCGUUAUGAUUAGUCUUGGGGAUGAUCGUUUGGUCAUGCUGGAAAAGAAAGAAACUUUCUGCUCACGAAAAGAAUUUUCAUUUUUUUUAUGUAAGAGAUUUGGAGUUGAUUGUUUUUGCUGCUGAUGUCUACGCAAAUACUUCAUACUUUCGUAAAUGUUCAGAAUUUUUGAAGUAAAAUAGGCAUACGAAAUAUACAGAUUGCUCAGACUGGUCUGCUGUUAACAGAUUCUGUUUUUGUUGUGUUGGUUGCUUAUUUUGAUGAAACUAUGGAUAGUAUCGGGGGGUAUUAGCCAUGGAAGAUUGAAAGUACAGUAACCCAACAUCAGGACAAGUAGAAUUUAAGUUUUCUACAGUACCUAAGGAAGUGGUGGUUUGGUUUCUUGUACUAAUGUUAUCACGAGUUUCUGUUUAAGUUUCGUGUUAUGAAGUUUUCAAGUUUUGGGUGAAGUUCUUAUGGACAAAGAGAUAAAGAGUGGCAAGAGCUCAAGAUUGGGGAUUCCCAAGGCACCCCAAGAGAUUCAAGGAUGCCGUAAAAGCCUAAAGCUUGGGGAUUCCCCAGGAAGGCAUCCCUUCUCUCGUCUUCAAUCCAUCGGUAACGUUACUUGGGGCUAUAUUUUUAUUCACCACAUGUUAUGUGUUUUUGCUUGGAGCGUCUUGUGUCGUAGGAGUCUUUUAUUUUUGUUGUGACACAAUCAUCCUUGCUGCACACAUAGAGAGAGAGACAUGCACACACCAUGAUUUUGUCGAGCUUCACUUAUAUCUUUUGGUAGACAAUUCAGCUCACAUGUGCUUCACUUAUAUCUUUUGAGCUAGAUACUUUUGCUCUAUGUGCUUCACUUAUAUCUUUUAGAGCGCAGCGGUGCGUGGCUUGGUAGUUUCUCUAUGAUUUGAAAGUAGUCUCAAAAGGGGUAGUUAUCCAAAGGGAUACGAAAACUUCCACCUUCAUGUGCAUUGAAUAGUUAGAGAAGUUUGAUUCAUCUCAAUUAGUUUUGAGUUGUGGUUAUGGUAAUAUUGAAGUCAUGCUAGUAAGGUGUUGUGGAUCUAGAAAUACUUGUGUUGAAGUUAGUGAUUCCCGUAGCAUGCACGUAUGGUGAACCGCUAUGUGAUGAAAUCUGAGCAUGAUUAGUCUAUUGAUUGUCAUCCUUUGCGUGGCGGUCGGGAUCGCGCGAUUGUUUAUACCUACCAACCCUUCCCCUAGGAGUAUGCGUUGAAUGCUUUGUUUCGAUUACUAUUAAAACUUUUGCAACAAGUAUAUGAGGUCUUCAUGACUAAUGUUGAGUCCAUGGUUUAGAUGCACUUUCACCUACCACCAUCACUAUCUUCUUAGUGCCGUGCAACUUUCGCCGGUGCACAAAACCCACCAUUAGCCUCCCUCAAAACAGCCACCAUACCUACCUACUAUGGCUUUUUCAAAGUUAUUCCGAGAUAUAUUGCCAUGCAACUACCACCAUGACAUGUGCCACCACGUCUACAUUGCCAUUGCAUGAUCGUAAGAUAGCUAUCAUGAUGUUUCCAUUGAUGUCUAUGCCAUGCUAGAUCAUUGACAAGGUACACUACCGAAGGCAUUCCAUAUAGAGUCAUAGUUGCUCUAACUUUUGAGUUGAAAGUGUGAUGAUCAUCAUUAUUGGAGCAUUGUCCCAUGUGAGGAAAUAAAAGAGGCCAAAGAAGCCCACCCAAAAAAAGAGAGGCCAGAGAGCCCACCAAAAAAAUGAGAGAAAAAGAGAGAAGGGACAAUGCUACCACUUUUCCACACUUCUGCAUAUUAAGCACCAUGAUCUUCAUGAUUGAGAGUCUCUCGUUUUGUCACCACCAUAUAGCUAGUGGGAAAUUUUCAUUAUAUAACUUGGCUUGUAUAUUCCAAUGAUAGGCUUCCUCAAAAUUGCCUUAGGUCUUCGUGAGCAAGCAAGUUGGAUGCACACCCACUAGUUUUCUUUAAGAGCUUUCACAUACUCGUAGUUCUAGUGCAUCAUUUGUAUGGCAGUCCCUACUCAUUCACAUUGAUAUAUAUUGAUGAGCAUCUCCACAGCUCAUUGAUAUGCCUAGUUAAUGUGACUAUCUUCUCCUUUUUUUGCCUUGCAACCUCUACCACAUUCCACACCAUCUAUAGUGCUAUAACCAUGGCUCACGCUCAUGUAUUGCGUGAGAGUUGAAAAGGUUUGAGAAAGUAAAGGUGUGAAACAAUUACUUGGCCAAUACCGGGGUUGUGCAUGAUUUAAAUUCGUUGUGCAAUGAUGAUAGAGCAUAGCCAGACUAUAUGCUUUUGUAGGGAUAACUUUCUUUUGGCCUUGUUAUUUUGAAAGUUCAUGAUUACCUUGCUAGUUUGCUUGAAUUAGUAUUGUUUCCAUGUCAAUAGCAAACUAUUGUUUUGAAUCUAAUGGAUCUGAACAUUCACGUCACAUAAGAGGAAUUACAAAGGACACCUAUGCUAGGUAGCAUGAAAGCAUCAAAAAAUCAUUCUUUAUCACUUCCCUACUCGAGGACGAGCAGGAGUUAAGCUUGGGGAUGCUUGAUACGUCUCAAACGUAUCUAUAAUUUUUUAUGGUUUCACGUUGUUAUCUUGCCAUCUUUGGAUGUUUUAUGUACCUUUUAUAUAUUUUUUGGGACUAACUUAUUAAUUCAGUGUCAAGUGCGAGUUCCUGUUUUUUCUGUGUGUUUAACUCUUUUUAGAUCUGAUUUUGGAACGGAGUCCAAACGGAAUAAAACCCCGAAAUGAUUUUUUCCCGAAGGAAAGAAGAUCAGGGGGCCUCUGGGCCAAGCCAGGUGGGCUCCAGGGAGCCCACAAGCUCCCAAUCCGCCACCAGGGGAGGCGGCGGUGUCAGGGCUUGUGGCCUCCCUGGCCGCCCCCUGACCUAGAUCCUUGGCCUAUAUAUUCCCAAAAAUUCAGCAAAAAAAUCAGGGGAGCCUCGAAAAUACUUUUCCGCCGCCGCAAGCUUCCGUUUCCGCGAGAUCUCAUCUAGAGACCCUUCCCGGCGCCCUGCCGGAGGGGACUUUGGAGUUGGAGGGCUUCUUCAUCAUCAUCAUCGCCCCUCCAAUGACUCGUGAGUAGUUCACUUCAGACCUACGGGUCCGUAGUUAGUAGCUAGAUGGCUUGUUCUCUCUCUUGGAUCUUCAAUACAAAGUUCUCCAUGAUCUUCAUGGAGAUCUAUCCGAUGUAAUCUUCUUUGGCGGUGUGUUUGUCGAGAUCCGAUGAAUUGUGGAUUUUUGAUCAGAUUAUCUAUGAUAUAUAUUUGAGUCUUUGCUGAUUUCUUAUAUGCAUGAUUUGAUAUCCUUGUAAGUCUCUCCGAGUCUUGGUUUUGUUUGUCCAACUAGAUCUAUGAUUCUUGCAAUGGGAGAAGUGCUUGGUUUUGGGUUCUACCAUGUGGUGACCUUUCCCAGUGACAGUAGGGGCAGCAAGGCACACAUUAAGUAGUUGCCAUCAAGGGUAAAAAGAUGGGGUUUUCAUCAUUGGUGUGAGAUUAUCCCUCUACAUCAUGUCAUCUUGCUUAAGGCGUUACUCUGUUCUUAUGGACUUAAUACACUAGAUGCAUGUUGGAUAGCGGUCGACGUGUGGAGUAAUAGUAAUACAUGUAGAAAGUAACGGCCUACUUGUUUUGGACGUGAUGCCUAUAGAUAUAAUCAUUGCCGUAGAUAUCGUCACGAAUUUGCGCGGUUCUAUGAAUUGCUCGACAGUAAUUUGUUCACCCACCGUCUACUUGCUUUCAUGAGAGAAACCACUAGUAAACACUACGACCAUCCAUCGUUUACACCUCCGCUUUUACUUUGCUUUGUUACUUUGUUGCUUUCAGUUCUCACUUGGCAAACAAUCUAUAAGGGAUUGACAACCCCUUCAUAGCGUUGGGAGCAAGCUUUUUGUGUUUGUGCAGGCUCUUGUGAUACUCCUCCACUCGAUCGAUACCUUGUUUCUCAAACUGAGGGAAAUAAUUACCACCGCUACGCUACAUCACCCUUUCCGCUUCGAGAGAACACCAACGCAAGGCUCCAAGGCCACGGGGGAAAUCCUUUGCAUACUUGCCUAGGAAGUCCCUUAAGGCGUAGCCGCAGCAGAAGGAUCAAGCCAAGUAUUCUCCUGUCAACGUGCCUAUUUCUGGCGCCAUUGGAAGGUCUUUUGUUGCAGUAGGAGUCUUCUAACUCGACCCAAAGAAAAAAGAAAACUAUUUACACGGGAAAGCUCCCAACAAGCAAAAGAAGAACGGGAAAUCUUUUUGGGUUUUCUUUUUAAUUACCACUAAGCAUGCUGGAAACUUUUGGAGUCGGUUUACUUACCGUAUCACAUACCUUUUCGUUCUUGGAGUAUGAAACAAGCUAGUAAAUACCCCUUAUGUACUCCUCCAGAGUUAUGGUAUUAAUAAUAUUGCUUUCGACAUUUAUGGGAGUACCUGAGAUAUAAUGCUUGAUUCUUUGCCUAUUUUCAACUCUCGGAAAAUUACCUUCCGCAUUGUUGAUUUUUAUGGCAUCGGAACGAUAUACUUCCUCAAAAAUGUAAGGUCCUACCCAUUUAGAGAGAAGUUUCCCUGCAAAAAAUCUUAAACGAGAAUUGUAUAGCAAGACAUAAUCACCUACACUCAAAUCACGUUUUUGUAUCCUUUUAUCAUGCCACCUCUUAACCUUUUCUUUAAACAACUUGGCAUUUUCAUAUGACCGAGUUCUCCAUUCAUCAAGUGAGCUAAUGUCAAAUAACGUCUUCUCACCAGCAAGUUUGGAAUCAAAGUUGAGCUCUUUGAUUGCCCAAUAAUCCUUAUGCUCUAGCUCAAGAGGUAAAUGGCAUGCUUUACCGUAAACCAUAUUAUACGGAGACAUGCCCAUGGGAUUCUUAUAAGCAGUUCUAUAAGCCCACAGUGCAUCAUCAAGUUUCUUAGACCAAUUCUUUCUAGACCUAUUAACAGUCUUUUGCAAAAUUAAUUUAAUUUCUCUAUUACUUAACUCUACUUGACCACUAGACUGAGGAUGAUAAGGAGAUGCAAUUCUAUGGUUGACAUCAUACUUAGCAAGCAUUUUACGGAAAGCACCAUGAAUAAAAUGUGAACCACCAUCAGUCAUUAAAUAUCUAGGGACUCCAAAUCUAGGAAAUAUAACUUCUUUAAGCAUCUUAAUAGAGGUGUUAUGAUCAGCACUACUAGUUGGAAUAACUUCUACCCACUUAGUAACACAAUCAACAGCAACUAGAAUAUGAGUAUACCCGUUGGACUUUGGAAAAGGUCCCAUAUAAUCAAAACCCAAACAUCAAAUGGUUCAAUAACAAGUGAAUAAUUCAUAGGCAUUUCCUGACGUUUACUGAUAUUACCUAUUCUUUGACAUUCAUCACAAGACAAGACAAACUUACGAGCAUCCUUGAAGAGAGUAGGCCAAUAAAAACCGGAUUGCAAUACCUUGUGUGCAGUUCUAUCUCCCGCAUGGUGUCCUCUGUAAGCCUCGGAGUGACACUUCUGUAGGAUCUGUCCCUGUUCAUGCUCAGGUACACAACGUCUAAUAACACCAUCUACUCCUUCUUUAUAAAGGUGAGGAUCAUCCCAAAAGUAAUGUCUCAAAACAUAAAAGAACUUUUUCUUUUGUUGGUAUGUGAAACUAGGUGGUAUAUAUUUAGCAACAAUAUAAUUAGCAUAAUCAGCAUACCAUGGUGUACUAUGUGAAACAUUGAUGACAUUCAAUUGUUCAUCAGGAAAGCUAUCAUCAAUAUGUUGUGGGUCAUCAAGAACAUUCUCUAACCUAGACACGUUAUCUGCUACGGGGUUCUCAGCACCCUUCCUAUCAACAAUAUGCAAAUCAAAUUCUUGUAGCAAGAGAACCCAUCUAAUAAGUCUAGGUUUAGCAUCUUUCUUUUCCAUGAGAUAUUUAAUAGCAGCAUGAUCAGUGUGAAUAGUAACUUUGGAAUCAACAAUAUAAGAUCUGAACUUAUCACAUGCAAACACCACUGCUAAAAAUUCUUUUUCAGUAGUAGCAUAGUUUCUUUGGGCACUGUCUAGAGUUUUAUCAACAUAAUGAAUAGCAUUUAAUUUCUUAUCAACUCUUUGUCCUAGAACAGCACCAACAACAUAAUCACUAGCAUCACACAUAAUUUCAAAAGGUAGGUUCCAAUCAGGUGGUUGAACAAUAGGUGUAGUUAUCAAGGCCUUCUUAAGUAUUUCAAAUGCUUCUUCACAAUCAUCAUCAAAAACAGAUGGAAUAUCCUUUUGCAAGAGAUUGGUGAGAGGCCUAGAAAUCUUAGAGAAGUCUUUAAUGAACCUUCUAUAGAAACCAGCAUGACCAAGGAAACUUCUUAUACCUUUAAUGUCUGUAGGGCAUGGCAUUUUCUCGAUCGCAUCAACUUUAGCCUUAUCGACUUCAAUACCUCUUUCAGAAAUUUUAUGACCUAAGACGAUGCCUUCAUUAACCAUAAAGUGGCACUUCUCCCAAUUCAAGACAAGGUUAGUAUCUUACAUCUCUGCAAAACUCGAUCAAGGUUGCUCAAGCAAUCAUCAAAAGAAGAUCCGUAAACGGAGAUAUCAUCCAUGAAAACCUCAACAAUCUUUUCACAAAAGUCAGAGAAUAUAGCCAUCAUACAUCUUUGAAAGGUAGCAGGUGCAUUACAUAAACCAAAAGGCAUACGUCUAUAAGCAAAGAUACCGAAAGGGCAAGUAAAAGUGGUUUUGUCCUGAUCAUAUUGUGCAACCGGUAUUUGGGAGAAACCAGAAUAACCAUCUAGAAAGCAAAAGUGUGUGUGUUUAGACAGUCUUUCUAGCAUUUGGUCGAUAAAAGGCAAAGGGUAAUGAUCUUUCCUAGUGGCCUUAUUCAAUUUCCUAAAGUCAAUUACCAUCCUAUAGCCAGUAACAAUUAUUUGUGGGAUCAAUUCAUCUUUAACAUUAGGGAGAACGGUAAUACCUACCUUCUUAGGGACACAAUGCACCGGACUUACCCAAUCACUAUGAGCAACAUGAUAGAUAAUACCUGCUUCAAGGAGCUUUAGUAUUUCCUUUCUUACCACCUCUUUCAUCUUAGGAUUUAAUCUUCGUUAAUGAUGAGUAACUGGUUUGAAAUCAGGAUCAGUUUUAAUUUUAUGCUGGCAUAGAGUGGGACUAAUGCCCUUAAGAUCAUAAAAGAGUAUAUCCAAUAGUAACACGGUGCUUCCUCAGAGUUUUCAGUAAUUUCUUUUCUUCAUGCUCUGAAAGGUUAGCACUAAUAAUAACAGGAUAUAUCUCUUUUUCAUAAAGAUAAGCAUACUUAAGAGUAUUAGGUAAUUUUUUAAGCUCAAACACAGGAUCACCCUUUGGUGGAGGUGGAUCUCCAAGUAAUUCAAUAGGAAACUUAUUCUUAAGGAUAGGACGUUGUUCAAAGAUAACUCUAUCUAUCUCAUUCCUUUCAUCCAUAUGCAUAUCAUUUUCAUGUUCAAGCAAGUAUUGCUCUAAAAGAUCAGUAGGAGGCACAACAAUAGAAGCAAGAGCAAUAAUUUCAUCCUUACUAGACAAUUAUUUUUCAUGAGGUUGUCUACCAAACUUAGAAAAAUUAAAUUCAGGUGACACACCUUCAAAGCCAACAGUAACAGUUUGUUUCUCAGAGUCAAUCUGAGCAUUAACAGUAUUGAGGAAAGGUCUACCAAAUAUGAUGGGACAAAAGCUAUCUUGUGUGGUAGCAAGAACGAGAAAAUCAGUAGGAUACUUAGUUUUACCACACAAGACUUCAACAUCUCUAACAAUUCCCACAGGGAAGAUAGUAUCUCUAUUAGCAUGUUGAAUAGUAACAUUAAUAAAUUCCAUCUCGACAGGUGCAAUCUCAUCUUUAAUUUCAUUAUAUAACGAUUGAGGUAUUGCACUAACACUAGCACCCAUGUCAAAUAAACCAUGAUCACAAUGAUCUCCUAUCUUAACAGAAACAACAUGCAUGCCAACAACAGGUUUAUGUUUGUCUCUAGCAUGAGGUUUAGCAAUUCUAGCAGCACCUUCACAGAAUUGAAUAACAUGCCCAUCAACAUUAUUGGCCAAGAGAUCUUUAAUAAUAGCAAUGCUAGGUUCAACUUUUAUUUUCUCAGGGGGUGUAGGUGUUCUAAUGUAGCCCUUAUGUAUCACAGUUGAAGUUUUAGCAUGAUCCUUUAUUCUAACAGGGAAAGGUGGUUUCUCAAUGUAAGCACUAGGAACAAUAGAAUCAUUAUAAGCAAUAACUUUCUCUUCAACUAGAUUGGGUUUUACUACAUUGACUUCUAUGGGAGGAUGAUAUUUAGACCACUUCUCCCUAGGGAGAUUAAUAUGAACAACAAAUGAGUCACAUAAUGAAGCUACUAUCGCAGAUUCAAGUCCAUGUUUAGCACUAAAAUCACGAAGAGUAUUUGUUUCAACGAAGGAUUUAAUGCAAUCGAACUUAAGAUUCAUACCUGACUCCUCACCUUCAUAAAACUCCCAAUCUUUAGAGUUGCAUUUAAUUCUUUCCAAUAAAUCCCAUUUGAAGUCAAUAUCUCUCUUCAUAAAAGAACCGGUACAAGAAGUGUCAAGCAUGGUGCGAUUAUCAUGAGUAAGCCGAGCAUAGAAGUUCUGAAUAAUAAUUUCUCUCGAGAGCUCAUGGUUGGGGCAUGAAUAUAACAUUGACUUAAGCCUCCCCCAAGCUUGAGCGAUACUUUCUCUAUCACGAGGACAAAAAUUAUAGGUAUAAUUCCGAUCACGAUGUACCAAAUGCAUAGGAUAAAACUUUUGAUGAAAUUCCAAUUUCAAUCGGUUGUAGUUCCAUGUCCAGUAUCAUCACAUAGCCUAUACCAUGUCAAUGCUUUAUCCCUCAAAGAUAAGGGAAAGAGCUUCUUCUUGACCUCAUCCUCGGGCAAACCUGCAAGCUUAAAUAAACCACAAACUUCCUCUACAUAGAUUAGAUGCAAGUCGGGAUGUGAUGUUCCAUCUCCUGUAAAAGGAUUAGCCAACAGUUUCUCUAGCAUACCCGAGGAAUUUCAUAAUAAAUAUUUUCAGUAGGUGCAGUAGGUUGAGGAGCAAUUAUUUGUGCUUCCGGUCGAGGUGAAGAUACCCCGAACAAGCCCCUCAAAGGAUUAGUUUCCAUAGUGACAAGUGGCAAUAAAUUUCAGCACACUAUAUAAAUGUUUCCUUACCAAAUUCCACUCACCAAAGGCGUUUCACUCCUCGGCAACAGCGCCAGAAAAGAGUCUUGAUGACCCGCAAGUGUAAGGAAUCUGUCGUAGUCCUUUCGAUAAGUAAGAGUGUCAAACCCAACGAGGAGUAGAAGGAAAUGACAAGUGGUGUUCAGCAAGGUAUUCUUUGUAGGCACUGAAAUUAUCGGUAACAGAUAGUUGUGUGAUAAGAUAAUUCGUAAUGGGUAGCAAGUAACAAUAGUAACAAAGGUGCAGAAAGAUGACCCAAUCCAUUUUGUAGCAACGUACAAGCCUGGAUGAAUUCUUAUAUAAGGUAAAGCGCUCCCGAGGACACAUGGGAAUUUCUGUCAAGCUAGUUUUCAUCAUGUUCAUAUGAUUCAUGUUCGCUACUUUGAUAGUUUGAUAUGUGGGUGGACCGGUGCUUGGGUGCUGUACUUACUUGGACAAACAUUCCACUUAUGAUUAACCCCUCUCCCAAGCAUCCGCAACUACGAAAGAAGAAUUAAGACAAAGUCUAACCAUAGCAUUAAACUAGUGGAUCCAAAUCAGCCCCUUGCGAAGCAACACAUAAACUAGGGUUUAAGCUUCUGUCACUCUAGCAACCCAUCAUCUACUUAUUACUUUCCAAUGCCUUCUUAUAGGCCCAAAUAACGGUGAAGUGUCAUGUAGUCGACAUUCACAUAACACCACUAGAGGAAAGACAACAUACAACGCAUCAAAAUAUCGAACGAAUACCAAAUUCACAUGACUACUUAUAGCAAGACUUAUCCCAUGUCCUGAGGAACAAAGGUAACUACUCACAAAGCAUAAUUAUGUUCAUGAUCAAAAAUGUAUUUAAUAGAAUUAAGGAUCUUAACAUAUGAUCUUCCACCGAGUAAACCAACUAGCAUCAACUACAAGGAGUAAUUAACACUACUAGCAACCUUACAAGUACCAAUCGGAGUCGCGAGAUGAAGAUUGGGUACAAGAGAUGAAAUAGGGUUUGGAGAUGAGAUGGUGAUGAUGAAGAUGUUGAUGGAGAUGAGUCCCCUCCGGUGAGAGGAGUGUUGGUGAUGACGAUGGCGACGAUUUCCCCCUCCGGGAGGGAAGAUUGCCUGGCAGGACGGCCCUGCCGGAGCUCUAGAUUGGUUCUGCUCAAGUUCCGCCUCGUGGCGGCAGAGAUUCUUCCCGAAAGCUCUCUCUUGACUUUUUCUGGGAGGAAACCCUCCAUAUAGCAGAAGAUGGGAGCCAGAGGAGUAACAUGGGGCCCACGAGCCUGCUAGGCGUGCCCUUGGGGGGCGCGCUUCCAGGGCUCGUGGCCCACUAGUAGCGUAUUUUUAGUUGAUUCUUUCUCUGACAUUUUUUUAUAUAUUCCAUAAAAAAUCCUUGUAAGUUUCCAGGUCAUUCCAUAAACUUUUAUUUCUGCACAAAAACAACACCAUGGCAGUUCUACUGAAAACAGCGUCAGCCCGGGUUAGUUUCAUUCAAAUCUUGCAAAUUAGAGUCCAAACAAGGGCAAAAGAGUUUGGAAAAGUAGAUACGUUGGAGAAGUAUCAACGGCCACCACCAACACCUGCUCAGGGAGGCGGAAGCGCUGGAGGCUACCCAGCGUGAGUUCGAGGCCACUCGGUGCGAGUUCAAUGCGGCCCAUGGCCUCAUGCUGGCUGCCUACCGACCUAGACUGCUGGGGGAAGUGCAACACUACGGCGGCCGCGUCAGCCACGAGCUGGCCGGCGAUUGCCCCGUCAACGACACCCCCGUCAAGAACAUGCAAGCUACACAGGCUGCCCUCAGUGAGCUGGUAGAGCUAGAACGAGGGACCAGCCCGCAAGGCGCAGCAGCAGCGCAUCCGCGUCGUCAUGGAGGCUACCAACGCGCAGUAGGAGUAGUCGUAUCGCGACCCGGCCAGCUCUCACUCGAGGACCAACGAUGACCCCGCCAACCCGCGACUCGCCGGCGGGACAUGGACUAGGCAUCUUCGCUUGUCGACGCGAACUGUCGCCGCGACAGUUGGCAUGCGGGCAUCCGCGGUCGAUGAGACCACAACCCGUCGGUUGUGAACAACCGCACGAAAGAGCCGGUUGGCCAAGGCAACCGCCAGCUGGCGCGAUGGAGAAACCGCAAAGAUCGCGACCGGAUGGUCGUGCAGUCGCCGCCCCAUCGUUCGAUGUCCAAGAGCAUCGGCCCUCGCCAGCUGGACGACCAAGACGUCCGCUUCUACCUGGAGUGCCUCACGGAAUAUCACACUGUCGAGGAGGAAAGCACAGCCGGCCCGCACUGUUUUGGGCGGCGCAUCCUCAAGGUGCCGCUCCCCAAGGGCUUCACCUUGGCGCGCGAUAGUACAUUGGCUCGACCAAGCCAGAGGAUUGGUUGACCGACUACACCACCACCGUCGGCAUCGCCAGUGGGAACAUGCGAGUGAUAGUAUGCUACGCGCCCCUCAUGCUGCUCGGCUUGGCUCGGACCUGGUUUAACAGCCUACCAGCUGGCUGGACUUCUAGGAGGCGUUUGUGUGCAACUUCACCGGCACAUACAAGCAUCCUGGCCGGCCCCGCCAGCUAGCCCUGUGCGUACAUGGACCGAUCCAGCUCCUCCGCGACUACCUCAGACGAUGGACCGAGCUCAACAACUCCUAUGAGGGCGUCCAUGAGGUACAAGCGAUCCAGUACUUGAUCGACGGCUGCCGAGACGGCACCCUCCUCAAGCACAAGAUCACGCGCGCCUGUAACCGGCUUCCCUGGCGCAGCUGACGGCCGCCGUCGAUGAGUACGCUAUGGCCAAGUCUUCCAUGAAGCUCGCAGUGCAUGUUGAAGCAACCGGCAAGCGAGCCGUGGCCAAGCCGGCUGCCGCCCGACAGCCGGCCGAUCUCGGUCGGAUCAAGGCAAGCAUAAGAGGGACCAGCCGGAUGCCCGUCAGGUAGCCGGUAGGCCACGACCGUCGAGGAUGGUCGGAUGGUCGAUGCCCCGGGCUCCAGCCGGCGCCAGCACACCAGUGACGGCAAGCAACCCUGGCAGGCCAAGUACACCUUCGAGGCCAUGCUCGAUUGGCCUUGCAUGUUCCACAGUGGGGCCAAGCCGGCUACACACAUGUCCCGCCAGUGCAGCUGGUUCACCAAGAUUGCGCGGGGCGAUGUUGUGCCACCCACGCCGCCACCGCCACCGCCUCCCGCUCAGAGAGCCGGCAGCUCCUGAUACGUCUCCAACGUAUCUAUAAUUUUUAUUAUUUCGUGCUAUUAUAUUAUAUGUUUUGGAUGUUCCAUAUGCAUUUAUAUGUUGUUUUAUAUUAUUUUUGGGACUAACCUAUUAAUCUAGAGCCUAGUGUCAGUUUCAGUUUUUUCAACAUUUUUGAAUAUUGCAGAUGAGGAAUAUUAAACGGAGUCCAAGUGGAAUAAAAUCUGCGGAAAUAUUUUUUCGGACCAGAAGACACGCAACAGACUUGGAGUAGGGGGCAAGGCAAUUGCUGGGAGGCCAUAAGACUGCAGGGCGCGCCCUGGGGGUGGCCGCGCCCCCUGGCUUGUGGGCUCCCUGCAGGUCUCCUAACCCUAAUUCGUGGCCUAUAAAUUCCCAAAUAUUCCACUAUCGCCAAAAAGAGCCACGAAAAAACUUCUACGCCGCUGGGAGCCUCUGUUCCCCAGAGAUCCAAUCUGGGAUCCUUUUUCGCAAAUCUACCGGAGAGGGAAUUAAUCACAGAAGGCAUCUACAUCAACUCCAUUGCCCCUCCAAUGAUGUGUGAGUACUUCACCACAGACCUACGGGACCAUAGCUAGUAGCUAGAUGGCUUCUUCUCUCUCUUUGAUCUUCAAUACCAUGUUCUUCAUGAUCUUCAUGGAGAUCUAUCCAAUGUAAUACUCUUUUGCGGUGUGUUUGUCGAGAUCCGAUGAAUUGUGAGUUUACGUUCACAUUAUCCAUGAAUAUUAUUUGAGUCUCUUCUGAAUUCUUAUAUGCAUGAUUUCAUAUCUUUACAAGUCUCUUCAAAUUAUUUUUUUGAUUUGGCCAACUAGAUUGGUAAUUCUUGCCAUGGGAGAAGUGCUUAGUUUUGGGUCCAAUCUUGCGGUGUCCUCACCCAGUGACAGUAGGGGUAGCGAGGCACGCAUUUUAUUGUUACCAUAAAGGGUAAAAAGAUGGGGUUUUCAUCAUAUUCCUUAAGUUUAUCCCUCUACAUCAUGUCAUCUUGUUUAAUGCGUUACUCUGUUCUUCAUGAACUUAAUACUCUAGAUGCAGGCAGGAGUCGGUCGAUGUGUCGAGUAAUAGUAGUAGAUGUAGAAUCGUUUCGGUCUACUUGAUACGGACGUGAUGCCUAUAUGCAUAAUCAUUGCCUUGGAUAUCUUCAUAAUUAUUUGCUUUUCUAUCAGUUGCUUCACAGCAAUUUGUUCACCCACCGUAUUAUUUUCCUUUAUGACAAAAGCCUCUAGUGAAACCUAUGGCCCCUGGGUCUAUUUUCCAUAUCAUAUUUUCAGAUCUAUAAACAAAAAAAUGCCAAAAAUACUUUGCUGCAAUUUAGUUACUUUAGUUUUACUUUCAGAUCUAUCAAUAUUUUAUACCUAUCUCUGUGAGAUCUCAUCCUUGCAAAUAACUCUCAAGGGAUUGACAACCCCUUUAUAGCGUUGGGUGCAAGUGUUUGAUUAUUUGUGUAGGUACUAUUAUCGGAGUCUCGCUUGUUCCUCCUAUUGGAUUGAUACCUUGGUUCUCAACAAACUGAGGGAAAUACUUAUCUACUUCACUGCAUCACCCUUUCCUCUUCAAGGGAAACCUGCGCAAGCUCAAGAGGUAGCAAGAAGGAUUUCUGGCGCCAUUGCCGGGGAGGAUACAUAGCAAGGUUACCAAGUACCCAUCACAAAAUCAUCUCUUGCACUUAUUUUAUUUUCCAUUUGCCUCUCACUUUCCUCUCUCCCACUUCUAAAAAUAUUUUCAGGAAAUACCAAAAAGAUUUGCCUUUUUAUUCGCCCUUUUUCAUUCGUCUUUUUGUUUGCUUGCUUGUGUGCUAGACCUAUUCGUUACCACCAUGUAUGAAUCUGGGGAGGUUUAAUUGGAAAGGAUAGUAAUAAUCCUGAAGAGAAUAAUUAUUCCCAUAGAGAACCUACUAUCAUUCAUACAAAAAAAACUCCGCAUAGGUAGUGGCAAUAUCAUUGGAAAAGGUGUUAUUCAAGAUUUAUUUACUUGUGCUAGUAUGCUACCUACUUUAGGAGGGUCUAUCCUCAAUAAAACUAAUAGUCUUGCGAACGCCAUUACACUUCUAAUACUUGAACUUGAGAGAUAGUUUAUUCAUAUGCACCCUUGCAUACAAAGGAUUUUCCUUGAGUUCUCUAAUAUUCAACUUGCUUCCGUUAAGCGUGCCGCCACUAUAUAUCUAGCCCACGAUUUUAGAUUCAUUAUGCAAGAGUCUAAUGAAAUUUUUGCUCAUUAUAAAAUUAAUGGUGGAUGUCCUCCCGUUGAGGAGAUCCUUUUUAAUCAAGAAGAAAUAAUGAGAUUGGAGUCUUCGGAUUAUGUGGCUUAUAAUGAAAAUUUGAGAAAAAGGGUUCUCAUUGAGGUUUUGGUUGAUAGGAUUUCUAAACUCAAUGAUGAUUUUGCUAUAAAAAUAAUGGAUCAGAGUUCAUACUACGAGAUAAACUUAUGACCUUCCGCCAAAGGAAAGCCUACAAUGAUGAAUUGAUCAUACACUAUAAAGGGUCGAAGGAGGAACCUAUUCCUGCCGCACUUGAUCUUAAUGAUCCUUAUCCUAUUAAAUUUAGCCCUUUUGAUUAAUUUUUCUUGCGACAAAAGAAACUUCUUGCUGAAAGAAUGGAGUAUGAGAAUAGCAUUGAUAAUCUCCCUUACUAUUAUGAUAAUACUUAGAUCUAUUGCAUUAUGCCUAGCUAGGGGCGUUAAACAAUAGCGCUAGUUGGGAGGCAACCCAAUUUUAUUUGUUUUGCUUUUGUUUUUGUUUUUGUUUUUGUUUUUAUGUGCUGCACAUAUUAUUACCUCUGUAAUAAUUGUGUUUUCUUGUUUCAAUUAGUGUUUGAGCCAAGUAAGACUUUGGGAUGGUCUAUGGUGCUUGCAAGUUGAUUUUGCUGAAAAACAGAAACUUUCGCUCUCAGUCCAGGAAUUUUAUAAAUUCACUAGAACAUGCUUUUGAUCUGAAUUUUUUCACAAGAUUGUUUUACAAAUUUCCCAGAUCAUCCUAUUCUUUCAGAAAUUUUGGAUUACAGAAGUAUUCAAAGUAAACAGAUUGCUACAGAUUGUUCUGUUUUUGACAGAUUCUAUUUUCUUUGUGUUGUUUGCUUAUUUUGAUGAAUCUAUGGGUUGUAUCGGGGGUAUGAACCAUGGAGAAGUUAGAAUACAGUAAAUAUUACAUCAAUAUAAAUAACUAAUGAGUUCACAACAAUACCUAAGUGUUGAUUGCUACGGAAACACACAACAGCGCGAGGAAUUGACAUGUUGACGGAGACUGGGCUUGCGUUGGUUUAUCCCUUGAAGAGGAAAGGGUGGUGCAACACAGGAGCAGUAAGUAUUUCCCUUAGUUUGAGAACCAAGGUAUCAAUCCAGUAGGAGAAUCGCAUCAAGUCCAGAGUACCUGCGCAAACACAAAGGAGCUUGCACCCAACGCUAUGAAGGGGUUGUCAAUCCCUUCAACAUUGAUUGCAAAGUGAGAUCUGAAGGCGGAAAGUGCAACGAAGUAAAAGUGUAAGGCUGAAAAUAUGAUGUGAAGUAGACCCAGGGGUCAUAGUGUUCACUAGAGGCUUCUCUCAAAAUAGAAAAUAUUACGGUGGGUGAACAAAUUACUGUCGAGCAAUUUACAGAACCACAAGAAGUCAUGACGAUAUCUAAGGCAAUGAUCAUACAUAUAGGCAUCACGUCCGAGACAAGUAGACUGAUACUUUCUGCAUCUACUACUAUUACUCCACACAUCGACCGCUAUCCAGCAUGCAUCUAGUGUAUGGAGUUCAUGACGAACAGAGUAACGCCUUAAGCAAGAUGACAUGAGGUAGAGGGAUAAACUCAAACCAAUGAUGAAAACCCCAUCUUUUUACCCUUGAUGGCAACAACAUGAUGCGUGCCUCGUACCCCUUCUGUCACUGGGUGCGGUCACCGCACAGUAUGAACCCAAAACCAUGCACUUCUCCCAUUGCAAGAAUCAUAGAUCAAGCUGGCCAAACAAAACCCACAACUCGAAGAGAAUUACAAGGAUAUGAAAUCAUGCAUAUAAGAGAUCAGAAGAAACUCAAAUAAGAUUCAUAGCUAAUCUGAUCAUAAAUCCACAAUUCAUCGGAUCUCGACAAACACACCGCAAAAGAAGGUUACAUCGGAUAGAUCUCCAUGAAGAUCAUGGAGAACUUUGUAUUGGAGAUCCAAGAGAGAGAAGAAGCCAUCUAGCUAAUAGCUAUGGACCCGAAGGUCUAUGGUGAACUACUCACGCAUCAUCGGAGAGGUCAUGGUGUUGAUGAAGAAGCCCUCUGUAUGCGAAUCCCCCCUCCGGUAGGGCACCAGAUCGUACCCCAGAUGGGAUCUUGCGGAGACAGAAGCUUGCGGCGGUGGAAAAGUGUUUUCGAGGCUCUCGUGAUUUUUUCUGGGAUUUUAGGGAAUUUAUAGGCGAAAGACCUAGGGCAGAGGAGGUCCAGGGAGCCCACAACCCUGGGAGGCGCGGCCCCCCUGGCCGCGGCUAGGGGGCUUGUGGGGUCCCUAUUGACCCUGUGCCUUGGUUCUCAAGUCUCCCGAUCGUCUUCUAUUUCGGAAAAAAUCUUUUUGGAAGUUUCGUUCCGUUUGGAAUCCAUUUAAAAUCCUUCUCUGAAAGGGGUCAAAAACACGGAAAAAACAGGAACUGGCACUUGGCACUGAGUUAAUAAGUUAGUCCCAAAAAAGAUAUAAAAGGCCUACAAAACAUCCAAAGUUUGACAAGAUAAUAGCAUGAAACCAUCAAAAAUUAUAGAUACGUUGGAGAUGUAUCUUUGAUCUAUCUUUCUUAUACUAACGGAUCUCAUUAGUUUUCUGUUGAGUUUUGUGUUGUGAAGUUUUCAAGUUUUGGGUAAAUAUUUGAUUGACUAUGGAAUAAGGAGUGGCAAGAGCCUAAGCUUGGGGAUGCCCAAGGCACCCCAAGACAUAUUCAAGGGUACCAAAGAGCCUAAGCUUGGGGAUGCCCCGGAAGGCAUCCCCUCUUUCGUCUUCAAUCCAUCGGUAAAUUUACUUGAGGCUAUAUUUUUAUUCACCACAUGAUAUGUGUUUUGCUUGGAGCGUCUUGUAUGAUAUGAGUCUUUAAUUUUUAGUUUGACACAAUCAUCCUUGAUGCACACAUCUCUUGAGAGAGAUAUACACACCGUAUCGUGAAUUUAUUAGAAUACUCUUUAUGCUUCACUUAUAUCUUUUGAGCUAGGCAAUGUUGCUCUAGUACUUCAUUUAUAUAUUUUAGAGCAUGCCGGUGUUGUGGAAUUAUUAAAACUCUCCUACUUCACUUAUAUUAUUUUGAGAGUUAUUUAAACAACAUGGUAAUAUAAUAGGCAUCCAAGAGGGAUAUAAUAAAAACUUUCAUAUUAAUUGCAUUGAAUAUGAUGAGAAGUUUGAUUUCUUACAUAUAGUUUUGAGAUGUGAAGAUGGUGAUACGAGAGUCAUGCUAGUAAGUAAUUGUGAAUUAGAAAAAAAAUACUUGUGUUAAAGCUUGUGAUUCCCGUAGCAUGCACGUAUGGUGAACCGUUAUGUGAUGAAGUCGGAGCAUGACUUGUUUACUGAUUGUCAACCUUUGUGUGGAGGUCGGGAUCGUGCGAUGGUUAACUCCUACCAACCCUUCUCCUAGGAGCAUGCGUCUAAUACUUUGCUUCGAUAACUAAUAGGCUUUUGCAAUCAGUAUGUGAGUUCUUUACGACUAAAGUUGAGUUCAUGGAUUAUACACACUCUCAUGCUUCCACCUUUGCUAACCUCUCUAGUACUGUGUAACUUUUGUUGGUACAUUAAAACGACCUUCCUCAAAAUAGACACCAUAUAUUUUCCUCAAAACAGCCACCAUACCUACCUAGUAUGGCAUUUUCAUAGCCAUUCCGAGAUAUAUUGCCAUGCAACACCACCGUCUCGUUUUUAUGACACGCACCAUCACUUCCAUAUUGCUUGUAGAGUCAUACUUUAUUCUAGAUAUCGAAUUUUAAUCUUUUGAGUCGUAAGUAAAUAAAAGUGUGAUGAUUUGCAUUAUUAGAGCAUUGUCCCAUGUGAGAAAAAGGAUGAUGGAAGCUAUGACUCCCUCACAAGUUGGGAUGAGCCUCCAGACUUUACAAAAAAAAGAGGCCAGCGUAGCCCAUAAAAAAUAAAAGAGGCCAUAGAAGCCCAUUCAAAAAAGGAAAAAAAAGAAGAGAGAAAAAAUGAGAAAAAGAGAGAAGGGACAAUGCUACUAUCUUUUUCCACACUUGUGCUUCAAAGUAGCACCAUGUUCUUCAUAGAGAGUCUCCUAUGUUGUCACUUUCAUAUAACUAGUGGUAUACAUCAAUUGCACAACCACACAGUUUUCUUUUUGAGCUUUCAUACAGUUAUAGCUCUAGUGCAUCUGUUAAAUGGAAAUCCGUACUCACUCACAUUGAUAUCUAUUAAUGGGCAUCUCCAUAGCGCGUCGAUAUGCCUAGUUGAUGUGAGACUAUCUUCUUCCUUUCUUUUUGCAACCUCCACCACAUUCUAUUCCAUCAAUAGUGUUAUAUCCAUGGUCCACGCUCAUGUAUUGCGUGAGAUUUGAAAAGGUUUGAGAACAUAAAAAGUGUGAAACAAUUGCUUGAUUUUCACCCGGGUUGUGCAUGAUUUAGAUACUUUGUGUGGUGAAGAUGGAGCACAACCAAACCAUAUGAUUUUGUAGGGAUAACUUUCUAAUACCAUGCUAUUUUGAAAAGAAGCAAUCACCUUAUUAGUAUGCUUGAAGUAUUAUUGUUUUUAUGUCAACAUAGACUUUUGUUUUGAGUCUUAUGGAUCUGAAUAUUCGUGCCACAUUAGAGAAUAUUACAUGGAUAAAUAUGUUAGGUAGCAUUCCACAUCAAAAAUUCUGUUUUUAUCAUUUACCUUCUCAAGGACGAGCGGUAAUUAAGCUUGGGGAUGUUGAUAUGUCUCCAAUGUAUCUAUAAUUUCCGAUUGUUCCAUGCUAUUAUAUUAUAUGUUUUGGAUGUUUUAUAUGCAUUUAUAUACUGUUUUAUAUUAUUUUUGGGACCAAACUAUUAAUAUAGAGCCUAGUGCGAGUUUCUGUGUUUUCCACGUUUUUGAAUAUUGCAGAUAAGGAAUAUUAAACGGAGUCCAAAUGGAAUAUAAAAUCUCUGGAAAGAUUUUUCUUGGACCAGAAGACACGCAACAGACUUGGAGUAGGGGGCAAGGCAGUUGCCGGGAGGCCACAAGCAUGCAGGGCACGCCCUGGGGGUGGCCGCGCCCCUGGCUUGUGGGCCCUCUGCAACUCUCCUAACCCUGAUUCUUGGCCUAUAAAUUCCCAAAUAUUCCAGUAUCGCCAAAAAGAGCCAUGAAAAUACUUUUACACCGUCGGGAGCCUCUGUUCCCCAGAGAUCCAAUCUGGGAGCUUUUUCCGCUAAUCUACCCAAUAGAGAAUUGAUCACAGGCGGCAUCUAUAUCAACUCCAAUGCCCCUCCUAUGAUGUGUGAGUAGUUCACCACAGACCUACAGGUCCAUAGCUAGUAGCUAGAUGGCUUCUUCUCUCUCUUUGAUCUUCAAUACCAUGUUCUUCAUGAUCUUCAUGGAGAUCUGCUACUUCUCAAACAACAGCGCCAGAAAUUGACACGUUGUCGGAGACUUGCUUGCGUUGGUUGUUCCGUUGAAGAGGAAAGGGUGAUGCAGCACAUGAGCAGUAAUUAUUUCCCUCAGUUUGAGAACCAAGGUAUCAAUCUAAUAGGAGAAUCUCGUCAAGUCCAGAGUACCUGCGCAAACACAAAAGAGCUUGCACCCAACGCUAUAAAGGGGUUCUCAAUCCCUUCAAGAUUGAUUGCAAAGUGAGAUCUGAAGGCGGAAAGUGCAACGAAGUAAAAGUGUAAGGCUAAAAAUAUGGUGUGGAAUAGACCCGGGGGCCAUAGUGUUCACUAGAGGCUUCUCUCAAAAUAGAAAAUAUCACGGUGGGUGAACAAAUUACUGUCGAGCAAUUGAUAGAACAGCGCAAAGUCAUGACGAUAUCUAAGGCAAUGAUCAUACAUAUAGGCAUCACGUCCGAGACAAGUAGACCGAUACUUUCUGCAUCUACUACUAUUACUACACACAUCGACCGCUAUCCAGCAUGCAUCUAGUGUAUUGAGUUCAUGACGAACAGAGUAACGCCUUAAGCAAGAUGACAUGAUGUAGAGGUAUAAUCUCAAACCAAUGAUGAAAACCCCAUCUUUUUACCCUUGAUGGCUACAACAUGAUGCGUGCCUCGCUACCCCUUCUGUCACUAUGUGAGGUCAGCGCACGGUAUGAACCCAAAACCAAGCACUUCUCCCAUUGCAAGAAUCAUAGAUCUAGUUGGCCAAACAAAACCCACAACUCAAAGAGAAUUACAAGGAUAUGAAAUCAUGCAUAAGAGAGAUCAGAAGAAACUCAAAUAAGAUUCACAGAUAAUCUGAUCAUAAAUCCACAAUUCACCGGAUCUCGACAAACACACCGCAAAAGAAGAUUACAUCGGAUAGAUCUCCAUGAAGAUCAUGGAGAACUUUGUAUUGAAGAUCCAAGAAAUAGAAGAAGCCAUCUAGCUACUAGCUAUGGACCCGUAGGUCUAUGGUGAACUAGUCACGCAUCAUCGAAGAGGUCAUGGUGUUGAUGAAGAAGCCCUCCGUAUCUGAAUCCCCCUCUGGCAGGGCACCAAAACGUGCUCAGAUGGGAUCUUGCGGAGACAGAAGCUUGCGGCAGCGGAAAAGUACUUUCGAUGAUCUCCUGAUUUUUUCUGGGAUUUUAGGGAAUUUAUAGGCGAAAGACCUAGGGCAGAGGAGGCUCAGGCAGCCCACAAGCCUGGGAGGCGCGGGCCCCCCUGGCCGCGGCUAGGGGGCUUGUGGGGUCCCUGGUCACCUCCUGCCCUGAUUCUCAGGCUUCCCGAUCUUUUUCUGUUUUGGAAAAAAUCUUUUUGGCAGUUUCGUUCCGUUUGGACCCCGUUGAAAAUCCUCCUUUGAAAGGGGUCAAAAACAUGGAAAAAACAGGAACUGGCACUUGGCACUGAGUUAAUAAGUUAGUCCCAAAAAUUAUAUAAAAGGCAUAAAAACAGGAACUAGCACUUGGCACCGAGUUAAUAAGUUUGACAAGAGAAUAGCUUGAAACUGUCAAAAAUUAUAGAUACGUUGGAGACGUAUCAAGAUCCAUCCGAUGUAAUACUCUUUUGCGGUGUGUUUGUCGAGAUCCGAUGAGCUAUGAGUUUAUGUUCAGAUUAUCCAUGAAUAUUAUUUGAGUCUCUUCUGAAUUCUUAUAAGCAUGAUUUCAUAUCUUUGCAAGUCUCUUCAAAUUAUUGGUUUGGUUUGGCCAAGUAGAUUGGUAAUUCUUGCAAUGGGAGAAGUGCUUAGUUUUGGGUUCAAUCUUGCGGUGUCCUCACCCAGUGACAUAGUAGGGGUAGCAAGGCACAUAUUGCAUUGUUGCCAUCGAGGAUAAAAAGAUGGGGUUUUCAUCAUAUUGCUUGAGUUUAUCCCUCUACACCAUGUCAUCUUACUUAAUGUGUUACUCUGUUCUUCAUGAACUUAAUACUCUAGAUGCAUGCAGGAGUGGGUCGAUGUGUGGGGUAAUAGUAGUAGAUGCAUAAUCGUUCCGGUCUACUUGACACGGACGUGAUGCCUAUAUGCAUAAUCAUUGCCUUGGAUAUCUUCAUAAUUAUUCUCUUUUCUAUCAAUUGCUCGACAGUAAUUUGUUCACCCACCGUAUUAUUUUCCUUUAUGAGAGAAGCCUCUAGUCAAAACUAUGGCCCCGGGGUCUAUUUUUCAUAUUAUAUUUUUAGACCUAUAAACCAAAAAUAACAAAAAUAUAUUCCUGCAAUUUAUUUACUUUGGUUUCUACAAUAUUUUAUACCUAUCUCUAUAAGAUACCAUCCUUGCAAAUAACUCUAAAGGGAUUGACAACCCCUUUAUAGCGUUGGGUGCAAGUGUUUGAUUAUUUCUGUAGGUACUACUAUUGGAGCCUUGCUUGUUCCUCCUAUUGGAUUGAUACAUUGGUUCUCAACAAACUAAGGAAAUACUUAUCUACUUCGCCACAUCACCCUUUCCUCUUCAUGGGAAAACCAACGCAAGCUCAAGAGGUAGCAGCUCCCGCGACGACUACCCCCAAAAGGAGCAGCCUAUGUCGUCUUCGCUACUGAGGACGACGACGAGCAUAGACAGCGCAGGCAUGCGUUGGGGGUCAACACCGUCAUCAUGUCGAUCCCCCAGUACAUGCACUCUUCGGACAAACCAAAGACCUAGGGGCGCGAGGAUAACUCGGUUUUGGUGCCAAAGCAAGGCGGUUACGCGAUGGUCCUCGACCCCACCUUCGUCUCUCGACGGAGCACCUGUCGCUUGACGCGGGUGCUCGUCGAUGGCGGUAGGAGCAUCAACAUCCUCUACUGCAACACCAUGGACAAGCUCGACAUCCUGGAGUGCGAGAUCCAGCCAACCCGGAUGGUGUUCAAUGGCCUCGUUCGUGACCACUCUUGCUCCCCGAUCAGCAAGGUCCUGCUGGACGUGCUAUUCGGAUCACUGAAGAACUUCUGCUGCGAGCUUGUCUGGUUCGACGUUGUCAACCUCUCCAGCUCCUACCUGGCCAUCUUGGGCUGGCUCGCCAUGUCCAAGUUCAUGGCAGCCCCCACUAUGCCUAUCUGAAGAUCAAGCUGCCAGGCCCGCACGGCAUCAUCACCGUCACUAGCAAUUACAAGAAGUCGACCGAAAGCGCUCUAACCAGCUCCAAGCUGGCCGGAUCCCUCGUCAUUAUGGAGGAUAGGCAGAAGAUCGACCGACUCGUGGCCCUCUCCCAUGAGACAGUGGUCGUGACUGAGCCCAAGCUGAAGCAACCUGCUGCAGAGGCCUAGUUCCAGCCGGCCACCGACAAGGACACCAAGAGGGUCCCCCUCGACCCGGCUGACCCCAUCCGCAAGUAAGUCAUGGUGGGGCUGGCCUCAACAACAAAUAGGAAAGAAAGCUCGCCGACUUCCUCCUUGAGAAUUCAUAUAUCUUCGCAUGGACCCGAAAUGACAUGCCGGGAGUCCCGAGGAAGUACGUUGAGCACUUCUUACACAUCCAGACGGAUGCAAAGCCAGUCAAGCAACCACUACGCCCCUUCUCCUCGGAGAAGCGGAAGACUAUCGGUGAAGAGAUCGCUCGGCUGCUAGCAGCAGAUUAUAUCAUGGAAGUCUUCCACCCGGACUGGUUGGCGAACCCGGUCUUGGUGCUGAAGAAGAAUAAGACUUGGCGCAUGUGUAUCGACAACACGAGGCUGAACAAAGCAUGCCCCAAGGAUCCAUUUGCUCUGCCCCGUAUUGAUCAAGUGAUCGACUCGACGGCGAGCUACGAGCUAUUUUUCCUUCUUGGACGCCUACUUAGGCUACCCCAUAUCAAGAUUAAUUCGGUCGAUCGGAUCAAAACAACUUUCAUAAUCCCCUUCAGGGCGUUUUGCUAUAUCACGACGGGGUUCGAGCUGAAAAAACAUCGGUGCCACAUUCCAGCGGUGCACGCAGCGAUUCCUCUACAUGCAUCUUGGCCUCAAUUUACACGUCUAUGUGGACGAUGUUGUGGUCAAGACCAAGGAAAGCUGCACCCUCCUGGACGAUCUCAAAGCGACGUUCGCGAGCCUGCGCGAGUUCAAGAUCCGUCUCAACCCAGAGAAGAGCAUGCUCGGCGUCCUAGCCGGCCAGCUCCUCGAUUUCCUCAUUUCCGAAUAGGGAAUCGAGGACAAUUCGAAAAAGAUUCGGGCCAUCGAGCGGAUGGGUCGGCCGACCAACCUGGCCGGCGUAUAGAACAUCACUCGCUCUCACCUUGCUCGGUUGUUUCAUCAAUCAGCUCGGAGUAAUGCCCCCCCUCUAUUGCCUGCUCAAAAAGGCAAACAACUUCAUCUGGUGCGACCAGGCAUAUGAGGUUGUGCGCAAUCUCAAGCGUGCGUUGAGCACCGUGCCCGUGCUGGUCGCAUCGGCGGACAAGGAUCUUAUGCUACUCUACAUGGCAGCGACCAGCCGUGUGGUCAGCAUCGCCAUGGCCAUCAAGUGCUUGGAGCCGUGCCGAGCCUAGCCGAUCCAAUGACUGGUCUACUAUCUGGGUGAGGUGUUGUCCGCCUCCAAGAAAAACUACCCUCACUACGAAAAGAUGUGUUACGGCGUGUUCCUAGCAGUCAAGAAGCUCAAGCCCUACUUCCAGGAGCACCCGAUCACGAUGGUGAGCACCGCUACCCUCCGGGAAAUCAUGGGCAACCGGGACACGACCGCCGACCACCACAUCACCUACGAGUCUCGCACGUCUAUCUAGUCUUAGGCCUUGGCGAAUUUCCUCGUUGACUGGGCAGCGAUCGAGUACGCGCCACCACCUCCCGACUCCACCCAUUGGCGCCUAUACCAGCCUCGGGGCCUACAUCAUCCUCUCCUCCAUGAAGGGGGGACCGAUCGUAGUAGGUCAUGUAGAUCCACUUUGCCGCGUCAAAAACAUGACGGAGUACGAAGCGCUCACCCACGGCCUCCAGUUGGCCAGGGAGAUUGGUGUCUGAUGCAUCCUUUGCUUCGGCGACUUCGACCUGGUGGUGCAGCAAGUCACUAGUGAAUGGGAUGCUAGGGACGCAAACAUGGCCAACUAUGCUUCGUGGUCCAACAGCUGACCGGCGGUUUCAAAGGCUGCGAGUUCCACCACAUCCUUCGAGCCAGGAACGAGGUUGUCGACACACUCGCGAAGAUCGGCUCCACCCGGCAGCCGAUCCCAGCCGGCGUAUCCCUCGAGCAUCUGCGUAAGCCCUCCAUUAGCCAUCUCUGGAGUCCGAGUCCAUCUUCAUCCCGACAGACCCGAGGGUUGCUCCACCAGCCCCGGGGGCUACCGUCGCUAACUUGGGGGCUUCUCCACCAGCCCCGGGGUCUGUCGUCGUUGUCUCGGGGGCUGCCCCACCAGCCUCGGGGGCUGCCAUCACCAACUCGGGGAAUGCUCUGUCCAACUCGGGGGCUACCGCAGCCGUCCCUGUGACUGCGGUCCCCGCCUAGCUACCGACAAUUCCAGCCAGCCCGAGGAUUGUCCCCCCCCCCGACCCGGGGGGCUACCUGCCCACCCUCUAGGCCACUAGCACGACAGCUGGCAUGCCGGCAGUCGGCCCAUUCCCAGCAAGCCCAGCCACGUCGGCCAUGCUAAUAGUGGUCACGGCCUCAUCCUGGGCACAACCCUUCCCCGACUACAUUGAAAACUGCAACUUCCCGCUGACAAGGUCGAGGCCCGACAGAUCCAACGAUGUUCCACGGCCUACACCAUCAUCAACAACGAGCUCGUCUAGCGCAGCGUGUCUGGGGUGUUCCAGCAUUGCAUCGAGGUGGACAAGGGCCGCGAAAUCCUCCUCGACAUCAACCAGGGCGAGUGUGGCCAUCAUGCGGCCUCCCGCUCAUUGGUGGCCAAGGCAUUUCGCCAUGGAUUUUAUUGGUCGUAUUCCCUCAAGGACGCCAAAGAGCUGGUCGACAAGUGCAAUGGCUACCAACACUUCAAAGCGCGCAGCCACCAGCCGACUGCAACCCUGUAAACUAUCCCGCUCACAUGGCCUUUCGCCAUAUGGGGCUUGGACAUGGUCGGCCUGCUCAAAACCGCCUGAGGUGGCGUGACGCACCUGCUGGUGGCUGUCGACAAGUUCACAAAGUGGAUCGAGGCCAGGACAAUCAAAAAAUUUGACGGCUUGUUAACUAUCACGUUCAUCAAGGACAUCACCGUCCGCUAUGGCCUCCCCAACAGCAUCAUCACCAACAACGGCACCAACUUCGCUAAGGGCACGCUCUCUCGCUACUGCAACAAGCAAGAAAUUCAGCUGGACCUCGCGUCCAUGGCCCACCCGCAGUCAAACGGCCAGGCAGAGCGAGCGAACGGCCUCAUCCUGGCCGGCCUAAAGCCCAGGCUGGUCGAGCCUCUCGGGCGCUCGGCCGGCGCCUGGGUCGAGGAACUGCCGACCAUGGUAUGGAGCGUGCGAACCACGCCCAACCGGUCAACCGGCUUCACCCCCUUCUUCCUCGUAUAUGGGGCCGAAGCAAUCAACCCCACCAACAUCAAGUUCGACUUGCCGCGAGUCACCCUCUACAUAGAGGUCGAUGCCAAAGAAGCCCGAGAAGAUGGUGUCGACCUCCUCGAAGAGGCACGCGAGCUGGCGCUGUCCAGAUCAACCAUCUAGCAGCAGGGCCUGCGCCACUAUCACAACCGCUGGGUCAAGCCCCUCUCAUUCUGAGAGGGCGACCUGGUGCUCCGGGUGAUCCAACAAAUAGCCGGCCAACACAAGUUGUCCGCCCCAUGGGAGGCCCCCUUCAUCAUCAACAAAGCAUUGAGCAACAAUGCCUACUACCUGAUCGAUGCACAAAAAGCAAGAAAGAACAAGAAGGACACAUCCGACUCCAAGACGAAGCGCCGAAGGAAUGCGGAGCUCCUCCACCCGUUUUACAGUUGAAGCAAGUGUAUGUAUGUAUCACUUCCUUUAAAAUCAAUGAAUAGUCGGCACCCUCUAGCAGGACCCGGGGACUGCCCUUCCAUUGCUAUCUAUUUCUUAGUCAUUUUCUUCAACCGGUAGCCCCCGAACCGGCUCAACCGGCCCAGGGACUGGCCGGCCCACCCAAUCCCCAUCGACUCGGAAAAGUAUUAUAUCUCCUCCCCGGCGGCCUAACCCUUGCCGGCUACAGACCACAACCUGGUUGUCUGACCGGGGGACGCACAAGCAAAGGGGUAGGGUGGAUAGGAAAAAUCGACAAGGGGCGGGCCGGGUCCGACCAUGCUACUCGGUUCGUUCAAAACCCAACUUGCAAAGCUCCCAAAGUACGAACAUACCGCCUCCGCCAUCCCACUCCUCUCUUGGUCACAGUCCGCAAGCCGGCUGGUCGAUAGAAAAAAAGCAAAUGAGCGGGGCACAUGAGAAAAAUGACUAAGGCAAGAAAAAGUGUCGAACGAGCCGGCAAACAACAAGCAAGUUGAAAUAAACUGCAAGACAUAAAUAAAGAUAUUAGCGCCAGGCAGAGAGUGCAUUAAAUAAAACCUAGACCCCAUGUGGGUGGACUUAUUCAUAAGAAAGUGUGUGAGUAAAGAAAGCAGGAAGGUAAAAAUCAAACAACCGACGCAUGCGGUGCCACCUCCGUGUCCCGAGCUGGUUGGGUCCUCUCGCCCGCCUGAGCAUCGUGGGCUGAUGGAACCUACCGGCUGGCCUCUGCGUCACCAGCCGACGAAGUCUCACGCUGGGACAUCUCCACGUCCCCAACUGGUGGGGUCUAUUGGCCCACCUUAGCAUCGCCGGUAUGCGGCUCCGCCCCCUCCACAAAGGACGUGACCGCCCCUCCGACGCCCAACUCACCAACCUAGUCAUCGGCGGCAGGCUCCUCCGAGCUAACCCAACCUCCUUGUCCCUGCCGGUGAUCGGGGUGCCGAACUCGUCCUCCGAGAUGGGUGCACCAUCCUCCCCCCUCUCGUGGUAGUACGUAUCCAACGAGGCGUAGCUGGCGAGCCUGUUGAUCCGAAAGCCAAUGGCCUUGACGCGCCACGUCAAGUCCAUAUGCGCCUCCGCUCGCAUGGUGGCCAGCUGAGCCAGGUUGAUACCCGAGUACUAGGAGAGGGAGAAGGUCAGUGCCAACCGAGCACCGCCCCUCGUCGCCAACGCCCUCCAUGUGUCAAAUCGAUCCACUACGUGCUCGAGCCACUGUGCGAAUUGGUUGACGGGAAUAUUCGCCGCUCGGUCGGGCCAAAGGGCCUGGACAAGGUUCCCGCCUGCCGUUUGAAGCCGCUCAUAGAGCAACCGUAGGUACACCAACCAGGUCAUGCAGGCAUAGACCACCGCCUCCAUCCCCCACCCGGCAUGAGCAUCCGGCUCGCACCCCGCCCGGUGCAGCUCUUCCUUGUGGGCCUCCAUGGCCCGGUCCGCCCAUGCCUGGAUCUCUAGAAAGCAAGCUGGCCUAGAGAAAAAUUAUAAGAGAAAGGACCAGCGAACAACAAUGACCAAGGACCAAGACACUCACCGGCGAAGAUCUCGUCCACCUCGUGGAAGAGCUUCAGUGCGGUGGUGAUAUGUCUCAAACGUAUCUAUAAUUUUUGAUGGUUUCAUGUUGUUAUCUUGUCAACUUUGGAUGUUUUAUGUACCUUCUAUAUCUUUUUUGGGACUAACUUAUUAAUUCAGUGCUAAGUGGCAGUUCCUAUUUUUUCUGUGUUUUUGACUCUUUUCAGAUCUGAUUUUGGAACGGAGUCCAAACGGAAUAAAAACCCCGAAAUAAUUUUUUCCAGAACAGAAGAAGAUCGGGGGACUUGAGGGCCAAGGCAGGAGCGCCACAGGGGGCCCACAAGCCCUAUAGCCGCCACCAGGGGGCGGCGGCUGCCAGGCUUGUGGCCCCCCUGGAGCUCCCCUGCCCUAGCUCUUUCACCUAUAUAUUCCCUGAAAUCCCAAAAAAUGAGGACAUCCACGAAAACACUUUUCCGUCGCCGCAAGCUUCCGUUUCCGCGAGAUCUCAUGUGGAGACCCUUCCCGGUGCCCUGCCGGAGGGGACUUUGGAGUUGGAGGGCUUCUACAUCAACAUCAUCGCCUCUCCAAUGACUCGUGAGUAGUCCACUUCAGACCUACGGGUCCGUAGUUGUUAGCUAGAUGGCUUCUUCUCUCUCUUGGAUCUUCAAUACAAAGUUCUCCAUGAUCUUCAUGGAGAUCUAUCCGAUGUUAUCUUCUUUGGCGGUGUGUUUGUCGAGAUCCGACGAAUUGUGGAUUUGUGAUCAGAUUAUCUAUGAUAUAUAUUUGAGUCUUUGCUGAUUUCUUAUAUGCAAGAUUUUAUAUCCUUGUAAGUCUCUUCGAGUCUUGGGUUUUGUUUGGCCAACUAGAUCUAUGAUUCUUGCAAUGGGAGAAGUGCUUGGUUUUGGGUUCAUACCGUGUGGUGACCUUUCCGAGUGACAGAAGGGGCAGCAAGGCAUGCAUCAUGAUGUUACCAUCAAGGGUAACAAGAUGGGCUUUUAUCAUAGAUAUGAGAUUGUCCAUCUACAUCAUGUCAUCAUGCUUAAGGCGUUACUCUGUUCUUAUGAACUUAAUACACUAGAUGCAUGCUGGAUAGCGGUCGACGUGUGGAGUAAUACUAGUAGAUGCAGAAAGUAUCGGUCUACUUGUUUUGGACAUGAUACCUAUAGAUAUAAUCAUUGCCUUAGAUAAUGUCAUGACUUUGCACGGUUCUAUCAAGUGCUCGACAGUAAUUCGUUCACCCACCGUCUACUUGCUUUCAUGAGAGAAGCCACUAGUGAACACUACGGCCCUCGGGUCUAUUCACAACUAUCGUCUCCACUUUCACUUUUACUUUGCUUUGUUUACUUUUUGCUUUCAGUUCUCACUUUGCAAACAAUCUAUAAGGGAUUGAAAACCCCUUCGUAGCGUUGGGCGCAAGCUCUUUGUGUUUGUGCAGGUACUUGUGACUCGAGGCGAACCUCCCACUGGAUCGAUACCUUGGUUCUCAAACUGAGGGAAAUACUUACCGCCGCUGUGCUACAUCACCCUUUCCUCUUCAAGGGAAAACCAACGCAAGUCUCCAAGGCCGCGGGGAAAUCCUUUGCAUAUUUGCCAAGGAAGUCCCUAUAGGCGUAGCUCGUAGUAGCAGGAUUCCUGGCGCCGUUGUCAGGGAAGGUUUGUUGUUGCAGUAGCAGGUGGCCGCCUGCUGCUCCACCCUCGCCUUGGCCGCCAUCGCGUGUCGGACCUCCUCCCCGAGCCGAGCAACCUUGGCACGGAGAGUGGCCGCCUCCUCCCCGCUGGCGACUGACGCAUGUGACGCCACCUCCUUAGCCUCCAUCUCCCGACAAAGUGCCUCGGUUAGCCACUCCACCUCCGCCUUUCACCUGCCCCAAAGCUUCCCGCUCGGCCUCCAGAUCCCUCCCCAACCAGUCGCAGUCGCCGGCAACCUAGUCGCGCUUGCCUCAGACGUCAGCAAGAGAGCGACGCUGCUCCGCCACCUCAGCCGCAGAAACGCCCUCCUGUGCAAAAAAAGUUCAUGGUCGGCAAUCGGCUCCAUAAGGAAUAUCAAAAGAAAAAAACAUUUGUCUUGGCUACCACGCAGCCGCACAGCGGGCCUGAAUCUCGGGAACUACAUGCAGUGCGUGCGCUCGUGCGCACCCACCAAUUCAUGGAGAUACCUCGGGCCUUCUACAGCUCAGCCACCUAUAGCUCGAGCUCCUUUCAGGCCUUGAAGUAGGAAUUCUUGUUGUAGCGGUACAACCCAGUACCCUCCUUGAAGAGUGUGUCGCCCUUCGCCCCGUCAGCCUGAGAAGAGAACACAAGAAAAGGAUCAGAAGACAAAGAUUUGGCCCGGCUGCCACGCAGUCGUGCAGCCGGCUCGAAUCUCGAGGAUUCCCAGUGGUCACACUUGCGUAGUGAUGACCCACAAGUUUAGGGGAUCUAUCAUAGUCCUUUCGAUAAGUAAGAGUGUCGAACCCAACGAGGAGCAGAAGGAAAUGAUAAGCGGUUUUUAGUAAGGUAUUUUCUGCAAGCACUGAAAUUAUUGGUGACAAAUAGUUUUGUGAUAAGGUAAUUCGUAACGAGUAACAAGUAAGAAGUGUAACUAAGGUGCAGCAAGGUGGCCCGAUCCUUUUUUAGCAAAGAACAAGCCUGGACAAACUCUUAUAUAAAGAAAUGCGCCCCCGAGGACACAUGGGAAUUUUUGUCAAGCUAAUUUUCAUCAUGCUCAUAUGAUUCACGUUCGUUACUUUGAUAAUUUGAUAUGUGGGUGGACCGGUGCUUGGGUGUUGCCCUUACUUGGAAAAACCUACCAAUUAUGAUUAACCUCUCCCGGAAGCAUCCACAACUACGAAAUAGUAAUGAAGAUAAAUCUAACCAUUGCAUUAAUCAUAUGGAUCCAAAUCAUCCCCUUACGAAGCAACGCAUAAACUAGGGUUUAAGCUUCUGUCACUCUAGCAACCCAUCAUCUACUUAUUACUUCCCAAUGCCUUCCUCUAGGCCCAAAUAAUGGUGAUGUGUCAUGUGGUCGACGUUCACAUGACACCACUAGAGGAGAUACAACAUAUAACUUAUCAAAAUAUUGAAUGAAUACCAAAUUCACAUGAUUACUUAUAACAAGACUUAUCCCAUGUCCUCAGGAACAAACAUGACUACUCACAAAGCAUAUUCUUAUUCCUGAUCAGAGGAGUAUUAAUAAUUAUUAAGGAUCUGAACAUAUAAUCUUCCACCAAAUAAAUCAACUAGCAUCAACUAUAAGGAGUAAUUAACACUACUAGCAACCCACAGGUACCAAUCUGAGGUUUUAAGACAAAGAUCGGAUACAAGAGAUGAACUAGGGUUUGGAGAGGAGAUGGUGUUGAUGAAUAUGUUGAUGGACAUUGACCCCCUUUCAAUGAGAGGAUCUUUGGUGAUGACGAUGGCUUUGAUUUCCCCCUCCGGAAGGGAAGUUUCCCCGACGGAAUCGCUCCGCCGGAGCUCUAGAUUGGUUCUGUCCAAGUUCAGCCUCGAGACGGCUGCGUCGCAUCCCGAAAGGUGUGAUAUGAUUUUUUCUAGGUCAAAACCCUUCAUAUAGGAGAAGAUGGGUGCCGGAGGUCUGUCAGGGGGGUCACAACCUUGCACGGCUCGGUCAGGGGGUAGGCCGUGAUACGUUUGCAUCGUAUCUACUUUUCCAAACUCUUUUGCCCUUGUUUUCGACUCUAAUUUGCAUGAUUUGAAUGGAGCUACCCCGGACUGACGCUGUUUUCACCAGAAUUGCCAUGGUGUUGUUUUUGUGCAGAAAUGAAAGUUCUCGGAACGUCCUGAAAAUUUACGGAGAAUUUUUCUGGAAAAUAUGAAAAAUACCUACGCAAAGAUCCGCCGGAGGGGAUGGGCUAGUGGGCCACAAGCCCUGUUGUCGCGGCCACCCCCUGGCCGCGUCAACCAAGCUUGUGGGGCCCACGUGGAUCUGCCGCCCCCAAACUCAGCUCUAUAAAUUCACUUUCGCCGAGAAAAAAAUCAGAAGAGAAGAUUUCCUUGCGUUUGCGAUACGGAGGCGGCGCCACAUCCUGUUUUUCAUUUGGAGGGCAGAUCUGGAGUCCGUUUUGGGCUCCGGAGAGGGGAAAUCGUCGUCAUCGUCAUCAUCAACCUUCUUCCCUCUCCAAUUCCAUGAAGCUCUUCAUCGUUCGUGAGUAAUCUAUUCGUAGGCUCGCUGGACGGUGAUGAGUAGGAUGAGAUCUAUCAUGUAAUCGAGUUAGUUUUGACGGGGAUUGAUCCCUAGUAUCCACUAUGUUCUGAGAUUGAUGUUGCUACUACUUUGCCAUGCUUAAUGCUUGUCACUAGGGCCCGAGUGCCAUGAUUUCAGAUAUGAAAUUAUUAUGUUGUCACCAAUAUAUGUGUGUUUUAGAUCCGAUCUUGCAAGUUGUAGUUACCUACUAUGUGUUAUGACCCGGCAACCCUGGAGUGACAAUAACCGGAACCACUCCCGAUGAAGACCAUAGUUUGAGGAGUUCAUGUGUUCACCAAGUGCUAAUGCGUUGUUCCGGUUCUUUAUUAAAAGGAGAACCUUAAUAUCAUGUAGUAUCGUUUUGGACCCCGCUGCCACGGGAGGGAUGUGCAAUAGAUGUCAUGCAAGUUCUUUUCCCUAAGCACGUAUGACUACACACGGAAUGCAUGCCUACAUCACAUUGACGAACGGGAGCUAGCCACAUAUCUCACCAUGUUAUAACUGUUGCAUGAUGAAUAUCAUCCAAAUGAAUCACCGACCCAUUGCCUACGAGUUCGUCCCACUGCUGUUGUUACUUGUUUUGCUCUGCUGCUGUUACUGCUGUUACUUGCUCUGCACUGCUGUUGUUACUAUUGUUGCUACUUGCUACUGCUGUCACUACUGUUGUUCCUUGCCACUGCUGCUACUCGUUACACUGCUACUACCUGCUACAAUUCUGGUUCGCUCGGCGUUGACGGGAAAAGACUAUUUCCGUCACUGGGCAACUUCUGGCGCCAUUGAUACGACAGUUAGGAAUAGUCUGCCGUCAACAGAUCGUUUCUGACACCGUUCUUAUCAUACUACUUUCCUGCUGAUACUUUGCUUGCAGAUACUAAUCUUUUAGGUGUGGUUGAAUCUGACAAAUUCAACUGCUAAUACUCGAGAGUAUUCUCUCACCUCCUGACUGGCGUACCAACAAAUUUGGGUCGAAUACUCUACCCUCGAAAACUGCCGCGAACCCACGCGCUCGUGGGCCAUUGCAAAACAAUUGCUAAUUGUUGAGCAACUGGGAGCAGUUCUGGCUCUGUUUUCGCGAAGGCAUCAACUCAGGGACUCAUCAACAACAUUCUUCUAGUGUCGUUGCCGGGGACUGCUAAGCAGCAUUUUUCUAGCGCCGUUGUCGGGGACUGCUAAGCAGCAUUUUUCUGGCGCCGUUGCCGGGGAGGUAUUGCUAUAUUCUCUGAGUCACUUGGGAUUUAUAUCUGCUGAUCACUAUGAAGAAUCUGAAGGAUCCAAAAACCAAAGUCUUUCCCUCAACUACGAGGGGAGGUAAGGAACUGCCAUCUAGCUCUGCACUUGAUUCACCUUCAGUUAUGAGUAAGUUUGCGACAUCACCUCCUGCUAGAAAUCUUGAUAUGUCGCGUGUGCUUGAUGAUGCUUAUGAUACUACUAUGCUUGAUGCUAUGCCUGAUACUGCUAGAGAUGCUAUGCCUGAUACUGCUAGAGAUGCUAUGCGUGAUACUUCUAGAGAUGUUAUGCCUGAUACUGCUUUGCCUGAUGAUGCUAGAGAUGCUAUUUUGCCUGAUGAUGCUAUGCUUGAUACUGCUAGAGAUACUACUUUGCCUGAUGUGCCACUAGGGGUAUUCCUUGAUACUCAUAUUGCUAGAGUUACUGCCAAUGCUCAUGAUGCUUCUGGAACUGCCAAUACUAUUGAGAUAGAACCUGCUUUUGCUCCUGCUAGAUCUAGCUCUCCUAGAUAUGAAUUGCCUGAUAUACCUGAGGAUUACGUUAUGGAGGGAGAGAUAGCUGAGGAUUUUCUUGUGUGUAAGGAUGCCUAUGACGCUCAGAAAUUACUUCUCAAGUGGAAGGAAAAAUCUCUAAAAGCUAGGAUGAAAUGCGACUUGAAGUUUGCCACAUAAACUAUCUUUAUCACCGAUAAGGAUUAUGAAUUCUCUGUCGAUCCUGAGAUAAUCUCUCUAGUCGAAUGUGAUCCUUUCCACGGUCGUAGCCCAUCUUACCAAACUACAUGAUAUAGUUACCCUUUUCACUAGUGAGGAGAAGAUCCGCCACUACUAUAUCCUUAAGUUGUUUCCUUUCUCUCUAAAGGAUGAUGCUAAAGCCUGGUUCACUUCUCUUGCUCCUGGAUGUGUGAGUAGUCCCCAGGAUAUGGUCUAUUACUUCUGUGAGAAAUAUUUCCCUGCCCAUAAGAAGCAAGCUGCCUUGCAGGAAAUAUACAACUUUGCUCAACUCAAAGAAGAGAGUCUCCCACAAGCUUGGGGGAGGCUCGUCCAGCUACAUAAUGCUUUGCUUGAUCACCCUCUUAAGAAGAACGAGAUACUUGAUAUCUUCUAUAACAGACUUACCGAUGAUUCUAGAGACCACCUAGAUAGUUGUGUCAGUUGUGUUUUUAGGGAACGAACUGUAGAACAAGCUGAGACUCUACUGAAUAACAUCUUGAUCAAUGAUAAUGCUUGGACUAUUCCCGAACCACCUCCUAAGCCAACUCCGAAGAAAAGAGGUAUUCUAUUCCUCAGUCCUAAAGAUAUGCAAGAAGCCAAGAAAACUAUGCAAGAGAAAGGCAUUAGAUCAGAAGAUGUCAAAAAUCUACCACCUAUCGAAGAGAUCCAUGGUCUCGAUAACCCGAUACAGGUAGUAGAAGUAAAUUCUCUGCGUAGGUUUGAUGAGAGUGAUAUUCCUUUUGAUAAACCUGCUAGCCUAUGCUUUGAUGAAUUUGACAACUUUGUUGCCAAACAACAGAGUUUCAAUGAUUAGGUUAUGAGACAUUUGGAACAAAGUACUCGUAUGCUUAGUCAUUUAAGUGCUUGGGUAGACAGAAAUGUCAAUGAUCUAAAGCUUCUGAGUAAACAUGCCUCUAUGAUUACUACUCAGGUAGAACAACUACUUAAAGCUCAGAAUGACCUGCUCAAUGAAUUAAAUGACAACUCUGUCAGAGUCGUUACUAGAGGAGGCAAAAUGACUCAGGAAUCUUUGUAUCCUGAAGGUCAUCCUAAGAGAAUCUAUCAAGAUUAUCAAGGAAUUAAUGCAGAUGCACCCAGUCAUCCUAAGGAGAAGAAGAAGGAUGAUAGAAACAUGCAUGUUAGUUCACCAAAUACUAUCACACCUGAAGAACCAAAUGAUAUUUCUGCGUCUGAUGCAGAAACACAAUCUAGUGAUGAACAUGAACCUGGUGACAAUAUGGACAGCGAUGUUCAUAAUGAUGCUCAACCUAGCAAUGAUGAGGAUGUGGAGAUUGAACCUACGGUUAAUCCUGAUAACCCACAACCUAAGAGAUAUGAUAAGAAUGACUUCACCUCUAGGAAGCAUGGUAAAGAAAGGGAGCCAUGGGUUCAGAGACCUGUGCCCUUUCCUCCUAAGCCAUCCAAGAAAAAGGAUGAUGAGGAUUUUGAGCGCUUUAUUGAAAUGAUAAGUCCCGUCUUUGUGCAGAUGCGGUUAGAUGAUAUGCUCAAAAUGUCUCCGUAUGCCAAGUACAUGAAAGAUAUCGUGACCAAUAAACAGAAGAUACCAGAUCUUGAGAUCUCCACCAUGCUUGCCAAUUACACUUUCAAAGGUGGAACUCUUAAGAAACUUGGUGAUCCCGGAGUGCCCACUAUACCUUGCUCCAUAAAAGGAAACUACGUAAGAACUGCCUUAUGUGACCUUGGAGCCGGAGUUUGUGUUAUGCAUCUCUCUCUCUUUAUCGUAGACUUGAACUGGAUAAGUUGACACCCACUGAAAUCUAUCUGCAAAUGGCCGACAAGUCAACUGCUUUCCCUGUCGGCAUUUGUGAGGAUGUGCCUGUUGUGGUUGCUAACACCACCAUCUUAACGGACUUUGUUAUCUUAGAUAUUCCCGAGGACGAUGCCAUGGCUGUCAUCCUUGGAAGACCCUUUUUAAACACUGUAGGGGCUGUUAUAGAUUGCAACAAAGGCAAUGUCACUUUCCAUGUCAAUGGUAAUGAGCAUACCGUGCACUUUCUGAAGAAACGAUAUCAAGUACAUUGCGUCAAUGCUAUCGAAAAAACUUCAUCGAUUCUUAUUGGGAGCUUUGAAUGCCCUAUUCCUCGUGUCAAGAUGAAGUAUGAAUUGCUUGUUGGGGAGAUUCAUAUCCCCAUUGAGGUGACUUGGCGGCUAUUUGAAAAUUCUCCGUUCUCUCUUGCGAUUCGAGAAAGUUUUGUCAUAAGGAUUUGAUCAACCCCAUUGACGGAUUUCUUUCGGUGACCAUGAAAUGGAUGAAUCAAAGAGUCACUUACCUCUGUUUUAAGCUUUCACUUUAUUUUUGCUUAGAAGAAAAAUGAUAGGUUUAGUUCAGUUUUUCCUGUCUUCUAUUUAAGCGUCCCAGAGAAAAAUACCCCAGAAAAAAAAGUUCUCCGAUGGUCCUGAAAAUCUAGUAUGAUUUUUUCUGGAAUAUUUGAAAAAUAUUGGGAUAGAGAGCUGGCCUCGGGGCCACCCCAGUUGGCCACAAGCCCUGUCACCGCGGCCACCCCCCUGGCCGCGGCAAGCAAGCUUGUGGGGCCCACAGGGGCCCCCUCCACUCACUCCAGCUCCCAUCCUCUUCUUUUUCCUCCAGAAAAAAAAUGUGUCGCAGCUCAAACCCGUGUUCUUUCUCAUUUGGCUGUGAUUUUUGAUCUCCUUUCUCAAAGCAUCAUUCUCCGAACCGUUUUGGGGAAAUUACUCCUUGGUAAGUGACUAAUCCAUUGGUCGAAUUAGUUUUUGCUCUAGUGCUUUAUCCUUCGCGUAUUCUUGCUACCUUGGUGACCCUAUUCUUGAGCUUGAAAUGUUGAUUUUAGCUGGUCCCAAGUAGUUUUAGCGCGUGAUACGGUCUCUAGGCACUAGUUGGAGUAGUUGCUACAAGGUGUGGUUGGUCUUUAUUCACUUUUCUCUUGAACUUCAAAAUUUCAGCAAAGAGAAAUUAUGUUCAGGAGGAAGUUUCAUGGUGGUUCCUCAAGUAAGAAGGGUCCCCGUCUUUCUUUUCGGGAGCCUGAUCCUUAUCAACUAAGGGACGCACCGGUACAACCAUGUGAAUGGCCUUCCGAUGAGUUCAUGAUCGAAGCAGGCUUCAAGGAUGAGUUUGAUACACUUGUCCGCAAUGCCGGGUUAGCAGAAUUCCUCUCAGAUAAAUGUGAACCGUAUAAUAUGCUCACUGCCUCUUUCGUGCGUAGAUUUAAUUUUUUAGUUGGCCGUGACUCAUCCAUACUGUUUUAUUUGUAUGAUAAAUCCUAUGCCAUGGAUUUGGAGGAUUUCAAUAGGAUUUGCAAAAUACCCGAUGGGGGUAAUCUUAAAGAUCCUGCUAAAUCUUCGGUUAGAGAUUUUUUUUCUCUAGUAUAUUUGUUGGAGAAACUAGAGACAUCACGCAAGCUACCAUAGGAAGCAUUCAUUUCCUUGCCUUGCACUACUUUGCCCUCUUCAUAGGUAGAUGCAUUAACGGUAAGGUUGAACAUUGUCACCUAUGCGCAUCCGACCUUAGUAUCCUUAAGAGCGCGGUUACGGGUGACAAAAGCUUCAACAUGGGAGCUAUUAUAGCAAGGAGGCUGAAUAAGAAUGCUAUUGAGGGAGAUUUCUUUGGCGGCAUCUAUGCCACUCGCAUAGCAAAUUUUCUUGGAGUACCCAUCUGCGCAGGAGAUCCCCCGCUCCAUUCAGCUUUCCUUAACUGCGUCGCUCUGACACGCUACCAGUUUCUUGAGAGGGAUGAUGAAUCCCUCCUAUACCGAUUGAUAUUUAACCGGCAGCGUGUCUUCCAUAUUAACCUUCCUGCUCCUUCUUUCUUUGACUUUCAGGUAAAACGGAGAUACUACAUAACCAUGAGAUAGGCAAAGGAGUAUGAGAGGGAGGCGACGGCUGCUCGUCUUCGUGAGGUAGCUAUUCAGGCAGUGGCUGCAAGGCUCCCGUAUAACCCCGAUUAUGAUUUUGGAUUUCGACAGGACCGUCCUUGGGAGUAGACCAAGCUAGGCCAAAAUCCUAAGCUUGGGGGAGUACGUGUUCUCACCGACCUUACGUUCAUGCUUAUGCUUUCACUUUGUCCGUCGGUGUUUACACUUUGCCACUAUAUUAUCCAUGCUAGUUUAUUUUCGUUUUCUUGUUUUCUUGUUUUCUGUCCUUUUGAGAAAACCCAAAAAGAUUUUCCUUUCUUCUUUUGCUUGUUAGGAGCUUUCCCGUGUAAAUAGUUUUCUUUUUGUCUGGGUCAACGUAGAAGAUAUUGGUUACAAUGUUUCGUGGCUCUUGCAUGCAUACCUGUUUAGCUUUCAAAGAGCCAUAUUACUUUGUCUUAUCCUUUGUGUUUGCCUGCAGAUUCAGCUUAGUCCAAUGCACGAGCACGCGUAUUAUUGUUCACAUCGUUCGAUCGUGCAAGUGAAAGGCAAUAAUGAUGAUAUAUGAUGAAGUGACUCAGACUGGAAAAGCUGGUAUGAACUCGAUCUAUUUUGUUUUUGUAAAUAUGACUAGCUUGUCGUCCCAGAUUCAGCUUUGUCGUGAAAGAACCAUGUUUGCAAUGACAACUUAGAGAUCAUAGUUUCUGAUGCCAUGCUUAUUUAGCUAGGAGCUUAUAAUGGUUUGUCUUGAAUGCCAACAUAGAUUUUGAGAUGACUAUGAUGUAGUAUGAUAGGAUGGUAUUCUCCUUUGAAUGAUUCAAGUGGCUUUACUUGGCGCAUGUUCAUGCAUGUAGUUGAAACAAAAUCAACAUAGCCUCUAUGAUGUUCGUGUUCAUAGUGAUUUAUAUCCUGUUCAUAAUUGCAUUCCAUGUUAGUCAAACUCAUUGCAUCUUGAUGACUAUUGUCGCUCUCUAGUUGGUCGCUUCCUAGUCUUUUGCUAGCCUUCACUUGUACUAAGCGGAAUACUGCUUGUGCAUCCACUUCCAUAAACCCAAAAGUUUUUCCAUGAGAGUCCACCAUACCUACCUAUGUGUGGUAUUUACCUGCCGUUCCAAGUAAAUUUGCAUGUGCCAUUCUCUAAACCUUCAAGAAAUAAUCUGUAUUGCAUGCCCGAACCGCUCAUGUGGUGAUAGGGGGCUAUUGGUAUCUUCCAUAUUAGGUGUGUUAUCCUCGACAUGUGUUUAUUCACUGUCAUUCACGAGAAAGGGGCCGGUAAUUGGAAUACACAGUUCCACGCUUAAAUCGAAAACAUAACUGUAAAACAAGACUCCCCCUGGAUUGAUGUUAGUAUGGACGGUACCCGAGGAUUCGGCUAGCCGUGGAGUGUGAUUGAUUAGUGAUGGGGAGUUAAAACUUUACUUUUCUGUUUGGGAACCGCCUAUAGCAUGAGUAGCGUGGAAGAUAUUGAGAACUCUUGGUCAUUGCAUUGACAAUGAAAGCAUGCCACCCAAAAUUAUUACCUCUGUUUUCAAAGCUUGAGCUCUGGCACCUGUGCAAAUCAAUGCUUCCCUCUGCGAAGGGCAUGUCUAUUUAUUUUCCUGUUGAGUCAUCCUCUUCUUAUAUAAGCACCAAUUAGAGAGCACCUCCGUCAUUUUUAUGAUUUGCUUUUGAUUGAUAUUGAGUAUGACUAUGACUCGAUCUUCGUUGCUAUGAAUUACAAUGUUUAGUCAGCCCUUGAUCUUUGAAAGUGAUGUGCAUUUUUGUUUUGCGGUCUCAGAAAGAGCUAGCGAGAUACAACCUAUUCAUAUUGCUUCAUGCUUGUUUUGAUUGAAUUGUUGGUAUCUGAAACUCAUUAUUAUUUGCUCGCUAGCUGAUUAUGCCAUUGAUAUUAGUUUACCGUGAGACCUUUGUGUCACUUGCUUAUGUGGUUAACUUGUCAUCUUGCUGAAAUUCUGGUUAUGAGUUAGACAUAGUUGCAACAACAAGAUCAAACAGAGUUUGUCAAAGUUUUUAUUUCUCUUUCAGUUUGUCAAUUGAGUUGCUUGAGGACAAGCAAGGUUUUAAGCUUGGGGGAGUUUGAUACGUCUCCAUCGUAUCUACUUUUCCAAACUCUUUUGUCCUUGUUUUGGACUCUAAUUUGCAUGAUUUGAAUGGAACUAACCCGGACUGAGGCUGUUUUCAGUAGAAUUGCCAUGGUGUUGUUUUUGUGCACAAAUGAAAGUUCUCGGAAUGUCCUGAAAAUUUACGAAGAAUUUUUCUGGAAAAUAUGAAAAAUACCUGCGCAAAGAUCCACCGGAGGGGAUGGGCCAGUGGGCCACAAGCCCUGUUGUCGCGGCCACCCCCCUGGCCGCGGCAACCAAGCUUGUGGGGCCCAAGUGGCUCUGCCGCCCCCAAACUCAGCUUUAUAAAUUCACUUUCGCCCAGAAAAAAAUCAGAAGAGAAGAUUUCGUUGCGUUUGCGAUACGGAGGCGCCGCCACAUCCCGUUCUUCAUCUGGAGGACAGAUCUGGAGUCCGUUUUGGGAUCCGGAGAGGGGAAAUCAUCGCCAUCGUCAUCAUCAACCUUCUUCCCUCUCCAAUUCCAUGAAGCUCUUCAUCGUUUGUGAGUAAUCUAUUCGUAGGCUCGCUGGGCGGUGAUGAGUAGGAUGAGAUCUAUCAUGUAAUCGGGUUAGUUUUGACGGGGAUUUAUCCCUAGUAUCCACUAUGUUCUGAGAUUGGUGUUGCUACUACUUUGCCAUGCUUAAUGCUUGUCACUAGGGCCCAAGUGCCAUGAUUUCAGAUCUGAAAUUAUUAUGUUGUCACCAAUAUAUGCGUGUUUUAGAUCCGAUCUUGCAAGUUGUAGGUACCUACUAUGUGUUAUGACCCGGCAACCCCGGAGUGACAAUAACCGGAACCACUCCUGGUGAUGACCAUAGUUUGAGGAGUUCAUGUGUUCACCAAGUGCUAAUGCCUUGUUCCGGUUAUUUAUUAAAAGGAGAACCUUAAUAUCCUGUAGUAUCCUUUUGGACCACGCUGCCACGGGAGGGAUGGACAAUAGAUGUCAUGCAAGUUCUUUUCCCUAAGCACGUAUGACUACACACGGAAUGCAUGCCAACAUCACAUUGACGAACGGGAGCUAGCCACAUAUCUCUCCAUGUUAUAACUGUUGCACGAUGAAUAUCAUCCAAACGAAUCACCGACCCAUUGCCUAUGAGUUCGUCCCAAUGUUGUUGUUACUUGUUUUGCUCUGCUGCUGUUACUGUUGUUACUUUCUCUGCACUGCUGAUGUUACUAUUGUUGCUACUUGCUACUGCUGUCACUACUGUUGUUCCUUGCCACUGCUGCUACUCGUUACACUUCUACUAGCUGCUACAAUUCUGGUUCACUCGGCGUUGACGGGGAAAAGACUAUUUCCAUCAACGGGCAACUUCUGGCGCCAUUGAUACGACAGUUAGGAAUAGUGUGCUAUCAACAGAUCGUUUCUGACACCGUUGUUAUCAUACUACUUUGCUGCUGAUACUUUGCUUGCAGAUACUAAUCUUUCAGGUGUGGUUGAAUCUGACAAAUUCAGCUGCUAAUACUCGAGAGUAUUCUCUCACCUCCUGACUGGCGUACCAACAAAUUUGGGUCGAAUACUCUACCCUCGAAAACGGUCGCGAACCCACGCGUUGGUGGGCCAUUGCAAGACAAUUGCUAAUUGUUGAGCAACUGGGAGCAGUUCUGGCUCUGUUGUCGCGAAGGCAUCAAGUCAGGGACUCGUCAACAACAUUCUUCUAGUGUCGUUGCCGGGGACUGCUAAGUAGCAUUUUUCUGGCGCCGUUGCCGGGGACUGCUAAGCAGGCCGCGGCCCCUGGGCUUGUGGCUUCCUGGUGGGUCCCUCCGGUACUUCUUUCGCCCAUUAUUUUUUAUGAAAUCUAAAAUUGUUCUUUGUAACUUUUCAGGACAUUUGGAGCUAUCCAGAAUAGAUCUCUCAGAUUUGCUCCUUUUCUAGUCCAGAAUUCCAGCUGUCGGCAUUCUCCCUCUUCAUGUAAAUCUUGUAAAAUAAUAUAGAAAAGGCAUAAGUAUUGUACCAUAAUGUGUAAUAACAGCCCAUAAUGCAAUAAAUAUUGAUAUAAAAUCCUGAUGCAAAAUGGACGUAUCAACUCCCCCAAGUUUAGACCUAGCUUGUCCUCAAGCGAAAGCGGGGAUCAAUAAAUAUGCCCACAUGUUUAUAGAUAGAGGUGUCGGUAAAAUAAAAUACGUACAUAAGGGCAUCAUGAUUAUCUUUAGAACAGAAAUACACAUUGACAUAGAGUAUCUUAUACUGAAGUAACAAUUCAUUCACAAGACAAAAUAUGCAUCAGGAACUCUAUUGAGAACUAACAAACUAUGAUUUCAGUCAUUGAAGCAAUUCCAAUUUAUUGCAACAUAGGAAAGAGUCAAUAUAAGAGCUUGUAAAGAAAAUCCACGUACUCAAUCAUCUUAUAGUCUUUCAUAAUUGCUAACACUCGUGCGGUACCUAUGAGGUCAAAGCUUCAAUCGGACACGGAGAAAGAUAGGGUCCUAUAUUUUUGCCUGCCAACUAUUUACCUCAAGGGUAAUGUCAACAAUAAUAACUCAUGAUCACCCACAUCCGAGUGGAUAUAUUUGUCUAGAUCAUUCCCCAACACAUGACGUUUGCCAAAAGAUAAAGGAAAAAUAAAGGACAUGGUCAAGAUCACCAGGACUCUUACAUAAAGGUAAGUACUUCGAAAGUAAAAGUAAAAGAUAGGCCCUUCGCAGACGGAAGCAAAGGUUGUCAUGUGCCUUUAUAGUCGGAUGCACAAUCUCUUAAUGCAAAAGAACGUCACUUUAUAUUGCCCCUUGUGAUAAUGAACUUUAUUAUGCAGUCUGUCGCUUUUAUUUCUUCUAUAUCACAAGUUUGUAUAAAGUUUAUUUUCCUCGCACUAAUAAACCACACAUAUUUAAGGAGCAACUUUUAUUGCUUGCACUGAUGACAACUUACAUGAAGGAUCUUCCUCAAUCGAUAGGUAGGUAUGGUGGACUCUCAAGGCAAAACCGGGUUAAAGGUUUUUGGAUGCACAAGUAGUAUCUCUAGUUGGUGUGGGAGUUUCUUUUGGCUAAUAUGAGGUGGAAUCAAGAGACACAUGUUGAAGGAUCUAUAACCAUAUAACUUCUAUUCGGAAAAAAGAAAACAUAACUCAUUAUGUUGUCUUCCUUGUCCAACAUCAACCUUUCAGCAUAUAAUAUUUUAAUGAAUGCUCACAAUCACAAAAGAUGUCUAAGAUAAUAUAUUUAUAUGUGAACCUCUCUUUCUUUAUUACUUCCUCAUAAUUGCAACAAUGACCAAAAGCUUUGUUUGUCAACUCACAACAAAUUUUAGUUAACAUACUUAUUAUACGUGAAGUCAUCACUCCCCAUAAGAUCAUUAUGUAUGCUCUAUUGCUUUUAUUCUAUACUUUUUUCUAUUUCUUUAUCUCAAGAUCAUAGUAAGCAAGCAAAGCCCUUAAUUCAAAACUACUCUUUAUUAUAUAACUCUCGGACUUGCUUACAUAGGGGGAACAAAAAGAAAAAUCAAAACUAGAUCACAAUAAAACUUUAUUCUACUAGAAAAAGAUAUAACUAAAAGGAUCGAACGAAGAUAAAUAAAAGAAAACAAGAAACUAAAAAGGUGUGAUGAUGAUACGAUACCGGGGCACCUCCCCCAAGCUUGGUACAAGCCAAGGGGAGUGCCCGUACCCAUGUGUUUAGUUGUCUUCCUUCGGAGGUGGUGAUGUUGGAGUUGUUGGUGAGGUUGAAGGUUUAUCCUCCGUCUUCCAAGGCAUGGGUACACCAUCGUGAAAAGAUGAAAUAGUCUCUGGGACCCUCAAUCCUACAGCCAAACCCAUUUUCUUAAAUUUGCAUUCAUACUCACGGUUUGGUUUUGCAGUUCAUAGAUCUGUGCUUGGAGGUGCUCGAUUUUCUCGUAAAUCUUGAAGAUGUGAUCCCAGAGGUCCUUGGCGUCCAUCUUGUGCUUAUGGGUAAACUCCAUGAUCAUCAGGUGGUUGGCAUUAAGUCCUCGUUCCACCAUCCCAUGGCACUUCAAGACUUGUGGCUCCAUCGCUUUGAGCCUUGUCUCCACGCUUCCGGUCUUCUUUGGCCCCUUCACAUUACGGAUGUGCAGCACCCCCUCAUGCAUCUCAAUGGUUUGAGGGUGUCGUAGCACCUCCGAAAGGUAGAGGUUGAUGACCCUCUCAAAGAACUUAUCCUUUAGGGAACUUGAAGACGUCAUGUUGGUCUAAAUCUGUUACAGAAACAGCUCGAAACAAAAACAGGAGAUAUUGUCGUGAUAUAGAGGUCAAAACCUUUGGGAGAUUAUGUAAUGAAUUUUUGCUGACCUGAAGUAGUACUCCACUAGAAAACGGAGUCUGGAGGGUGCAUGGGGUGGCCACAAGCCUGCAGGGCGCGGCCAGGGGGGGUAGGUCGCGCACCUCGGGCUUGUCGCCUCCUCGUGCACGCUUCGGUCUACUUUAAUUUUUCCUAAUUUUUAAAAUAUUCCAAAACUGGUAAAAAUUUCCAUUGAAAACAUUUUGGAGUCGGUUUUAUUACUAUAGCACAUACCUACUAUUUUUCGGGGUCCGAGGCGUUCUGAUAGGUCUCCUUAAUGUACUCUUUCGGAGUUAUGGUAUUGAUAAUAUUAUUUCAACGUUUAUUGGAGUACCUGAGAUAUAAUGUUUGAUUCUUUGCCCAUUUACCACCUUCGUAUUUGUGCCUUCAGCGUUUGAUGAGGACUUGACUACCUUUGAUAUUAUCACAAUCAUUGCAUAUGUGUAUUUAUUUGAGGUUAUUUCUGAUAAAACUCAUGCAAUAAUUUGUUUAUGUUCUUCGGAACAAAAAUACUUCACCUAUUUUUAUUUUAUGCCUAAAUGCAGAAUGACCAAACGCUUGUAUGAAUCACGUGCUAUGACAAGGGAAGAGUAUAUGGUUGGAUGCUAUUCAAGAGGUCCUCUCAUGUCAAAGGAAAUAAUUAGUUGUUGUUAAAGAAGUUCUCUCACGUCACUUUUAGCCCAAGAGAAGAUAGAGUCCAAGUCUUUCACGUUCUGGACUCAGAUUCGGACUGCACAAACAUACAUGUACCAAAACACUUUCAACUUUUUCAUCCGGACUCCGAAUUGCGUGAUUCUUUUUGGGCUACAAAAUAGAUUUAACUCGCUUUCAGGUCCAAUUGACUCACCUUCAAAUUCGUCCGGAGCGUGGAGAUCUCGACCAGAAAAAAUGACGUUGCACCAGAAUCUGAGUCAAACAACAAGUCCGAAGGUGUUGCACCACCUCCACUUGGGCCCAUAGGCCUUGUACGGCCUAGGGUUAGUUUUAGGAUGCCUUGGGAUGUCCUCCCACCUCCUUGGCCGCCAUCCCUUGCUCCUACAUAAUUAGAUCAACCUAUUAGCUUUUUGCUUGGGAUUUGUUUAGUUAAAAGUUAGCCAUUGCAACUUCGUGUACUUCGUUUGUGUCCAACGACCAGACUAAGACCGCUUUCGGAUCCCCAUCUUUAUCAAUACUCCAUCUAUAUUCGCAAUAUUCAGAUUGCAAUAUCAUAUUGUUGCUUGUUCUUCAAUUGCUUGCAGGAAUAGACCUUCGUGGUCAGGUUGAUCGUGCUCCGGCGUGGUCAAUAACCUUUUGGAGAUUGGUUUAGCGAUUGCUAAGGCGCGACGUUGUGCACGUUUGUAGUCAGAUUGUCAAAGUCAUCUCCACCAAAUUGAAAGUUAUCAUCUCAGGGAAAGAUCGGGCCCGUCGCCUAUAUCAAGUGCUUUAUCAAGUCGUAUCAGUUUUCAGGUUGCUCGGUGAGAAUUUCGAGUUAUCCCUAUAUUAGAUUUAUUUUUCUUACCUAUUACCCAAGAAAAACCACAAAAAAUGACUUAGAUCUAGUCAUCCUUUGUCCAAGCCAGUCUGAGCCUUUGCAAUUUUCCUUUUAGUGCUUGCAUAGUUGAAUUAUUGGUUGCAUCGUCGUGUCAAGUUGCUGGUCUUAGCGUCUAGUCUUUUUAGAGUUUCGAGUUCUGUUCACAAGUUGUCACGUUGCCGCUGCACCAUCUUCAUCAUUGCUUUCAUAUACCACCACCGCGCCACCGUCAUCCCUUCUGUUGUCGCCCACCCUCAUCCAUCAAUAUUCACCACGUGCUUCAAUUGUUCAUUGUCAUUAUCAUACUUGAGGUCAUUCGCAUCUGUACUUGAUCCAAUCUACAUCUUAAUUGGUUGUUUGAGAGAAGAGAAAAAAAAGUGAGAGCAAAAAAAAUUGAGGAAAAAAAGAAAAAAGUAGAGUGAAAAAAAAAGAGAGAAUAAGAAAAAAUAACAAAUUUCGGAUCCAUCUAGAGUCAAUCCCGUAUGUGAAUUCGCAUUGAAAACUCUUUUGUGCACUGUUCAGUAAAAUAGGUGUAUCUUCCUCAUACGAUGUCCGUUUUGGCUCCGCGACUACUCAAAUCCAAGCUAUUGACGAGACGCAUCUGAAUAGUUGAUGAAGCUAGUUCAUUAUUGUCACCUCCAAAUCGUCUUAUAAAUAGGACUUUUUUCCCUUCGAAUGUCAGGAACACAGUUUGUCAAUAUUUUUCAGGUUUGUUCCCGAAUUUUUUGAGUCCUCAUACGAUCUCGGAAUUGAGUGAUUCUUUUUGCAUUGGAAAGCUUGAGUCAGUAGUAUUCUUGAGAAAAAAUAUCAGAAAUUUCACAUAAUAUUUUCAAGAGAGAAGUUCUAGAGAUAGUUUUGGUUUAUCUUGUUUGGGGUCAUUUAUCAUCACUAUAUUUACUGCCAUUGUGAUCUUCACUUAUAUCUUCCUAUCCAGAGCUACUUCAUAUCAUCCAUUGAUGCUAUUUAUGAUUUGACGUGACUCCAUUAGUGUUCUAGACUCGCGUCUCUAGUACGGUCUAGCAUAGGACCAGCACAGUACCGUCGUUGAGCGUUUAUUCAACAUUGCAUCUCUGAAUUGAUUAUUGCUAAUAUUUUGCUACCAUACAUUAAGCCUUCCUAACUCCACAUAUUUCUACACCGUGUAUACAUACGUUUACCUGGUAAUCGUUUUCCUCAAACUUCGGAGAUAUUAACACCGUCGGUUGCCGGUCACCGCCUGCUGCAUGGUAAGAAUUUGUAAGACAUUGAUAUUUGCUUUACUGUGAGCGUUUUACCACCACAUCCUCGUAGUUCAUAGGAACAAUAUUCUUGGAUUUUUGUUUCUUGUUUAUACUAGUCAUGACAGGAUCCAGAGUUUUCAGUUCAUGGGCUUCUUCGAUGGUGGGAGACGUGCCACCACAACAACUGUUACGAGAGGUGCAGAGAGAUACAAAUGCACAUCAUGAGGUUAAUGUUUCUAUACCACCAUUUAAUGGACGUUUUAGACCUGCUUUAUAUAUUGAAUGGGAAUUUGAAAUAAAUGAUAUAUUUGCUUCCCAUAAUUUUGCUGAACAUAAGAAAGUUAAGGUCGCGGUUGGUUCUUUCACCGGUUAUACUUCAGUUUGGUGGAGCGAAUAUUGUCGGUUACACCCUGGUUAUAGACCUACUACUUGGUAUGAUUUGAAACUUGCCAUGAGACACGCAUUCGUUCCUACUUAUUAUACUCGUGGCAUGAUUAAAAAGCUACAACAUUUAAAACAAGGUAGUGACACCGUAACAAAAUAUUAAGAUGAUUUACAAACAACCUUGUUGCAUUCCUCAUUAGAAGAAAGUGAACAAGAUUUUAUGGAUAGAUUUUGGGGAGGGUUAAACCAUGAUAUUCAGGAGAUACUAAUUCAUGAAAAGUGUUAUCCUAUGGAUCGUUUGUUUCGUCUUGCUUGCAAAGAUGAAGAGGAAAUAAAACGACGUAUUGCCCAAGAGGAUAAGGAGCACAAGGUGCUUAUUCCAAGAGUUGAUAUGGUUGUUCCUUCAACUACUGGGCGUACGAUGACAACCACAUAAAUUGUUGUGAGGGAUACAUCACCUUCACCAUGUGACAUGUUACCAUCGAGAGUGCCUAUAUCAUCAGAGUUGAUCAUAAGAGGUAAUGAAAAAGGUACCUAUCUUCCACCUCCACAUGAGUAUGAUGAAUGCCUUGUCAAUUGCAAUGUACACUGUGAUGAGCCACAUAUUGCUUUGAUCAAACCACAUAUUUUAGAGAACUAUGUUGAUGAUUUGACUUUGCCGUGUGCUCAAACAACUACAAUAUCAACAAUUUUGAGUGCACCCAUUGAAUUAACUAUUGUUGAGAAAGAACCAUGUGAAAGAGGAAAUAAAUCAAAUUUGGAUCAAAUAUGUUUGAAAAUAAUUGUGCCAAUGUUUAAUCAUUCUGAUAUGAUCUCCAAUCUUGAUGAUGAUUCUAUGUCAAAUGACAUGUUGCAUGAUUGCUUAGUUCAGCCUGUUGUAGCAUGUACAUUUGAAACAAUUCAAUUUUCUUCACCAGUGUUAGGAUGGUAUAGUGAUGAGCAUUGUCAACCUUUUGGUAUAAAUAAGAGCUUCACUUAUAUAUGCAAACUGAGUUGCAAUAUUUUCAUGCUUUCUACUUCUUGUGAUGAUAUUUUGACUUUAUAUUUCAUAACAUAUGAAAGUUACUCAUGUAUACAUGUGGCAUAUGUGCAAAAACCAAGGGAAGUAAAAAUAGAUGAUAUAUACAUAUACAACAUGUACACCUUGUCUCUUUUGUUAGCCAAAUUUCAGAUUAAGCAGCGUCGAGGACGGCUUUAUUUUCAAAAAGGUGAGGAUGAUGAGGACAUGACUACCUUUGAUAUUAUCACAGUCAUUGCAUAUGCGUAUUUAUUUGAGGUGAUUUCUGAUAAAACUCAUGCAAUAAUUUGUUUAUGUUAUCCGGAACAAAAAUACUUCACCUGUUUUUAUUUUAUGCCUAAAUGCAGAAUGGUCGAACACUUGUAUGAAUCACGUGUGAUGACAAGGGAAGAGGAAAUGGUUGGAUGUUAAUCAAAAGGUCCUCUCAUGUCAAAGGAAAUAAUUAGUUGUUGUUCAAGAAGCUCUCUCUCAUCACUUUUAGCCCAAGAGAAGAUAGAGUCCAAGUCUUUCACGUUCUCGACUCAGAUUCGGACUGCACAAACAUAUCUGUACCAAAACGCCUUCAACUUUUUCAUCCAGACCCCGAAUGGCGUGAUUCUUUUUGGGAUGCAAAGUAGAUUUUACUGAAUUUCAGACCCAAUUGGAAUCACCUUCAAAUUCGUCCGGAGCGUGGAUAUCUCGACCAAACAAAAUGACGUUGCACCAGAAUCCGAAUCAAACAACAAGUCCAAAGGUGUUGCACCACCUCCACUUGGGCCCAUAGGCCUUGUACGACCUAGGGUUAGUUUUAGGCUGCCUUGGGAUGUCCUCCCACCUCCUUGGCUGCCACCCCUUGAUCCUAUAUAAGUAGGUCAACCUAGUAGCUUUUUAUUGGGAUUUGUUUAGUUAAAAGUUAGCCAUUGCAACUUUGUGUACUUCGUUUAUGUCCAACGACCAGACUAAGACCGCUUUCGGAUCCCCACCUUUAUCAAUACUUCAUCUAUAUUCACAAUAUUUAGAUUGCAAUAUCAUAUUCUUGCUUGUUCUUCGAUUGCUUGCAGGAAUAGACCUUCGUGGUCAGGUUGAUCGUGCUCCGGCGUGGUCAAUAACCUCUUGGAGAUUGGUUUAGCGAUUGUUAAGGCGUGACGUUGUGCACGUUUGUAGUCGGAUCGUCAAAGUCAUCUCCACCAAAUCGAUAGUUAUCAUCUCACCGAAAGAUCGGGCCCCUCGCCUAUAUCAAGUGCUUUAUCAACGUUGUUGAUCUUGAUGGCACCGGAACGAUAUACUUCCUCGAUAAUGUAAGGACCUUCCAAUUUAGAUAGAAGUUUUCCUGCAAAAAAUCUUAAACGGGAGUUGUAUAGCAAGACAAAAUCACCUACUUUGAAUUCACGCUUUUGUAUCCUUAUGUCAUGCCAUCUCUUAAUAUUUUCUUUAAACAACUUGGCAUUCUCAAAGGCCUGGGUUCUCCAUUCAUCAAGUGAGUUAAUGUCAAAUAACCUCUUCUCACCGACAAGUUUAAAAUCAUAAUUAAGCUCUUUAAUUGCCCAAUAUGCUUUAUGUUCUAGCUCUAGAGGUAAGUUACAUGCUUUACCAUAAACCAUUUUAUAAGGUGACAUACCCAUAGGGUUUUUGUAAGCAGUUCUAUAAGCCCAUAAUGCAUCGUCAAGUUUCUUAGACCAAUUAUUUCUAGAUCUAUUAACAGUAUUUUGCUAAAUCAAUUUUAUUUCUCUAUUGUUCGAUUCUACUUUCCCACUAGACUGAGGAUGAUAAGGAAAUGCAACUCUAUGAUUAACAUCAUACCUAGCAAGCAAUUUACGAAAACCACCAUAAAUAAAGUGUGAACCACCAUCAGUCAUUAAGUAUCUCGGGACUCCAAAUCUAGAAAAAAUAACUUCCUUCAACAUUUUAAUAGAAGUGUUAUGAUCAAAACAACUAGUUGGAAUAGCUUCUACCCACUUAGUAACACAAUCAACAGGAACUAGAAUAUGAUUAUACCCGUUGGAUUUUGGAAAAGGUCCCAUAUAAUCAAAAUCCCAAACAUCAAAUGGUUCAAUAAAUAAAGAGUAAUUCAUAUGCAUUUCCUGACGUCUACUAAUAUUACCUAUUCUUUGACAUUCAUCACAAGAAAAGACAAACUUACGAGCAUCCUUGAAGAGAGUAGGCCAAUAAAAACCAGAUUACAGUACCUUGUGUGCAGUUCUAUAUCCAGCGUGGUGUCCUCAGUAGGCCUCAGAGUGACACUUGUGAAGGAUCUGUCUUUCUUCAUGAUCAGGUACACAACGUAUAAUAAUACCAUCUACUCCUUGUUUAUAAAGGUGUGGAUCGUCCCAAAAGUAAUGACUUAAACCAUGGCAGAACAUUUUAUUUUGUUGAUAUGUGAAACUAAGAUGUAUAAAUUUAGCAACAAUGUAAUUAGCAUAAUCAGCACACCAAGGAGCAUUGCGUGAAGCAUUUAUAAUAGCUAGUUGUUCAUCAAGAAAGUUAUCAUCAAUAGGAAGAGGGUCAUCAAGAACAUUCUCUCAUCUAGACAAGUUAUAUGCUAUGGGGUUAUCAGCGCCCUUUCCAUCAAUAAUAUGCAAAUCAAAUUCUUGUAGCAGAAGAACCCAUCUAAUACGUCUAGGCUUAGCAUGUUUCUUUUCCAUAAGGUACGUAAUAGCAGUGUGAUCAGUGUGAACAGUUACUUUGGAGUCAACAAUAUAAGGUCUAAACUUAUCGCAAGCAAACACAACUGCUAAAAAUUUCUUUUCAGUGGUAGCGUAGAUUCUUUGAGAAUUGUCUUGAGUUUUACUAGCAUAAUGGAUAACAUUUAAUUUCUUAUCAACUCUUUGUACUAGAACAACACCAACAUCAUAAUCACUAGCAUCACACAUAAUUUCAAAGGGUAGAUUCCAAUCAAGUGGUUGAACAACAGGUGCAGUUAUCCAGGCUUUCUUAAGAAUUUCAAAAACUUCUACACAAUCAUCAUCGAAAACGAAUGGAAUAUCCUUUUCCAAAAGAUUUGUGAGAGGCUUAGAAAUUUUAGAAAAGUCUUUAAUAAAUCUCCUAUAGAAACCAGCAUGACCAAGUAAACUUUUUAUACCUUUAAUAUCUGUUGGACACAGCAUUUUUUCAAUAGCAUCAACUUUAGCUUUGUCAACUUCAAUGCCUCUUUCGCAGAUUUUGUGUCCCAAGACAAUGCCUUCAUUAACCAUAAAGUGGCACUUCUCCCAACUCAAGACAAGAUUAGUUUCUUCACAUCUCUGCAAAACUCGAUCAAGGAAUAUAGCCAUCAUACAUCUUUGAAAGGUAGCAGGUGCAUUGCAUAAACCAAAAGGAAUACGUCUAUAAGCAAAGGUACCGAAGGGGCAAGUAAAAGUGGUCUUCUCUUGAUCCUCUUUCGAUACAUGUAUUUGAGAGAAAAGAGAGUAACCAACUAGAAAGCAAAAAAUGUGUAUGUUUGGAUAAUCUUUCUAGCAUUUGAUCAAUAAAAGGUAGAGGGUAAUGAUCUUUCCUAGUAGCUUUAUUUAAUUUCUUGAAAUCAAUUACCAUUCUAUAUCCUGUAACAAUUCUUUGCGGGAUUAAUUCAUCUUUAUCAUUAGGAACAACAGUAAUACCACCCUUUUUAGGGGCACAAUGAACGGGACUAACCCAUCUACUAUCAGCAAUAGGAUAAAUUAUACCUGCCUCCAGAAGCUUUAGUAUUUCAUUUCUUACCACUUCCUUCAUUUUAGGAUUUAAUAGUCGUUGGCGAUCAAACACUGGUUUAGCAUUAGGUUCUAUAUUGAUUUUAUGUUGUCAUAGAGUGGGACUAAUGCCCUUAAGAUCAUCAAGAGUAUAUCCAAUAGCGGCACGGUGCUUCCUUAGAGUUAUCAAUAAUCUCUUUUCUUCAUGCUCUCAAAGGUUACCACUAAUAAUAACAGGAUAUAUCUCUUUUUCAUCAAGAUAAGCAUACUCCAGAGUAUCAGGUAAUUGUUUAACCUCAAACACAGGAUCACCCUUGGGUGGAGGAGGAUCCCCGAGUAUUUCAAUAGGUAGGUUUUGUUUCAGAAUAGGAUGUGAUCAAACAAAAUCUUAUCUAUUUCAUUCCUUUCAUUCAUAUGCAUAUCAUUUUCAUGGUCUAACAAAUAUUGUUCUAAUGGAUCGGUAGGAGGCACAACGAUAGAAGCGAGACCAAUAAUUUCAUCUUUACUAGGCAAUUCUUUGUCAUGGGGUUGUCUACAAAAUUUAGAGAAAUUGAACUCAUGAGAUGCAUCCCCAAAACUUACAGUAACCGUUUCUUUUUCGAAAUCAAUCUUAAAAUUAAUAGUAUCCAAGAAGGGUCUACCGAAUAUAAUGGGAGAAAAAUCAUCUUGUGGGGAACCAAGAACAAGAAAAUCAGUAGGAUAUUUUAUUUUCCCACACAAGACUUCAACAUCUCUAACAAUCCCAAUUGGUGAAAUAGUAUCUCUAUUAGCAAGCUUGAUGGUGACAUCAAUUUCGUCUAAUUCGGCCGGUGCAAUAUCAUUCAUAAUUCCUUGGUAUAAGGUAAAGGGAAUUGCACUCACACUAGCACCCACAUCACAUAAGCCAUGAUAACAAUGAUCUCCUAUUUAACAGAAACAACAGGCAUGCCAACAAUAGGUCUAUGUUUACCCUUAGUAUCACGUCUAGCAAUUCUAGCGGCUUCAUCACAGAAGUGAAUGACAUGCCCAUCAAUAUUAUCAACCAAGAGAUAUGUAACCAUAGAAAUAUUACAUUAAACUUUAAUUUGUUUAGGAGGUAUAGGUGUUCUAGUACAACUCUUACGAACCACAAUUUAAGUUCUAGCAUGUUCCUUUAUCCUAACAGGAAAGGGUGGUUUCUCAAUAUAAGUAGUAGGGAUAACAGGAUCAGCAUUAUAAAUAAUUGUUUCUUAUUCAACUUUAAUAGGUUCAGCUACUUUAACUUCAAUGGGAGGAUGAUAUUUAAACCACUUCUCCUUGGGGAGAUCAACAUGAGUAGCAAACGAGUCAGAGAAUGAAGCUACUACCUCAGAGUCUAGUCCAUAUUUAAUGCUCAAAUCACGAAAAGCAUCGGUGUCCAUAAAGAUUUAACACAAUCAAAUGUAAGGCUUAUACCUGACUCAUUAACUUUGUCGAUUUCCCAAUCUUCAUAGUUGUGUUUAAUUUUUUCCAAUAAUUCUCAUUUGAAUUGAAUGUCUUUCUUCAUAGAGGAACCGGCACAAGAAGUGUGGAGCAUGGAUCGAUCAUUACGAGAGAGCCGAGCAUAAAAUUGUGAAUAAUAAUUUAUCUUGGGAGCUCAUGAUUGGGGCAUGAAUAUAACAUUGACUUAAGCCUCCCCGAUCUUGAGCGAUUCUUUCUCCUUCACGAGGCCAAAAAUUAUAGAUAUAAUUCCGAUCACAAUGAAAUAGAUGCAUAGGAUAAAAUUUCUCAUGAAAUUCCAAUUUCAGUCGUUGUAGUUCCAUGAUCCAAUAUCAUCACAUAGCCUAUACCAUGUCAACGCCUUUUCCUUCAAAGAUAAAGGAAAGACCUUCUUCUUGACAUCAUCCUAGGGAAGACCUGCAAGCUUAAAUAAUCCACAAACUUCAUCCACAUAGAUUAGGUGCAAAUCACGAUGUAGUGUUCCAUCUCCUGCAUAAGGAUUAGCUAACCGUUUUUUUAUCAUACCCGAAGGAAUUUCGUAAUAAAUAUUUUGAGUAGGUGCAGCAGGUUGAGGAGCAUCUCUUUGUUCUUCCGGUUGGGGUGAACAUGCCCUGAACAAGCUCCUUAAAGGAUUAUUUUCCAUAGUGACAAGUGACAAAAAAUUUCAACACAGUAUAUAAAAUUUUCCUUACCAAGUUCCUCAUACCAAAGGCGCUUCACUCCCCGGCAACGCCGCUAGAAAAGAGUCUUGAUGACCCACAAGUGUAGGGGAUCUAUCAUAGUCCUUUUGAUAAGUAAGAGUGUCGAACCCAACGAGGAGAAAAAGGAAAUGAUAAGCAGUUUUUAGUAAGGUAUUCUCUGCAAGCACUAAAAUUAUCGGUGACAGAUAGUUUUACGAUAAGGUAAUUUGUAACGAGUAACAAGUAACAAGUGUAACUAAGGUGCAGCAAGUUGGCCCAAUCCUUUUUGUACCAAAGGACAAGCCUGGACAAACUCUUAUAUAAAGAAAAGCGCUCCGGGGACACAUGAGAAUUUAUGUCAAGCUAGUUUUCAUCAUGCUCAUAUGAUUCGUGUUCGUUACUUUGAUAAUUUGAUAUGUGGGUGGACUGGUGCUUGGGUGUUGCACUUACUUGGACAAAUCUACCACUUAUGAUUAACCUCUAUCGCAAGCAUCUGCAACUGCGAAAUAGGACUUAAGAUAAAUCUAACCAUAGCAUUAAACAUAUGGAUCCAAAUCAGCCCCUUACGAAGCAACGCAUAAACUAGGGUUUAAGUUUCUGUCACUCUAGCAACCCAUCAUCUACUUAUUACUUCCCAAUGGCUUCCUCUAGGCCCAAAUAAUGGUGAUGUGUCAUGUAGUCGACGUUCACAUGACACCACUAGAGGAGAGACAACGUAUAACUUAUCAAAAUAUCGAACGAAUACCAAAUUCACAUGAUUACUUAUAACAAGACUCAUCCCAUGUCCUCAGGAACAAAGGAGACUACUCACAAAGCAUAUUCUUAUUCAUGAUCAGAAGGGUAUUAAUAAUUAUUAAGGAUCUGAACAUAUAAUCUUCCUCCAAAUAAACCAACUAGCAUCAACUACAAGGAGUAAUUAACACUACUAGCAACCCAAAGGUACCAAUCUGAGGUUAUGAGACAAAGAUCGGAUAUAAGAGAUAAACUAGGGUUUGGAGAGGAGAUGGUGUUGAUGAAGAUUUUGAUGGAGAUUGACCCCCUCACAAUCAGAGGAUAGUUGGCGAUGGCGGUGGCUUUGAUUUCCCUCUCCGGGAGGGAAGUUUCGCUAGCGGAAUCGCUUUGCCGGAGCUCUAGAUUGAUUUUGUCGAAGUUCCGCCUCGAGACGGCGGCGUCGCGUCCCGAAAUUUCUGACAUGAUUUUUUUCCAGCUCAAAACACUUCAUAUUGGAGAAGAUGGGCGUCGGAGGCCUGCCAGGGGGCCCAUAAGCCUGAAGGGCGCGGCCAUGGGGGGUAGGCCGCGCCCCUUGGGCAUGUGGCUUCCUGGUGGGUCCCCUCCGGUACUUCUUUCGCCCAUUAUUUUUUAUAAAAUCCAAAACUGUUCUUUGUAACUUUUGAGGACUUUUGGAGCUGUGCAAAAUAGAUCUCUCAUAUUUGCUCUUUUUCCAGUCCAGAAUUCCAGCUGCCGGCAUUCUCCCUCUUCAUGUAAAUCUUAUAAAAUAAGAGAGAAAAGGCAUAAGUAUUGUACCAUAAUAUGUAAUAACAUCCCAUAAUGCAUUGAAUAUUGAUAUAAAAGCAUGAUGCAAAAUGGACAUAUCACGCACCCCCCUAAAAUAAGAGACGAAGAGAAAACGCUCCACACGGCUUACCCGAACUACCUUCUCCACCAGCGUGCAGUUGUGCACCGCCGACUGGGCAAAUGAUGCUAUGCCCGCACGGUACCGCGCCAUCAUGUCGCCCUUGCCGGCCGACGCGAGAUCCCGCCCGCUAGCGGAAGAGUUCGCCCCGUCCGACCCUAAUGCAUGGCCCAGCUUGGCCCACUCCGCCGCAACGGUGGACAUCGAUGGGCUCGUCCGGCCGGCCCCGUCAGUCGCAGCUUCCUCGAGCGCCGCCCGGUUCGGCUGCACCGACGAGACAACGAGGGCCCUGUAGUCGCUGCUCCUAGCAUAUGACCCGGCCAUACGCCCUUGGUCAGACUCCUGACUUAACACCUCCGGUGGUGCCUCCAUGUCCGGGGCCGGCUCCUGGUGCAUCCCCAUGCGCGCUGAUGAGACCUCCGGGCCACGAGCCUUGAGGGUCGCCGGAGUUGUCAUGCACCCAUCUCCCUGGCCGAAGGACCACCGAGCCGGUCUCUGCAGCCGUCGCGCCCUUCGCCUUGGCAAUACGCAGCUGGAAGGCGCGCUCUCGCUCAAGCCGCACCAUCACUGCGUGUUCCACACCCAACUGUGCAACGCCCUCGCCCCCAAGGGCCGAUGGGGCCGGCGGUGUAAGUUCGAUGGCCUUGCUGCUGAAAAGAAAGGGCACGAGCUCAAUGGCACAUGGCAAAAAUGAAAGGAAGAAAACGACACGAGCUCCAAAGAAAACUUACCCCGAAACGAAGGGAAUCUGGCGGCCACCCCGCCUCAAGGUCCUCCGCGCUGGAGGACUGGUGCCCAGCGGUAGCACAGUCGACUGAGCCUUCUUGGCGGCCAGGGCUAUGACCAUUCCCUCGACUGGUCAUUUCUCUCUGCGCCGUUCCUCCGCCGUCUGGCGGUGGGUCAGCUGCCGCGUGGUCGGCUGACCCGCAACCGGCUGGCUCUUAGCCGGGAGCUUCGCGCUUCAUUCUCGUCGUCGGUGCCGGGGCGUCCCUGACGCCGCAGGAGACGCCUCCACUAUGCGCACAUUGUCAUCAUCAUCGUCGUUGGUUCAGUCCCGCACAUACACCUCGGGGCAGGGACCACUUGAUGUCCCAACCACGCCGGUAGUGGCGCCAAUCGGUGCCUCCUUAUCUUCCUCAUCUUCCUCCUCCACCUCCGGCAUGUAUAGGUCCUCAGGGCCGGCGGGGUUGCCCGGUCCGACUCAUAGUCCUCGACGUCGGAGUCCGCACGGUCUGGCGCAAAUUUUUGCGGGUUCGGACCGUCUGACGUCAUUUGCUAGGAAAAAAGCUUAAGAAAAAGCACAACCAUGCGUGAGUAGCCGCAAGAAAAAAGUGAGAGCAACUCCAGUCGAACAAAUCUUACCUGCGGCGCGCGGUUGUCGCGAUAGAACGAUUCCAAGCCGAACACCCACGCCUCCAUGUCGAGCCUGAAGUGGGUGAUGGCGUUCACCUUGGCGUCAACCUUGUUCGGAAGCAGCUCCACGGUCGACAGUCGGCAGGGGUCCUUGCAACUACUCAUGUUGUAGAUCCCGUGCGGCCACUCCAGCAACGACAACACCCAGCAGGAGAUAAAGCUACCACCAGGUCCACAGGCAGCAACCCCUGGGAGGCCUUGAGCUCCUUCAGACGGCCCUGACCAUCGUCAUCUCGUCACUGUGCACCUCGAGGUUCUAGUUCGUGCCAGUCGGUGAACAUCGGGAGGUUGACCUAGUCCCGCCCCUCCUCGAUGUUGCGAACGUAGAAGAAGCAACGCUGCCACUUCUUGAAGGGGUCGAUCCACCUCGUCUUUAGGAAGAGCCUGUUGCGUCUCACAUACACCAACGCGCCGCCGCAGGAGUACGACACGUUGUUGUUCUUCUGGGCGUGGAAGUGGAAGAAGAGAUGGAACAAGGCAGGAAAGGCAAGAAGCCCGUGUACCCCUCGCAUAGGGUGGCGAGGCAUGCGAGGUAUAGCACUGAGUUUGGCCCCAGAUGAUGCAUCUUGAGCCCGUAGAAGUCCAGAAAAUGCCGCAGGAAGCGGCUCACCGGCAGCCCGAAGCCGACGAUGAAGUGCAUGCCAAAAACGACGCGCUCGCGGGUGCAGCGCUCCGGCACGCGCUCGCCUCUGGGCGCGCGCACCUCAACGUGUUCCAUGGACGAGAUCUUUCGUGUCCGCCGGAGGUACUCGAUGUGCGCGUCGGUCAUGACGGAGCCCUCCCACGAGCCAGCAGGUGGCGCGGCCAUCUCAAUAUUUUCCAGGGGCAGAGCGGGAGAGAAGAGGCUCGAGAUGUGGCUCCCCAGUGGAUCGACCGUGGGAAGGCGCUGUGGAUGCAAGGAGGGAGGAGUGGAUGCGGCGAGCGUUUCGGGUGCGAGAAGGAAAAGACGGCGGGUGCGGGCGCGAGGAGGAAGGGCGAGACCGGUGAGCUCUGAAACAUGGCGAAGUGGGAGAUGGGGAGCGGGAAGGCAACGGUAGCCUCGGCUUCCCCCUCCCUCCUUUUUAAAGACCGGGAAGACGUGGGGGCGUGGGAUCGGUUAAGCCCACGUCCCCCACUAUCCCACGAUGCCCGCGCGCAUUAAAUUCAUGGGGAACGCCAACCAGCGUCCUGUGGCCGCAGAAGAUCCCACACAUGGGCCGAGGCCUGUGGCGACGUCCCGUUGCGCGCAUAAUGGCCGGCCCGCCACCGAUGGCCGGUCAUCUCGCGUGCUGGCUCUGGCAGGCGCAUCAACUCCAACAACACUCUCUCUUCGAGGGUGGGGGAAACCGCUAGCCCCCUCGCCCGGAGGCAUCCGGACCCCAAUGGUUUCGGGGGCUACUCAUGGGGUAAUGGGUCGUGGGUAUACCAAAGUGGAGGAAACCGUUCUCGAAGACAUUUGGGUCCGGCUGGCAGCUACCGACCCGUCUGUUCGUCACGUUGCAAGCCGUGUGACAAUAGCUGGCCCGUCCAGCUAUCCCUAACGACAGCCGGCGGGUCAGCGCCCAUCCCAUCGUCCGUACCAGCGUACGAUGACAAGACCAGACUCCUGACACAGAGGCACGCAUGGCUAUAGUGCAUGCUGGCAGGCCUGGCAUUGCCACAUGCAUGAUGAUGCGUGGGUCAACGAGGCUAGAGGACCACCCGUUGCUCCCGAGGCUGAACGGGAGAGGCGGCCCUAUAGCCAUGCCUACACCUACGUACUCACUGACACCCGAUGUCCCAACCAGUGUCACACUGGGCUGGCGGGCCCCGCAAUAGACAAAACUCGACAGCCGGCAGCUACUGCAACAAAACACCUUCCAAUGGCACCAGAAAUAGGCACGUUGACGGGAGAAUACUUGGCUUGAUCCUUCUGCUACGGCUACGCCUUAAGAGACUUCCUAGGCAAGUAUGCAAAGGACUUCCCCCAUGGCCUUGGAGCCUUGCGUUGGUGUUCCCUCGAAGCGGAAAGGGUGAUGUAGCGUAGCGGUGGUAAGUAUUUCCCUCAGUUUGAGAACCAAGGUAUCGAUCCAGUGGAGGAGUAUCACAAGAGCCUGCACAAACACAAAAAGCUUGCUCCCAAUGCUAUGAAGGGGUUGUCAAUCCCUUAUAGAUUGUUUGCCAAGUGAGAACUGAAAGCAACAAUGUAACAAAGCAAAGUAAAGCGGAGGUGUAAACGAUGGAUGUGAAUAGACCCGGGGGCCGUAGUGUUUACUAGUGGCUUCUCUCAUGAAAGCAAGUAGACGGUGGGUGAACAAAUUACUGUCGAGCAGUUGAUAGAACCGCGCAAAGUCAUGACGAUAUCUAUGGCAAUGAUUAUAUCUAUAGGCAUCACGUCCAAAACAAGUAGACCGAUACUUUCUGCAUCUACUACUAUUACUCCACACGUCGACCGCUAUCCAGCAUGCAUCUAGUGUAUUAAGUCCAUAAGAACAGAGUAACGCCUUAAGCAAGAUGACAUGAUGUAGAAGGAUAAUCUCAAACCAAUGAUGAAAACUCCAUCUUUUUACCCUUGAUGGCAACUACUUAAUGUGUGCCUUGCUGCACCUAUUGUCACUGGGAAAGGUCACCACAGGGUAGAACCCAAAACCAAGCACUUCUCCCAUUGCAAGAAUCAUAGAUCUAGUUGGCCAAACAAAACCAAGACUCAGAGAGACUUACAAGGAUAUCAAAUCAUGCAUAUAAGAAAUCAGCAAAACCUCAAAUAUAUAUCAUAGAUAAUCUGAUCACAAAUCCACAAUUCAUCGGAUCUCGACAAACAAACCGCCAAAGAAGAUUACAUCGGAUAGAUCUCCAUGAAGAUCAUGGAGAACUUUGUAUUGAAGAUCCAAGACAGAGAAGAAGCCAUCUAGCUACUAACUACGGACCCGUAGGUCUGAAGGGAACUACUCACGAGUUAUGGGAGGGGCGAUGAUGAUGAUGAAGAAGCCCUCCAACUCCAAAGUCCCCUCCGGCAGGGCGCGGGAAGGGUCUCCAGAUGAGAUCUCGCGGAAACGGAAGCUUGCGGCGGCAGAAAAGUAUUUUCGAGGCUCCUCUUGUUUUUUGCUGAAUUUUUGGGUAUAUAUAGGCCAAGGAUCUAGGUCAGCGGGCGGCCAGGGAGGCCACAAGCCCUGACAUCACCGCCUCCCCCCUGGUGGCGGAGUGCGAGCUUGUGGGCUCCCUGGAGCCCACCUGGCUUCGCCCAGAGGCCCCCUGAUCUUCUUCCGUUCGGGAAAAAAUCAUUUCGGGGUUUUUAUUCCGUUUGGACUCCGUUCCAAAAUCAGAUCUGAAAAGAGUCAAAAACUUAGAAAAAACAGGAACUGCCAGUUGGCACUGAAUUAAUAUGUUAGUCCCAAAAAAGAUAUAAAAGGUACAUAAAACAUCCAAAGAUGACAAGAUAACAGCGUGAAACCAUCAAAAUUUAUAGAUACGUUUGAGACGUAUCAAGCAUCCCCAAGCUUAACACCUGCUCGUCCUCGAGUAGGGAAGUGAUAAAGAAUGAAUUUUUUAUGCUUUCAUGCUACCUAGCAUAGGUGUCCUUUGUAAUUCCUCUUAUGUGACGUUAAUGUUCAGAUCCAUUAGAUUCAAAACAAUAGUUUUCAAUUGACGUGGAAACAAUAAUAAUUCAAGCAAACUAGCAAGGUAAUCAUGAACUUUCAAAAUAACAAGGCCAAAAGAAAGUUAUCCCAAUAAAAGCAUAUAGUCUGGCUAUGCUCUAUCAUCAUUGCACAACGAAUUUAAAUCAUGCACAACCCUGGUAUUGGCCAAGUAAUUGUUUCACACCUUUACUUUCUCAAACCUUUUCAACUCUCACGCAAUAUAUGAGCGUGAGCCAUGGUUAUAGCACUAUAGAUGGUGUGGAAUAUGGUGGAGGUUGCAAGACAAAAAAGGAGAAGAUAGUCACAUUAACUAGGCAUAUCAAUGAGUUGUGGAGAUGCUCAUCAAUAGAUAUCAAUGUGAAUGAGUAGGGAUUGCCAUACAAAUGAUGCACUAGAGCUACGAGUAUGUGAAAGCUCUUAAAGAAAACUAGUGGGUAUGCAUCCAACUUGCUUGCUCACGAAGACCUAAGGCAAUUUUGAGGAAGCCUAUCAUUGGAAUAUACAAGCCAAGUUAUAUAAUGAAAAUUUCCCACUAGCUAUAUGGUGGUGACAAAACGAGAUACUCUCAAUCAAGAAGAUCAUGGUGCUUAAUAUGCACAAGUGUGGAAAAAGUGGUAGCAUUGUCCCUUCUCUCUUUUUCUCUCAUUUUUUUAUUUUUUUAUUUUGGUGGGCUCUUUGGCCUCUUUUUUUGGUGGGCUUCUUUGGCCUCUUUUAUUUUCUCACAUGGGACAAUGCUCCAUUAAUGAUGAUCAUCACACUUUCAACUCAAAACUUAGAGCAACUAUGACUCUAUAUGGAAUGCCUUCGGUAGUGUAUCGUGUCAAUGAUCUAGCAUGGCAUAGACAUCAAUGGAAACAUCAUGCUAGCUAUAUUACGAUCAUGCAAUGGCAAUGUAGACGUGGUGGCACAUGUCAUGGUGGUAGUUGCAUGGAAAUAUAUCUCGGAAUGACUUUGAAAAAGCCAUAGUAGGUAGGUAUGGUGGCUGUUUUGAGGGAGGCUAAUGGUGGGUUUUGUGCACAGGCGAAAGUUGCACGGCACUAAGAAGAUAGUGAUGGUGGUAGGUGAAAGUGCAUCUAAACCAUGGACUCAACAUUAGUCAUGAAGAACUCAUAUACUUGUUGCAAAAGUUUUAUUAGUAAUCAAAACAAAGCAUUCAACGCAUACUCCUAGGGGAAGGGUUGGUAGGUAUAAAAAAUCGCGCGAUCCCGACCGCCACGCAAAGGAUGACAAUCAAUAUAGUAAUCAUGCUCAGAUUUCAUCACAUAGCAGUUCACCAUACGUGCAUGCUACGGGAAUCACUAACUUCAACACAAGUAUUUCUAGAUCCACAACACCUUUCUAGCAUGACUUCAAUAUUACCAUAACCACAACUCAAAACUAAUUGAGAUGAAUCAAACUUCUCUAACUAUUCAAUGCACAUGAAGGUGGAAGUUUUCGUAUCCCUUUGGAUAACUACCCCUUUUGAGACUACUUUUAAAGAAUAGAUCAACUACCAAGCCACGCACCACUGUGCUCUAAAAGAUAUAAGUGAAGCACAUAGAGCAAAAUUAUCUAGCUCAAAAGAUAUAAGUGAAGCACAUGUGAGCUGAAUUGUCUACCAAAAGCUAUAAGUGAAGCUCGACAAAAUCAUGGUGAGUGCAUGUCUCUCUCUAUAGGUGUGCAGCAAGGAUGAUUGUGACACAAGAAAAAUAAAAGACUCCUACGAUACAAGACGCUCCAAGCAAAAACACAUAACAUGUGGUAAAUAAAAAUAUAUCCCCAAGUAACGUUAUCGAUGGAUUGAAGACGAAAGAGGGGAUGCCUUCCCGGGGCAUCCCCAAGCUUAGGCUUUUAAGGCAUCCUUGAAUCUCUUGGGGUGCCUUGGGCAUCCCCAAGCUUGAGAUCUUGCCACUCUUUAUCUUUUUGUCCAUAAGAACUUCACCCAAAACUUGAAAACUUCACAACACGAAACUUAAACAGAAACUCGUGAUAACAUUAGUAUGAGAAAGCAAACCACCACUUCCUUAGGUAUUGUAGCGAACUUAAAUUCUACUUGUGCUGAUGUUGGGUUACUGUAUUUUCAAUCUUCCAUGGCUAAUACCCCCCCCCCCCCGACUACUAUCCAUAGUUUCAUCAAAAUAAGCAACCAACACAACAAAAGCAGAAUCUGUUAACAGCAAACCAGUCUGUAGCAAUCUGUAUAUUUCGUCUACCUCUGUUACUUCCAAAAUUCUGAAAACUUAUGACAGUCUGAAGAAUUUGCGUAGCAAUCAGCAGCAAAAAGAAUCAACUCAAAAGCUCUUACAGAAAAAAACUGAAAAUUAUUUUCGUGAGCAGAAAGUUUCUGUCUUUUCCAGCAUGACCAAACGAUCAUCCCCAAGACUAAUCAUAACGGUUUUGCUUGGCACAAACGCAAAAAGAAACACAAAAAACACAAUCAUAACAGAAUUAUGAAAUUGUGGAAAACACAAAACAGAAAGAAAAAGGAUAGGUUUGUUGGGUUGCCUCCCAACAAGCGCUAUUGUUUAACGCCCUUAGCUAGGCAUUGAUUUCAAUGAUGCUCACAUAGAAGGUAAGGAUUGAAACACAACGAGAGCAUAAUGGAGCAUAUGGCUAGCACAUUUAAGUCUAACCCACUUCCUAUGCAUAGGAAUUUUGUGAACAAACAAAUUUUUGAAGCAAGAAUCAACUAGCAUAGGAAGGCAAAACAAGCAUAGCUUCAAAAAUUUCAACACAUGGAGAGGAAGCUUGAUACUAUUGCAAUAAGUAGAAGCAUAUGAUCCUCUCUCAUAGUAAUUUUCAGUAGCAUCAUGAAUGAAUUCAACAAUGUAAAUAUCACAUAGGAUAUUCUUUUCAUGAUCCACAUGCAUGCAAAGUUGAUGCUCUUCAAAAAUAGUGGGAUUAUCAUCGAAUAAAGUCAUGACUUCUCCAAUCCCACUUUCAGUAUUGUUGCAAAUAUCAUAUUCAUCAUGAGGUUUGAACAAAUUUUUAAGAUCAUAAGAAAGAUCAUCACCCCAAUCAUGAUUAUUACAACAAGUAGUGGACAAAGCAAAACUAGCAUCCCCAAGCUUAGGGUUUUGCAUAAUUUUAGCAUGAUUAUCACUAAUAGAAUUUAUAGUGAAACCAUUGCAAUAAUGCUUAUCAUCCAAGGAGACCUCGUGAAUCACUUCAUAAAUUUCUUCCUCGCAAUUUUGAGAUUCACGCAACUCAAGCAAAACUCCAUAAAGAUAGUCAAGUGCACUCAACUCACUAGCAAUUCGUUCCACAUAAGUGGGUCUCUUAAAGAGAUUAGCUAGUGGUUAAGGAUCCAUAUCAAUAGAUUUUUAGCAAGCGAAGAUGCAAGCAUAUUGAAGGCACAAAGCACACAAGCAAAGGAAAGGCAAACGGAAAAGGCAAAAGGAAACAGCAAAUGUGAAGUGGGGGAGAGGAAAACGAGAGGCAACUGGCAACAAAAUUAAAUGCAAGAGAAGAGUUUGUGAGACCUACUUGGAUAGAUCUUGAAUUCUCCUCCCCGGCAAUGGCGCCAGAAAUACUUCUGCUACUGCAACAAAAGACCUUCCAAUGGCGCCAGAAAUAGGCACGUUGACGGGAGAAUAGUUGGCUUGAUCCUUCUGUUGCGGCUACGCCUUAAGGGACUUCCUAGGCAAGUAUGCAAAGGAUUUACCCCGUGGCCUUGGAGCCUUGCGUUGGUGUUCCCUCGAAGCGGAAAGGGUGAUGUAGUGUAGCGGUGGUCAGUAUUUCCCUCAGUUUGAGAACCAAGGUAUCGAUCCAGUGGAGGAGUAUCACAAGAGCCUGCACAAACACAAAAAGCUUUCUCCCAACGCUAUGAAGGGGUUGUCAAUCCCUUAUAGAUUGUUUGCCAAGUGAGAACUGAAAGCAACAAAGUAACAAAGCAAAGUAAAAGCGGAGGUGUAAACGAUGGAUGUGAAUAGACCUGGGGGCCGUAGUGUUUACUAGUGGCUUCUCUCAUGAAAGCAAGUAGACGGUGGGUGAACAAAUUACUGUCGAGCAAUUGAUAGAACCGCGCAAAGUCGUGACGAUAUCUAUGGCAAUGAUUAUAUCUAUAGGCAUCACGUCCAAAACAAGUAGACCGAUACUUUCUGCAUCUACUACUAUUACUCCACACGUUGACCGCUAUCCAGCAUGCAACUAGUGUAUUAAGUCCAUAAGAAUAGAGUAACGCCUUAAGCAAGAUGACAUGAUGUAGAGGGAUAAUCUCAAACCAAUGAUGAAAACCCCAUCUUUUUACCCUUGAUGGCAACUAUUUAAUGUGUGCCUUGCUGCCCCUACUGUCACUAGGAAAGGUCACCACAUGGUAGAACCCAAAACCAAGCACUUCUCCCAUUGCAAGAAUCAUAUAUCUAGUUGGCCAAACAAAACCCAAGACUCGGAGAGACUUACAAGGAUAUCAAAUCAUGCAUAUAACAAAUCAGCAAAGACUCAAAUAUAUAUAUCAUAGAUAAUCUGAUCACAGAUCCACAAUUCAUCAGAUCUCAACAAACACACCGCCAAAGAAGAUUACAUCGGAUAGAUCUCCAUGAAGAUCAUGGAGAACUUUGUAUUGAAGAUCCAAGAGAGAGAAGAAGCCAUCUAGCUACUAACUACGGACCCGUAGGUCUGAAGUGAACUACUCACGAGUUAUUGGAGGGGCGAUGAUGAUGAUGAAGAAGCCCUCCAACUCCAAAGUCCCCUCCGGCAGGGCGCCGGGAAGGGUCUCCAGAUGAGAUCUUGCGGAAACGGAAGCUUGUGGCGGCAGAAAAGUAUUUUCGAGGCUCCUCUUGUUUUUUGCUGAAUUUUUGGGAAUAUAUAGGCCAAGGAUCUAGGUCAGGGGGCGGCCAGGGAGGCCACAAGCCCUGACACCGCCGCCUCCCCCUGGUGGUGGAGUGGGAGCUUGUGGGAUCCCUGGAGCCCACCUAGCUUGGCCCAGAGGCCCCCUGAUCUUCUUCCGUUCGGGAAAAAAUUAUUUCGGGGUUUUUAUUCCCUUUGGACUCCGUUCCAGAAUCAGAUCUGAAAAGAGUCAAAAACACAGAAAAAACAGGAACUGGCACUUGGCACUGAAUUAAUAAGUUAGUCCCAAAAAAGAUAUAAAAGGUACAUAAAACAUCCAAAUAUGACAAGAUAACAGCGUGAAACCAUCAAAAAUUAUAGAUACCUUUGAGACGUAUCACCGGCAGGCCCCUUGGCGAGUCGGGCCCCACCCCCUUUUUCCCUCACUAGUGCACACUCCUGGCUGGACUAUAAAGCCAAACCCCAGCCCCUCGAGAGAGGGGCUGGCGAAUGCUCGAUCCACAACCCCCCCCCCCCACUAUAGCAUGCCAGGGAGGCAGUGAGAGCUCCGUACUCCUCCCUCACGAACAACUCGAGGAGCACCACUGUAUUGUUAUCACAUAUAGUCACACCAACAGGACUAGGGNCCCCAUAUAGCAUGCCAGGGAGGCAGUGAGAGCUCCGUAUCCUCCCUCACGAACAACUCGAGGAGCACCACUGUAUUGUUAUCACAUAUAGUCACACCAACAGGACUAGGGGUUUUACCUCACCGAAGGGCCCUGAACCUCGGUAGAUCGACAUCAUGUGUCUCGCUCCUACACCUGUUCCCAGAUAAAGGGAGCACGACAAGGAGGAAGAGGGAGGGAGGUAGGGGGAGGUAGUGGGAGAGAGAGGGAGAGGGAGAGGGAGGAAGGGGAGAGAGAGAGGGUGUAUGGAUGGAUGGAUGGAGGGAGGGGAGGGGGAGAGAGAGAGGGAGGGAGACAAAAGAAGGACCUACAUAUGAUGUUCAUUGACUUGGAGAAGGCCUACGAUAAUAUACCACGGAAUGUCAUGUUGUGGGCCUUGCAGAGGCACAAAGUUCGAGCAAAGUACAUUACCCUCAUAAAGUACAUGUACGAUAAUGUUGUGAUAAGUGUUCGAACAAGUGAUAGCGACACUCAUGACUUCCCGAUUAAAAUAGGACUACAACAACGGUCAGCUUUGAGCCCUUUUCUUUUUUGCCUUGGUGAUGGAUGAGAUCACAAGGGAUAUACAAGGGGAUAUCCAUGAUGUAUGCUCUUUGUGGAUGAUGUGCUGCUAGUCGAUGAUAGUCGGACGGGGGUCAGUAGGAACUUAGAGCUACGGAGACAAACCUUGGAAUCGGAAGGGUUUAGAUUUAGUAGAACUAAAAUCGAGUACGUGAGGUCAUGUUUUAGUACUACUAGGCGCGAGGAGGAGGAUGACGUUAGUCUUGAUGGGCAUGUUAUGCUGCAGCACGACACCUUUUGAUACUUAGGGUCAAUGCUACAAAAAAAUGGGGAUAUAAAAAAAGAUGUGAACCAUCGAAUCAAAGCCAGAUGGAUGAAGUGGCACCAAGCUUCUUACAUUUUUUAUGACAAGAGAGUGACACAAAAACUAAAAUGCAUGUUCUAUAGGACGACAAUUUGGCCCACAAUGUUGUAUGGAGCUAAGUGUUGGCCGACUAAAAGACGACACAUGCAAUAGUUAGGUGUGGCGGAGAUGCGCAUGUUGAGAUGGAUGUGUCGCCAUACAAGAAAGGACCGAUUCUGGAAUGAUGAUAUGCGAUAUAGAGUUGCGGUAGCACUAAUUGAAGAGAAGCUUGUCCAACCUCGUCUCAGAUGGUUUGGACAUAUUCAGGACAUGCCACCAUAAAAUCCACUGCAUUGAAGAUGGCUAAAGUGUGCUGAUACUGUCAAAAGAGGCUGUGGUAGACUGAACUUGACAUGGGAGGAGUCCGUAAAAAGAAAACUGAAGGACUUGAGUAUCACCAAAGAACUAGCCAUGGACCCGGGUGCGUGGAAGGCUGCUAUCCAUGUGCCAAAACCAUGAGUUGGCCGCGAUAUCUGAUGGGUCACCUCUAGCCUACCCUAACUUGUUUGAGACUAAAUAAUUUGUUGUUGUUGUUAUUGUUGUUGUUGUUGUUGGUGGUGGUGGUGGUGGUGGCGGUGUUGUUGUUGUUGUUGCUACUGCUACUGCUGCUGCUGUUGUUGCCGCUGCUGCUGUUGAUGUUGUUGUUGCUGUUGUUGUUGAUGAUGAUGAUGAUGUUGUUGUUGUUGUUGUUGUUGUUGUUGUUCUUGUUGUUGUUCUUGUUGCAAAGAGGACGAGGAAGCACACACCAUCUAUCCAUCGACGUGCAGAAGGCCCAAGUCUAGCCAAACAAAAGACAACAAAAAAUAACUAAUAACCAACACAUGUCCACUCAGCUAGCCCCAAGCCCAUAGACAACCAUCGUUUGACCCAGAGGAACAAGAACAAUUUUAGACGUGACCUGCCAACAAAAACACGCUGCAACAACCAAAGUUGAUGUCACGUGGAUGAGACCAAUAUUUUAUCUAGGUGAGUUCUAGAUAGCCCCUUCUUCUUAAUGAAAUCCAAUUAUCUAAAAUGGACGUAUGCUUCAGCUUUUCCUUAGGAAUGGUUUCCCUUGCCCCUUCCGACAACAAUAAGGCUUUGAAGAGCCCUCUUUUCCAAACCAUGUAUGUUCUCCAAAAAUCCUUAUACGCCCUAAACACGCUCCACACGUGUCUAAUUCACUAAGAUUGCCUCGUUUAUAUCUAGCAUUGAUUCAUCUCUCUUUGUCUUUCAUUCUCUCACAACCAUGGGAAAUCAAAUUCGCCCCUCCCACACAACCAUAGCCUAUAUUCUUCCCUAUGUUGAUGAUAUAGUACUCACACCUUAUCCACCAUUUAUUCACUAAAUCAGUUCUACACUCAACUUUGAAUUAUUUAUGACCGCUCUUGGGCCCCUUAGUUGCUAUCUUAGCACUUCCAUUUCUCGCUCUACCGACAGUCUUCAUCUCUUUCAAUGUCAAUAUGCCCUAGAGCUCAUCUAGAGCAGCAAUUUGGGCGGCUAUAACCUCGCCACCAUCCCCAUUGAAUCAGGCUCCAAAAACUCCAUAUGCGAAGGCGGUCCACUCAAGAACCCUACUAACCACCGUACUCUCAUCGGUGCUAUUCUAUACCCCAAUCUCUACCUCUCAUGACUUUACGUACGCUAUUCGACACACAUGCUUGUUCAUGCAUGCUCUCCGCACUUACAAACUCAAUCUCGUUAAACGGAUCCUUUGUUACGUCAAAGGUACACUCAACUUUAGCCCUCUAAUUUCUCCCUCGUCACACCUCUAUUACGGCCUAUUAGGAUGUUGCUUGGUCGGUCCUCGACACUCGCCAUUCAAUGAACGACUUCCUUGUUUAACCUGGUGACAAUCUUAUUUCAUGAUCGUCAAAAUGUACACUAAACGUGUCAGGUCUAGUGCAGAAGCGGAGUACUGUGUUGUCGCCUUGUUGUGGCUGAGACAUGCUCGACCGAGCAGAUUCUACAUGAACUUCACAGGCCGCUAGACAAAUCUUAAGUUAUUUAUUGCCACAAUAUUUUUGCAAUUUACGUACAUUGGUGCCAACCCAGUGCAACACCACUGCACCAAACACAUUGAGAUCGACAUGCACUUUGUUUCCGACAAAGUUUAAGUUGGCGACAUCCAUGUUCUUCAUGUUCCAACAUAUAUACAGUUCGCACAUUUUCACCAAGGGCAUCUCUUUCCCUGUGUCCUUGGACUUCCUCAGCAGUCACAAUCCUUUUUAUAGCAAAGAACAGGUGUGAAAGUUCUCUUAUAUAUAAAAACGCUCCCAAGGACACCUGUGAAUUUAUGUCUAAUCAUGUUCAUCAUAUUAAGUUGAUCCGCGUUCACUACUUUGAUGAUUUGAUAUGUGGGUGGACUGGUUCUAAGGUGUUCUUCUUAUUUGAACUAACAACCUACUUAUGAUUACCCCCUCUCGCAAGAAUCGACAACUAUGAAAGAAGAAUUAAGAAUAAUCUAACCAUAGCAUGAAAAUGUGGAUCCAAAUCAGCCCCUUAUGAAGCAACGCAUAAACUUGCGUUUAAGCUUCUGUCACUCUCGCAACCCAUCAUCUAUUUGUUACUCUACAUUGACUUCCGUCAGGACCAUAACAUGCUGAAGUGUCAUGUAGUCGACGUUCACAUGACACCACUAAGAGAAGUAACAACAUCCAUAUCAGAAAAAUAUCGAACAGAUACCAAAUUUACAUGAUUACUUAUAAGAAGACUUCUCCCAUGUCCUCAGGAACAAUAAUUACUACUCACACAUCAUAAACAUGUUCAAGAUCAUAGGUGUAAUAAUAAUAACUAAGGAUCUGAACAUAAUACCUUUCACGAAGUAAUCCAACAAGCAUCAACUACAAGAUGUAAUCAACACAACUAGUAACCCACAGGUACCAAUCUAAGGUUUUGAGACAAAGAUUGAAUACCCAUGGUGAACUAGGGUUGGAUAUGAGAUGGUGCUGGUGAAGAUGUUGAUGCAGAUUGGUCCUCCCACGAAGGGGGAAGCGUUGGUGAUGACGGUGGCUUCGAUUUCCCCCUCCCAGAGGGUAAUUUACCCGGCACAAUCUCUCUGUCGGAGAGCAAAAGGGCCUCUACCCAGGUUUCCGCCUCGACAUGGCGGCGCUUCGUCCCAAAAGAUAACUUAUGAUUUUUUUCUAGGGUCAAACACACCAUAUAGGAGAAGAUGGUCGCGAGAUGGUCAGUUGGGGCCCCACAAGACAUCUGGGCGUGGCUAGGGGGCGCCCUGUUGGCCCUUCUCCGAUAUAUUUUAGGCCCAGAAAUUCACAAAUAUUUCAGAAAAAAUCUCCGUAAAGUUUCAGGUCAUUUGGAGCAAGUUGAUUUUUUUGCCUUUUUCACGGUUUCCCGGUCCACAAUUCCAGCUUCAAGAUAUUUCCCUCUCAGUGAUGUACCUUGUAUAUUAAGAGAGAAAAGGCAUAAUAAUUAUGUGAUAAUAAUGAAUAAUGGACAGGAUCAAUACAAAUAUCAAUAGUAACUCAUGAUGCAAAAUGAGCGUAUCACCCGGCCCUGCCCACACGUCACCGAUGGCGGCGGGUCGUUCCUUUCACGCACGCGUAGGGGGAACGGGGGACCCCUGAUGGUGGCGGUGUUGCUCGGCUGGCGGCGGGGUUCCCGCCGGCCUCGAGCGCCCUUGAUGUGGCGGCGUGGUCACUAGCUACGGAGCGGCGUGGUGUGCUGCUGGUUGGCGACACUCGCUCGACCAAGAUCUGGGCCCUUUAGGGCCCCAUCAGGGUUUUGGUGGGCCGAUGGUUCGGGGCGCGGCUGCAUUGCUCCUUGGUGAUGGAGGUGCGGCGUGACUGGCUGUGGGUGGUGACGGCUCCGGUGGCCGACGUGCUGCAGCGCGGCAGCAGGGAAUGUACGGACCCUUUGGGGUCCGGUCGGGCCUGACCCUUUGGGGUCCGGUCGGGCCUGUGGAGUCCUCGUAGGUCCCUGUCAUUGCGUCCGGUCGUCUCCACGCGGCGGUAGAGGUUGUUCUCUCAUGUUGAUUGCGUUAUGGUUGCCCCCAAGCCCAUUGUCGCAUCGUCCUCCCUCCAGGUCUCGUGUUGGUGGCCUCAGUGAGACGGCGAAGUUGGUUCGAUAACUAUGGUGGCACAGGAUGGUGGGUGGCAUGUUGGGCGGGGCACUUCCGAUCGUCUCGGGUGGUGGUGGUUGUUUCGGGGCAGGAGAAAUCCCUGGCAGCUUGUCUGUCGCCGACGCAGCUACGCACGUGGUGUCGCCAGAUCUUCCCGAGGGGCGUUGGUGAUACCACUUCUCCACUACCAUCCGCGUACCAGGGGAAACCCUAGGAAUUGUCCGGGCAGCAGCAGUAUCGUUCUCGCAUUCCUUCGUAAAGGUGUUGUUUGGUACGCGAGGCUUCGAAGUGUUAGGGGUGUGGUGGUACUUCUCUAGAGGUGGAGCGGUUGUCGGCCACCUUCACUUCGUUGAUUUGUCCACAUCGGCAUUUGUUUCUCUUUGUUUCUCUUGUUUUUUCUUUCGUUUUUGUUUAUGAUGCGGCCCUGCAAGAUGGUUGUAUGAGAUGAUUGCUUUAUGAUAUAAAACGGGGAAAAAAUCUUUUGUCGUCAAAUGGUGGCGCGGCUGGGGUUUCCAGGAAAAACAAAUUGCACACAACGUUUGCGUUUCCACACAAAUUGCACAACUCGCUAGCUUGAGUACGAGCGGCCCUGUCCAAAGACUCCGACCCGUGCUUACUUGGCAUUUGAUCUAAUUUCUGCAACUCUUCCCUGAGCCGGAGUAUUAAAUCACCGGCUCAUCUUAAUUGUUUGAAUUAACUAAUCUUAAUUAGUUCAUGACAUUCCAACCGAUUCGAUUGGCCCUUGGAGACAUCAAACAAAGUACUAUAGCAAGACGGAGAUGCAGGAACAUAGUCAUGCAAAAGAAAACAAAUCAAAAAUACAUAUACUCCUGUUGUUCAACCAUAAUCAUAUAUACUUUCCGCUAGAUGUAGAAACUAAACGAGAAAAGAUUGCUGGUAAACCUGCGAGGCAUUCAUCUUGGUUACUUUUGUGACCUAAUUCUGACCCGUGAGUAGUAUCCAAAUACGGCAGGGUCCAGAGUCCUAGCAUGCCCAAUGAUUGGAGCCCAUUUCUUAUGAGUGCAUCACUAACUGGAUGCGGUUAGGGGUCGGCAUCGCUGACAGCACAUACAUAUUGUAUGAAAGGACUACCAAAUCAAUUACUUACAUGAUUUAGUCGCUUUCAUGUUGUAGUAGUAGUAUAUGUUAGACAUAAACAUAUUAUGCACUUUGGCAGGCAGUAUAAUACAUGGAUUGGCUUAGACUUAGCCUUGAUUGUGUCUCAAGUUGAUAUCAUGCCCAUGAAUUGCGGUCGGUGUCGGGUCCCCUCCUGCAUACAGCAUCAGCUAAUUAAGUUUCUAUAUGCUCUUAUGGAAACUUGGUUUCUCUUUCGCAAACAACUAAAUGCAUAUUUUAGCAAAUGCCAUGUUCAGCACUGGGUACAGACAAUGGAUUCAUAUGGGCUAAUUUGCAGACUGAUAUGUGCAAUGGGUGCAGACAGUGAAUGCAUUAUUAUGGGCUAAUUUGCAGUCGAUUUCAUGUCACGUGUAACUGGGUACGGGAUUCCUAACUGAUCGCGGUCAGUUAAUGCUGCUACGAACCUGAAAAUGAUCUAUUAUAGCCUAAUACAAAAAGCUAAAAAUGUUUCUGAAAAGUUAUUCAAUCUUAGUCUCCUUAUCCUACGAAGCAAAGGAUUAUACAGCUCAUGACGCCGAUCGAUCAACAUACAUGAGCCCCUAGUUAGGCGUAGUUCAUCUCGUAGCGCUAUUAAAGGCGUCUACCCAUCCGUCUUUUCGGUGCAUCUCCAAUAGCAGGUGCCAUCAAUUAAGCCAGUGGAGUAUAUUGCUCUGAAUUUUGUGGAUCCUCACGCCGACCGCCGGUUAGCUGCCUACCUUUUCGACCAAGACAGCAGGAGCACUCUGUUUCACGUAAUGAAAUGAUAUAUCUACCAAAGCAUGUUUUUGUAGAAGCGCAAACGAAAUAUGUUGUGCAGCGGAAAGGCUGUUAUUCAAUGUUUCUAAUGUGAGUCAAACCAGAUGCAUCAUGCAUAUAACAAAUUUCCUUUUGAAACGAGGCAAAAUACUUGCAACUUUUAUUAAUUAUAAAAAGAAUGAUAAUUCUCUCGUUAAUUAGGCAUCUCCCAAUGCUCCAUCUUAGAUGUUACAAGGUAAUUAAGAGAAGAGAGAUGAGUGUGACAACCCCAAAAAGAAACAAUGUCAAGAGCAUAAACCUAGGCAAAACACUUAAAUAAAAAAAUCCAUGAAUGCAUGAAUAACUUCAGUUGCUAAAUUAAUAAAUGAAGGAUGCUUAACAACAACAAGUUAAACACCUACGCAUUAAGGGUUUUAGUUGCUAAGUCUUUUACUAUGCUUAGCACCUUAUGUUGACACCGAUGCAUUGGAAGUAGCCUUUAGAAAGUCAGCCUAUAGCCAAGUAUUUAAUAAAUUUAUUUUUCACGAUAGAUAUGGUAAUGACCUAUUCAUUCUUAAGUUUAUGGUUACGACAACUCUCAAUGUAGUUUCCCUAGCUAGGAUUCAGUGUCACCUUGACCACGCUUACUCCAUGCCCCGUUUUGACAUCGUAGUCAAUUACGGUAAUUCUGCAGUUUAACUAAACUUUUACAUACUUUUGCUAUUUGUUCAAUAGUGAUAUUCGCCUACAUAGGAAAUUCUAAGACUAGAUAGUAUUUUAUUUAUUUUUGCAAAAAUAGUUUAUAACUAUUAUAAAAGUUCAUCUAGAAGUCCGAGUAAGUCCCUUUGGUCCAUAGGAUCGGAAUAUCAUAGGAAUAGAAAAAUUAUAGGAAGUGAGAUGAUAGAGAGACGUGUCUUUUGAAGCAGAGGAUAUCAAUUUUUUCAUUGAAUCUAAGCUAAUAUUUUUGUUCCAUUGAAAUGUGACGGAUUGAUUCCUAUCCUACAAAGGAAUAUGUAUUCAUUCCUACAAACCAAAAGGCUUCAUUUUUUUUUCCUUUGAAGAUCCUAGCCGAUAGAAUUCCUAGAAACAAAGGAGGCUUUAAUUGCCAAAAUAACCACAAUUGCGCAGUUUUUUAUUACAAAAUCUUUGUUUUCUAAGAGUUUCUAAAAGACACGUCAUUCCUGAGUAAUUAGAUUGCUAAGAAGACUAAAAGACGUUUAACCAUGUAUUUGAUGCAAAAACUGGCUGUUGAAAAACAUAGUAGAAAACAAAAAACAAAUACACUAUGAUAAAGAUUCCGGAUCACUAUGAAGCCGCGUACAGAGAUUAGGCUGACUCGUUACUUACUUUGAAUACAACAAAAGAAGGGCCGAUGUAGAUCAUUGAUUAAGUCUCUCGAACCGUUCAUGAACCAUCUCUCAAACCGAAGAUAAUGCGCAAUAACUAAUUUAUUUUGCCUUAGUUGUGUAUGUUGAACAAAAAUAAUAAUCUCGAGAAAAAUUUAUGAAGUAUGAUUUCUAUCUUUUCAUACAAGUAUUCAAAACAAUAUUUUCUUGGGGAAGGGGGUAUUUUAAACAAUAUUAGGGGUCAAAGUUACAACUUUUGACUUAAGACAUGACUAAAACAUCAACCCUUUUUUGCAGAGUGGAGUACACCAUAAUAUAUGCAGCUCCACAACCACUAGCGGUGGCUCGAUGAUAAUAAACACUUACAUUCUUCGAAUGCGCAUGAAAUUUGAAAUGCCAAUUAAUAGUCAAUAUUCAUCUUUAGAAUAAUUAAUUAAUUGUGUGUUUAGAGUGCAAGAUGGUGUCAGACAUUCAUGCCACCACACCAUUCACGUACACAUGUGCUUGUUCAGAAUAAUUAUUACAAUCUGAACUUUUCACAAUUGAGACAAUUAAGUUCUUCCGUCGCAAAGAGCUCAUUGUUUUCCUAAAAUCAAAGUAUGCAUUGUAACAAUAUAUGCAUAUGCGUGAGAGGGUUCCUCUUCCGCUCCCAUUCUCCUCCGGCCGGGUCUAUGGGCCCACGGGUCUGAUAUGCUCCUACUAUUGUAUUUGGUCGGUUACCGUCAUUGACGAUGAAGGUUGUGCCCUCCCACGUGUUGAUGGUGCAGCUGCCCUAGUCCCAGCUCCUUUUUGUCGCUGUGAAAGCCUCACUUCACGGUGUCGUGGUGAGACGGCGUGGAGGCUUCAAGACCGCUUGGCGUAGGAUGGUGGUCGGUUUGGUGGCAGGCUCCGACACAUCCGAGGUGAACGUUGGGAUUGGGGGAAACCCCUGUUGGCCUGGCCGACACCGAUGCGGUGGCGUUUGUGGGUGCCGCCACACCUUCCUAGCGGGCGUCGGGGGCUACCCUUCUUCUUACCUCGUCGUGUAUCAGGGGAAACCCUUGGCAGCAGCGUCGUCAUCGUCGCGGUCCUUCUUGGAGGUGUUGAUUGGUACUGACGCUUCAGAGCCUUGGAGCUUGGUGAGAGAUCUUUGGUGGGCGCAGUGGUCGUGAAGCUUCUUCAUUUCUGUCGAUCUGCCAUUGUCGGCACAAUUUCUUUUGUUUUUUCUCUUUCUUUUCUUUUGGAUGUGGUUGUGCUGCUUCCACCCCAGCACCUAUCGUUGGUUGUAUCGGUUGUUUGCUUUGUAAUACAAAAUGGGGGGAAACACAUUUUUGGCAACAAUAUAUGCGUGUACCCCACCACAUAUCUCAUACUAAUCUAAGGGAUUACUUUCCAGCUAGGUAUAUAUGACUUGGGGCGACCCGGGGAACCCUAAGCCGCCACCGCCAGGGGGAAACUCACGUUUUCUCCAGCCGCCACUUCCGCUGGCCAUCGCCGUGGUGGCGGCGGCCCCCUUCCCAUGGAAGGUGUUAGGGGGAGAGGCUCUCUGGGUGCGGAUUCUUCUGGGUGAGAACCUAGAUUAUAGCCUUGCUUGGUUGGAUCUGGUGAGAGCAGUGCUUUAGUGUCGCUCUUUUUUGAAGGCGUUAUUGUUGAAGAACCUCGUCGUUCGUGUGUGUCAUGAGACGUUGGUGCAGAUAUGAUCAUUGACGUAGUUUGUCGUUGGCACAUCUUAUCGCUUUGGAUAAAUUUUCUCGUAUAUGCAUAGCUUUGGUCUUAUAUGACUUAGCUAUUGCCAACGUGUUUCUGUGUGCGUGUGUACACCCUAGCUAUGCAAAGAUCGGAUGUGUUCUAUCCUCUUGAUGCUUCAUUUUGAGUCAAUAAAUCCACCCUUUAUCGAAAAACAUAUCUCAUACUACCAUGUAUAUUCCUAUGGAUCGCAUAGUUUGCUUACGGGUUAAGGUCUUACAAUUAAUACCCAAGCCAAACAUCCAAGGCACCUAAUUAUGCAAAGAAGGCACCUAAUUAUGCAAAGAAAAACGAAUUUCCUUGGAAACAAAGAUAACUAAAAUCCACACAUGAUCCAUCCUAAUAUUUUCCCUACUAAAUAGUCCAUGACGCCUUCAUGAUGCGUCACCUAGCGGUCAGUCCAUUUGGAUGGUUGAAUCUCCCGGUACAAAAGACACAAAAAUGUUCUAAUUCAAGCACGACACUACCAAAUUCUCAAAGCCGUACUUUUAGUAAUAAGCCAUAGAAAACAUAGUUGUGGUUGGUCUAGCCAACAUGCCACAAAAAUCAUCGGCAUAAAUGUUGACGCUAAUGUACGUUGGCAUAAUUAGCAACCUCUACAGAAUUAUGAAAUGUUCAACUGUCGGCUAAGACUUGGACUCAUGCUUCAUGUUGAGAUGUUCUCUAGCUCUCUAGAAGUACGACUUUUGCACUCUGGCGAGAGAUGGUGUAGUAUCCCGCGGCGUUUCUUCUUCGAGAAGCAGUGACUGUCUCAUCCAGGUUUCUUUGAGAGGGUCUGCCACAUCUGGGGCGAGGCUCAGGCGCAGCAACCCCACCGCUGCGGCCCCUUGUGUGAUAGCCUGGAUGAGUAGCAGCACUUAGACGCGCACGACAUCAUCUGUGUUGAUGGGGGGCAAACAUUGGGAGUGAGAUGGUUCGUCGCAAGGAGCGCCUUCUCGAGGAAAUUAAGGGCCUAGACGUGAGGGCUGAUUCCAUAGGGCUCUCUAGCGACGAGCGGGCUUGAAGAUACGCGAUUGAGGAAGAGAUGAUCUUCGUGUUAUCAUGUGAGGAGAUGUAUUGGCAGCAACGCGACCAGCAAAAGUGGGUCCUGAAAGGUGAUGUGAGCACGGAAUUCUUCCAUGCAGUCGCUAAUGGUCGUAGACGGAGAUGUAUGAUCCGGCUUUUGAGAGAGGAGAACACCACAUUUACUUCUGAGAGGGAACUUCAGACGCAUAUUGAUGAUUUCUAUAGAGAUCUUUUUGGUUCGGUGUCAGGUGGGGCGGCAACUUUAGGGCCUGAUAUGUGGGGCUCGAUCGGCAGGGUCUCCGAGGCAGAUAACCUCGUUCUUAUCCGCCCUUUUAAUCUUGAAGAGGUGACGUUAAAUCCGAAUGACAUGAGGACCAAUACGGCACCUGGCCCGGAUGGUUUUCCUGUGACCUUCUACAAGAAUUUCUGGAAUGUGAUUGGCCCCCAAUUUUAUAACCUAGUUCAUGAAUUUACGUUGGGGCGUAUAGACAUUAAGCGUCUCAACUAUGGGGUUGUGGCGUUGUUACCUAAAAUCCAAGGGGCAGAUAACAUCCGGCAAUUCAGACCCAUCACGUUAAUUAAUGUGAGUUUUAGGUUGUUGGCCAAGGGGUUCGCUUCCCGUCUUUCGCUGGUGGCUCAUAAAAUUAUCGACCCAAACCAAACGGCCUUCAUCCAGGGAGAAGCAUUCUUGAUGGGAUUGCGGUCCUUCGUGAGGUGCUUCAUAAUAUUAAGGUGACAAAAGAAGAGGUGUUCAUUCUCAAAAUUGACUUCGAAAAAGCGUAUGAUCGAAUGCGAUGGGAGUUUCUUGAGGAAGACCUUAGGGCUAAGGGUUUUGACUCGACGUGGGUUAGUUGGAUGCGCUAAUUGGUUCAAGGGGGUCAGAUGGCCAUAAACGUCAACGGCGAGGUGGGCGCGUUUUUCCGAAAUAAAAGAGGGGUGAUACAAGGGGAUCCGGCAUCCCCUCUAUUGUUCAAUAUUCUGGCCGAUACGCUUGUCGCGAUCCUGGAUCAUGCCAAGACUGCAUGACAUAUUUCGGGAGUCGUGACAUGCAUCAUUCUUGGAGGUAUCACUCACCUGCAAUACGCCGAUGACACGCUCAUCUUCAUUAGGAACUCUCUGAGGGAGAUCACGAAUCUUAAAUUUCUACUUAUGUGUUUCGAGGAGCUGUCCGGGCUCAAAAUUAACUUCGCCAAGAGCGAAGCGAUUGUCACUGGAGGAGAUUUAGAAUCUCAGCUGAGAGCUGCCCAUAUGAUGAAUUGUGAGUUGGGGUCCAUUCCGAUAAAGUAUCUUGGCAUGCCAGUUUCUUCGCGGGCCGUCACUAUGGAAGACUUGCAACCUAUGGUGGAAAAGGUUGAGGCCAGGGUGGAACCUUGGCAGGGAAAAUUGUUGGCCUCGGGCGGCCGCUUGGUUCUUGAAAGUGCAUUCAUGCCCUUAAUCGAGUUUUGGUGUUAAUGACAACACAUACAUAGGAAACUAAUCUUAUUUGUUGAGUGUAUCUCAGGAUGGCAAGUACUCUUAGUAGAUUAAGAAUUAUGUGCCAAGGUGGUCUGAGAAGAUCGGGACUUUUAUGUCAAGAAGGCUCGGGAUUGAGAAAAGAUGAUGUAACCUAUCCUUUAAAUUUACUAUUCUUGAGUAUAGGGAUCCCACACUAUUAAGAGGGGAUCACAGGUUUUGCGAUGAACUUGCUCAUACUACAUCUCUACUUUUCUGCUCAUACCACAUCUCCACUGCUCUGCUUUUAUCUCAAAACAGAACCAAUGCCUCGGACAUCCGGCUUCCUCCGGACGUCCGAGGGCCGGACACCCGACCACUUCGGAAAUCCGGAACCCUACACCAGAGAAAUUCAGAGCCAUAUAACUCGGACUUUCGGCUCCCUCCGGACGUCCGAGGGCCGGACGUCCGACCUCCUUCGGAAAUCCGGAACCCUGCACCAGAGAGAUUUGAGUCAAAUAACUCGGACUUCCGGCCUCCUCCUGUUGUCCGAGGGCCAGACGUCCGACCUCCUUCGGAAAUCCAGAACCUUGCACCAGAGAAACUUGAGUCGAAUAACUCGGACUUCCGGCUUCCUCCGGACGUCGGGUCCAUGUUCAACUACACAGUGGUUCCAGAUAUAUAUACAUCCUUCGGACGACCGACCUCUGUCGGACGUCCGACUCCUUGCGGACGUCCGGACAUCCAAGAACUGCCGGAUGUCCGACCACUGUCAGACUUAAGUGACCCCAACGGUUGUUUUACUCUCCCCACUAUAUAUACGCCCCCUCCCACUUCGUGAGAGGGUGUUCAACACAGCUAGAACACUUACAAGAGCACCUUUCUCCUCACUCACUCUUGCCUACACCCAAUCUUAGAUCCCAAGAGCAUUUGUGAGCCCCUUUGAGUGUUGUUCCAAUCAAAAGAUAGAUCGUCUCCUUCUCCUCCUCUCCACCAAAGUGAUUUGUGAUUUGAGCAAGUUUUGAGCAAUCCCCGUGAUCUUGUUACUCUUGGAGGUUGGAGACUCCUAGGCGGUAGGAGUCCUCGGAGAGGAAUCAAACCAUUGUGAUUACCCCCGGAAAGUUUGUGAAGGUUUGGAAGCCACCUCAAGGCUUACCACUAGUGGUUGAGAAACGCCUUCGUGGAGUUGUCUCAAAGGGAGAAUAGGGUGAGCCUUCGUGGCAUUAGUGUGCCUUCGUGGUAACAUCCGCCCCUCUAACGGUGACGUAGCUCCCCUUCAAGGAAGUGAACACCGGGAUACAUCCUCGUCUCUCUUGGAGUUUCGGUUAUCCCUAACCCUAACUCUCUACUUGUGUUAAUCCUUAUUACAUACUUGCAUUUGAUUAUUGUUUAACCGGUUGCCUUACUUCACUCUAAAUAGCUUACUCCUUGUCAUUGCAAUUAUUAGGCUCACGCUCAUAUUCCGCACCUUUGCCUAAAAUUGCUAAGUAACUAUUAAAAUUUGGAACUGUGCCCAUUCACCCCCUCCCUCUAGGUCCAUCUCGAUCCUUUUCAAUUGGUAUCAGAGCCUCGUGCUCUAUUCUUGUGGCUUAACCGCCCUAGAGCGAGAUGGACGGGACUCCCAUUACUGUAGCUCUAGUGGAGAGGGACGGGACUUCCACGGAAGUCAGGUCCUUCACCUCUGAGGACCUGGAACGGGCCCUUGCCAAGCAAAAAGAGGAGCAUGAUGCUUCUCUUGAGGCCUUGGUCCAAAUAAGACUGGCAUCAUUAACCACGGGGACAACCACGUCCCCGAGGGCCUCACGGCAAAAUGUGCACGGUUCUUCAUUUGGCCAACAACCUCCAGGCAAUAACCAAACCAGUGUUCCAUGGCUUUAUGCUAGAUCUCAAGUUGAGAAACCUAAGUACAAUCCUGGAGGAAAACCUCCUUUGCUUGAUGACAAUUCCGAUUUUGCUUUGUGGAGAGUUGGUAUGCAGGAUCAUCUUAGGUACGCCAAUGGUGAGAUGUUGGACAUCCUCGAGCAUGGCUACAAUCCUGCAGAUCCAAGGUGCCUCACUCCCAGAGAAACUUAUGACAAGCAUCUCAACGACACUCGAUCAUGUGCAUAAGAAAAGGAAUGAAUGACAAGCAACGGAGACCUUACAUACACAUCACAAGCGCCAAGGAACUGUGGGAUAGCAUUAUAAGGACCAAGACUGGUACCUCCACUCUUUGGCUUGCUCAAUAUGAAAUUGCCAAGGGGCAAUUGCAGAAUUUUUGUAUGGAAAAGGGUGAAUCUCCCAAGCAACUGCUAGAACGGCUCAUGACUCUCGCCGUAGACAUUGAGUCAUGUGACUGUGACAAGACGCAAGAUGGUUUCAACCUGACCAAGAGAUUUCUCGUGGACAAGUUACUUCAUGCUCUUGCUCCGUACCACCAUCAAAUGGUAUGGGACAUGAGGCAGCACCAUGGGUUCAAAGAAAUGACUCCAGAUGACAUCAUAUCCACUUUCCAAUUAUUUGAAGAGUCAAAGGCAAAUGCAACAAAGCACCUUGCCAUGCAUGGCACUUCAACAUCAAAGAUCAAUCUUGCUUUGAAAGCCAAGCAUGAAUGUGACGAAGAAGAAAGUGAAGAAGAAGAAGAGGGUGAUGAUGACUGCGAAGAUGGUGAUGAUGUUGACUCUAAUGAAAGCCCAUCUUAUGAGGACAUUGCUCUCUUUGUAAAGAAGUUCAGUGCAGGAAAAUUCAAGGGAAGAUUCCCAAAGAAGAAAGUAAGGAAAUGCUAUAACUGUGAGGAAACCAACCACUUCUCCAAUGACUGCCCUUAUGAGAAGAGAGAAGAUAAACCAAGGUUUCCGAAGACCUUUGUAAAGAAGAAAUUGCCAAACCCUAUGAACUCCAAGCUCAAGAGAAUAGAUGGAAGAGCAAUGGUUGCACAAGAAGAAUCAGAUCCAGAAGACGUUGGUGGGGUUGCCGGAGUAGCUCAGGAUACACAAAACACCUUGAGGCUAGUCAACAAAAGUGGCGAUGUUGUUCACUACAACUAUAUGAAAGACUACAAGGGCAACGCCCACAAGUGUUUGAUGGCAAAGACUAUCAUAGAAGAUGAGGAAGACCAAAGCUCCCAUGAUAAGGUUAAGGUAACUCCACGGUUAAACUCCUUCAGUCUAGCUUCUACCUCAUCUGAUGAGUACCUUGAUGCAGAAGAUCACUAUGAGGACAAUGACUUAGAUCAUCCUAUGUUUGCCAAAAUAAACAAAUUUAUGUGCUCUCUUAAAGGAAAGAAGCUCACUAUGUUUCGCAUACUUAUGGAAAUGGUGAGUAAGCACACCAAUACCAUCAAGGAACUCGAAACCCUCAUCACUGAGGAGAAGGAAAGAAAUGAAAUCCUUGAGCAGAAAGUCAUGUAUGAGGAAGCACAAAAUGAUGCAUUAUGCUCAAAAGUUGGUGAAAACCUUGAUAAACAUGCUAACGAUCUUGCCUCCUUGAAAAAGGCUGAAUCUGUGUGCAAAGAGUUAUUAAAUGAUAAAAACCGACUUGUGAAUUCUCAUGCUUCUCUUUCUAAGGACUGUGAGCGCCUAUCUGAAAGUGCAGUCAUGCCCUUCAUCGUGUUUUGGUGUUGCUUACAACACACAUAUAUAUAAUUAAUCACUAAACCUUUUUAAGCUAUUGUGAAUGAUCAUGUAUUGAUAAGGACAAGCUCAUGUGCUAACAAGGACAAGAUGAAGAUAAGCAUUCCUGAGCACUACAUGCUUGAUCCUUGUGGAUGUUCACAUGGUGGACAAAUGAAGAUAAAUAUAUAAGCUAGGCUUUCCACAUUGUGUAUGGGAGAGCUACUUGAAGACUUCAUCAUGUCUUGCUUUCAACAUUGAGCCAAGAAGGAACAACAACAUCAAGCUCAAGUGAAAGGGAUAACUCAAGGUAUCAGUUACUUUGAUGUUAGCGGUGCAGAGUGAUGAUCAGCAAAUAAAAGUACACACUCAAGUAUGGAUCAUCGGUAUCCCUUUUACAAUUCUUGAGUCUUUAGGGAUCCCGCACUAUUAAGAGGGGAUCACAGGUUAUGUGAUGAACUUGCUCAAACUAGAUAUCCACUAUUCUGCUCAAUACCACAUAUUCUCUACUCUGCUCCUAUCUCAAAACAGGUCUAAUGUCUUGGAUUUCCGGCUCCCUCCGGACGUCCGAGGGCCGGUCAAGGGUCGGACGACCGACAGGCUUCGGAAAUCCGGAGCCCUGCACCAGAAGAACUUGAGCCCUAUAACUCGGAUUUCCACCUCCCUCCAUACAUCCGAGGGCCGGUCGACCUACCAGCUUCGGAAAUUCGGAGCCCUGCACCAGAAGAACGUGAGCUCUAUAACUCGGAUUUCCGGCUCCCUCCGGGCGUCCGAGGGCCGGACGUCCGACCCCUUCGGAAAUCCGGAACCUUGCACCAGAAGAAGUUGAGUCGAAUAAACUCGCAUUUCUGGCCUUCUCCGGACGUCCGGUCCCUGUUCAACUCAUAGUGUUUCUAGACAUAUCUACAGCUCUCGGACGACCGACCCCUGUCGGACGUCCGACCCCUUGCGGACGCCAGGACUUCCGUUAACUGUCGGACGUUCGAACCCUGUGUGACUUAAGCUGUCCCCAACGGCUGUUUUUACACUCCCCACUAUAUAUACCCCCUCCCACUUCGUGAGAGGGUGUCCAACACAGCCAUAUCCUCAUAAGAACACAUUUCUACCUCACACACAUUUGCUCACACCACAUCUUAUAUCCCAAGAGCAUUUGUUAGCCCCUUUGAGAGUUGUUCCAAUCAAAAGAUAGAUCGUCUCCCUCUCCUUCUAUCAACCCAAGCUAUUUGAGAUUUGAGCAAGUUUUGAGCAUUCCCCAUGAUCUUGUUACUCUUGGAGGUUGGAGACUCCUAGGCGGUAGGAGUUCUUCGGAGAGGAAUCAAUCCGUGUGAUUACCCCCGGAAAAGUUUGUGAGGGUUUGGAAGCCACCUCAAAGGCUUAGCACUAGUGGUUGAGAAAUGCCUUCGUGGUGUUAUCUCAAAGGGAGAAUAGGGUGAGCCUUCGUGGCAUUGGUGUGCCUUCAUGGUAACAUCCACCUCUCUAACGGUGACUAGCUUCCCUCCAAGGAAGUGAACAUCGGGAUACAUCUUCGUCUCAGUGACCUUGGUUAUCCUUAACCCUAACUCCUUACUUGUGGUUUACUUGUGUUACUUGAGCAUACAUACAUUGCAUAUUGGUUGUGCUCACUAUAUUGUGUUGGCUAUUUCUUGUACAAGAUUAAUCACUCAAUCAUACCCUCUAUAUCCACACGUUCACACUUGCAGCUUUUGAUAUAUCGUGUGAUAUAGCGUGAUCUAGUAUAUUGUGUCAUUCACCUACUUGUCGUGUGAUAUAGCUCAAGUAAGUUUGUGUAACUUACUUGUGCUCGUUAGUAACUGUAUUGUGUCCAUCUUGGUAGAUCGUGUUGUUGAUACACGUUGCAGUGCCUAGUGCAUUUAGGAUUUGUGCUUGACAAGUACCCUCUUAGUUUAUUUCCACGUUAGGUUAAGCCAAAUCCAAAUAAGUUUUUAAAUAGCCUAUUCACCCCCCUCUAGGCGUCAUCGAGGUCUUUUCACUAUCCUUGUCUCUCAAGGACAAGGAAGAGAAACUCAUUGUUCUUACAAAGAGCUUUGAGGCACUCAAGGUUACUUAUCAUGACACUCUAGCUAAGGCUUACUCCUCACCUAUUAUGAAUGUUGAUACAUGCUCUGCUAACUCUAGUAGUGAACUGACAUCUAUCCUUGAGGAAAACUGUUCGCUAAAGGAACGGCUAGAUAGAGGUCUCAUGACAUGUGCACAAGGACAAAAGACUCUCAAUGAGAUCUUAAGUCAACACAAUGAAGUCUUUGCCAAGGAAGGGCUUGGGUUCAAUCCAAGCACCGCCAAGAAAAGUGUAUCUCCUCUCAAGUGCACCACCCCGCUUAAAGAAAUAUUUGUACGAGAGGGACACAAGUAGAAAGGUAAGGUUGUGAGUGGGUCGGCCACUAGGGGUGUGCCCACUCUCAACAAGACAACUGAAUUCAUGCCUCCAUCCUAUGUACUUCGCAAAUCAAAGGAAGGAGAGGUUUAUGCUAAAUUCAUUGGUCCCCGUAGUGCAUUCCGGUUUUAUGCUAUUUGGGUCCCUAAGACUCUUGUAACUAAUGUGAGAGGCCCCAUGAUGAAAUGGGCACCUCAAACCAAGUCUUAAUUCGUGUACAGAUUGUUUUCUCCGGAGGAGUCAAAUGGGUGAUCGAUAGUGGAUGCACCAAUCAUAUGACCGGAUAUAGUAACUUGCUCUAUGACUUCAUGCAAGCCAUUCGACCAUACAUGUGCAUUGUAUUUGGUGGAGGGUCGAAAGGGCAGGUAAUUGGGUUGGGCAAGGUGGCAAUCACUAAUGACAUGUCUCUUGCAAAUGUCAUGCUUGUCCAAUCUCUUCAAUAUCAUUUGCUUUCAGUUCGCCAAUUGGCUUCCGUUGGUUAUGACACACUAUUCGGACUAACGGAUGUGAAAAGUCUUUAAGAGAGACACUCUCGAAGUGGCCUUUGUUGGAGAGUUGGAUGGCAACCUUUACACGAUUGAUUUCUCGAAAGAGAGCACUUUCCAUACAACUUUUCUGAUGGCCAAGGCUGACAUGGGAUGGUUGUGGCAUCGCCGGCUUGCCCAUGUCGGCAUGAGAAAUCUUCAAAAUCUCUUAAACGACAAUCACAUCCUUGUACUAACUAAUGUAUCUUUUAAGAAAGAUCGUGUGUGCAGUGCAUGCAUAGCUGGGAAGCAACAUCAAUCAAAACACCCACCCAAGAAUAUUGUAUCCACUUCAAGGCCGUUAGAGCUCCUUCAUGUGGAUCUGUUUGGGCCUCCUUCAUGGGCAAGUCUUGGUGGGAAAACGUAUGGCCUAGUCAUUGUUGAUGAUUACUCAAGGUACACAUGGGUAUUCUUUCUCAAGUCCAAGGACGAGACGAAGAUCACCUUCAUUGAUUUUGCCAAACAAGUCCAGCGGAAGUUUGACAAGGACAUCAAGGCAAUAAGAAGUGAUAAUGGCUCCGAGUUCAAGAAUUACACCCUAGAAGAAUUUCUUAGUGAUGAGGGAAUUGAACAUCAGUACUCCGCACCUUACACCCCUCAGCAAAAUGGUGUAGCAGAGAGGAAGAACCGGACACUUGUGGAAAGGGCAAGGUCCAUGUUAGGCGAAUACAAGUCACCACAUAGUUUUUGGGCUGAGGCUGUCAACACAGCAUGUCAUGCAUCAAACCGGCUCUUCCUUCGAUCAAUAUUGGAAAAGACUCCAUAUGAGCUCCUAACCGGGAACAAGCCCAAUGUCAAGUACUUUCGUGUAUUUGGAUGCAAGUGUUUCAUCCUCAACAAACGGGAACGGUUAGGAAAAUUUCAAUCCAAAACAAUUGAAGGGAUUUUUGUUGGCUAUGGAUCAAACUCUCACGCCUACAUAGUCUACAACAAAACCACUGGAUGUGUUAUAGAAACCUGUGACGUGACGUUUGAUGAAUUUAACCGCUCCCGGGGAGCAAGUUGAUCUAAAUGAUGCAGGUGAAGAAGAUUCCUCGCAAGAUAUCUUGAACAUGGGUGUAGGUGCACUUCUUCCCAUGGAACAAAGACCCCAUGAUGAUGAUGAAGAUGAUGAGAGUAUUUCUCAUCCUCAAGACAGUUCACUGUCCGUACCUCCACAAGAUACUAGCACACAUAUCAUGCCAGUUGUUGAGGAUCAAGUGGGAGAACAUGUCUCUCACCCCGAUCACACUCAAGAACAAGUUGACCUUCAAGAGCUAGACCAAAGUAUGGAUAUGGUUGAUGAUGAACCUCAAAAGGUGCAACGCGAGGAGGAAUAUCUUCCACCGCACGUUAAUGAUCCAUAUGUUGAGGACGUUGAUGAUGGAAACGAAGUUGAACCUCGUGAAACCCUGACCUCCAUCAUGCCACGUGUGGCCGGUCGUGUUGAUAUUGAUCAAAUCCUCACCGGCGUGUAGGAAGGUAGAGUGAGUCGUAAACAAUUAACAAACUUUUGUGCUCACUUUUCGUUUAUCUCUAGUACUGUGCCACACAGGGUUCAGGAUGCAUUGUGUGACAAUGACUGGCUCCUUGCUAGGCAAGAAGAGUUAAACAGUUUUACACGCAACAAAGUAUGGUCAUUGGUAGAACGACCAACUGAGGAACACAAUGUCAUUGGAACUAAAUGGAUCUUCAAGAACAAGGAAGAUGAGAAUGGGACUGUCCUCCGCAACAAGGCAAGGUUAGUAGCACAGGGGUACUCCCAAGUUGAAGGUUUGGAAUUUGGUUUGACUUUCGCACCUGUUGCUCGUCUUGAAUCCAUUCGCUUUCUAUUGGCCUAUGCUGCUUUCAAUGGUUUUACUUUGCAUCAAAUGGAUGUGAAAAGUGCUUUUCUUAAUGGUCCUCUACAAGAAGAGGUAUAUGUAUCACAACCACCUGGGUUUGUUGACCCCCAUCACAAAGACCAUGUGUACAAACUUCACAAGGCUCUGUAUGGCCUCAAACAAGCACCCCGUGCUUGGUACAAUCAUGUUAAGAAGUUCUUACUCGAUGAUGGCUUUGUGGUAGGGGUGAUCGAUCCCACUCUUUUUACUAAGAGGGAAAAUGGUGAUUUGAUCUUAUGCCAAAUCUAUGUAGAUGACAUAAUUUUUGGUUCUCCUAACAUCCAUUUAUGCAAGAAGUUUGCGGCCUCCAUGACCAAGACCUUUGAGAUGUCACUCAACACGGACUUGAAGUUCUUUCUUGGGUUUCAAAUACAACAAUUUUAAGAAGGAAUUUUCUUGUCUCAAACUAAAUACCUCAAGGACAUUCUUGAAAAAAUUGAUAUGACAAAUGCUAAACCAAUGAAGACACCCGGCCACAGAUGUCGUUCUAAAUGAAGACACCAACGGUAUUCCUUUUGACCCAUCUACUUACCGCUCUAUGAUUGGUCCGUUACUUUAUCUUUGCGCAUCUAGACCGGACAUCAUGUUAAGUGUAGGCAUAUGUGCUAGAUUUCAAGCUUCCCCUAGGGAAAGCCAUCAUAUGGCGGUUAAGCAUAUUCUUAGAUACCUUGUUCACACCCCAAAGUUAGGCCUAUGGUACCCUAAGGAUGCAAAGUUCGAUCUUAUUGGGUACUCCGAUGCGGAUUGGGCCGGUGACAAAGUGGGACGGAAAUCCACUUCCGGUGCAUGUCAGUUUCUUGGACGUUCCUUGGUAAGUUGGUCCUCGAAAAAGCAGAAUUGUGUUUCUCUCUCCACGGCCGAGGCCGAAUAUAUUGCAGCCGCAAGCUGUGCAACCCAACUGCUAUGGAUGAGGCAAACCCUAAAGGAUUAUGGCAUCACGUAUCGACACGUGCCUCUUCUCUGUGAUAAUGAAAGUGCCAUAAAGAUCUCCGAGAACACCAUUGAUCACCCUCGCACAAAACAUAUUGAUAUUAGGUAUCAUUUCUUGAGAGACUAUGUGCAAAAGGGUGACAUUGAUAUUGCCCAUGUGGGUACCGACAUGCAGCUCGCUGACAUUUUCACCAAGCCACUUUGCGUAGCAAGAUUCUGUCAACUUAGGCGUGAACUUGGUAUCUUGGAGCUUGAUAACAUAACUUGAAAUCCUGUACACAUGCACACACUCACAUUAUGUUCUUGUCUUGAUGUCAGCAUGCAUUUAGGUGGAGUCACUAGGACUCACGUCAUAAUUUUGUGUUUUAACCCUACAAUAUGCAUAAAUCAAUUGCUUUCCCCAAGUAGUAUAUAUAAUUCUUGUAGGCAACUGUGUUGGGUGUCCCUUGUGAUAAACCAUGUCAAAUCACCUCAUCAUCCAAAUCCCAGAAUUUGCCUCUGCCUACCUCUCUCUCAGUCGUCCGACGAGUCUCGGACGUCCGAUGGCUAAACACACUCCGGACGUCCGGCAGAUGUCGGUCGUCCGACGUCUAAACACAUUCUGGACGUCCGACGCCCGUCGGACGUCCGACACAUCGGGAGCUCUAUAAAUAGAGGGGCGCGGGCUGGGCCUUGCCCUAGCCCCCACGCGCCUCCUUUUCUCCCAGCCGCCGCCGCCAGCGCCACAGGAGCUCGACCGCGCCGCCACCGGGGGCCAUGCCCCGCGAUCUGGCUGAUCUCCUCCGCGGGAUUCGUCCCCCUUUCCUAUCCUCCCGCGAUCUGCAGGCCUUGUUCCAUCAUGCCCAAGAUUAAGCACACUACCCGGAAGAACUCUGCUGGCUCAUCCGCUCGUGCCCCUCUUGGCACGGGGUCGGAUGACUCUGAUGGACCAUGCCGUCCCUUCAAAUGGGUCGCCCGGCGUCCUCCUCCACAGCUCCACUCCUCGUCUGAUGGCUCAGACUUCGAGGAUGAGCUGGCAGCUGAGGAACGUACUGAACACGUUGCCGCUCGGAAGACUAUGCCGAAGCCUGGGACUCGCAUGCCCUCAUAUAUGCCACCGCCUCCUCCUGAACAGCCCGAAGGUGAAGCUCGUCGCAUCUCUCUUGAACCUCCUCCUACUUUAGGUCAUGAAGUCAAGGACUUCACCACGGUUCCUAAGUCUUCCUACUUCACAUUCCGCCGCGAUGUUGACCAAUUUUCUGUUGUACGUGACUCUAUGGACGCACGUUUCCGCACAAACGUCCAAGCGGACGUCUUUUCUACUGACAUCAUUCCUAAGGGUCUCUCCGUCCAUCAUUAUAUUGAUCUUGAGCAUAUUCGCACGCACCCGGCGAAAUACCCGGGUGCCAUUGAGCCCAUUGAGUCAUCAGGGCUCGCUGCCCCCUUUGCUUUUUGAUGCGAUUUUAACAGUGCUGCUAUUCAUCAAUUUUAUGCCACAUGUUUCUUUGGCUCAAACAACACUGUUAGCUGGAUGACUUCUGAUGUUGAGUUCACAACCUCUUAUGAUGAGUUUGUUGCCGCACUCGGUUUCCCCGACUCCGGCUUCAAAAUCCAUAAGAAUGAUCCUAACCAUGCACAUAAGCCCAUUGAGGCAUGUGGGCUUCACCUCAAACCCCUUCGUGAACUUGAUGCAGACGAACGGAUGAAGGAUCUUAAUCAAGUAUCCAUCUGGCGCUCUCCCUACUUUAUCAUUUUUCAGUGUCUUAUCCGCACCAUCUAUCCCAAGAUGGGUGAUAGGGGAUCCUGCAGCGGCUACUGUAUUGACAUCAUGUCACAUUUACCAGAGUCCCCCAAGAGCAAGAUUAAUGUGCCUCACUUUCUCUAGCAUGAGAUUCGGCUCGUUAGUUAUCAAUACAAGCAAGCCUUCCCUCAUGCCCCCUUCAUCCAGGCUUUUAUUCACCAUGUUGCUGAAUUCACUGUUGCUCUCACUCACACGCAUCACAAGUGGGUCAUUCCCGCUCACAUGGCGGAUAACUAUGCUCCCAAGAAAACCCCAUCCACCUCCACUCGCCGCACUGCUGCCCGGUCAGCAACCCCUUCAUCCAGCUCAGCUCCUCUCGGUCGCUUUGCCAAAUUCAUUGGCAAGGCACAUUCUGCUAUGAUGAAGGCCUUCUCUUUCCAGUGUGGUCAAACUCAUGAUGUGGUUUCUCGCCUCGUCUCCUCCAAGAAUGCCCUCAAGGCUCGUCUGAGAGACUCGGGCGCUCUUGAUGUGAGUGACGAUGAGGCUCUUCCUGCUGCUCCUCCUUCUGACUUCGGCUUCCCAUCUGGUCCUGAGUGGGCUGAUUUUCUUGACGAGGCUGGUGGCAGUGGCUUGCCUGACGAUGAGGAUGAUGAUGAUGAUGUUGUUGAUGAUCUCUGAGCAUGGUUGAUGCUGUUGGUACCUCCCUUUUUGGUACUUGGUGCCAAAGGGGGAGUAAUGUAUCCUAGUUUUAGUCUUUGGAGAUCUAGUCUCAAUUUGCAUGUUUGUGUAAUGUAAUGGAUAAACGACUGUGAUGCACUAUGUAUGGCUACCUAUGAAUGUUGUGAUUGCUAUGGAUUGCUAUGAUAUCAUCGUAUGCUAUUAUGUUUUGCUCCAUUACUUCAUAUGAUGAUAUAUUAUCUUUACUAAGUCACAUGAUAUUUUUGAUACACACAUUAAAAGGGAGCUCCGAUAUUUUAGCAUGCACAUACUAAGGGGGAGCUCCGUACUAAACCUCUCCAAAGCUAAAAUGUAUGUUAAAUCUUUUGAGAGCUAUGUAUAUGUUGUCAUCAACUACCAAAAAGGGGGAGAUUGAAAGUGCAGUCAUGCCCUUAAUCGAGUUUUGGUGUUAAUGACAACACAUACAUAGGAAACUAAUCUUAUUUGUUGAGUGUAUCUCAGGAUGGCAAGUACUCUUAGUAGAUUGAGAAUUAUGUGCCAAGGUGGUCUGAGAAGAUCGGGACUUAUAUGUCAAGAAGGCUCGGGAUUGAGAAAAGAUGAUGUAGCCUAUCCUUUAAAUUUACUAUUCUUGAGUAUAGGGAUCCCGCACUAUUAAGAGGGGAUCACAGGUUUUGCGAUGAACUUUCUCAUUCUACAUCUCUACUUUUCUGCUCAUACCACAUCUCCACUGCUCUGCUUUUAUCUCAAAACAGAACCAAUGCCUCGGACAUCUGGCUUACUCCGGACGUCCGAGGGCCGGACGCCCAACCACUUCGGAAAUCCGGAACCCUACACCAGAGAAAUUCAGAGCCAUAUAACUCGGACUUCCGGCUCCCUUCGGACGUCCGAGGGCCGGACGUCCGACCUCGUUCAGAAAUCCGGAACCUUGCACCAGAGAGAUUUGAGUCAAAUAACUCGGACUUCCGGCCUCCUCCUAUUGUCCGAGGGCCGGACGUCCGACCUCCUUCGGAAAUCCGGAACCUUGCACGACAGAAACUUGAGUCGAAUAACUCGGACUUCCGGCUUCCUCCGGACGUCCGGUCCCUGUUCAACUACACAGUGGUUCCAGAUAUAUAUACAUCCUCCGGACGACCGACCCUUGUCGGACGCCCGGCUCCUUGUGGACGUCCGGACAUCCGAGAACUGCCGGAUGUGUGACCACUAUCAGACUUAAGUGACCCCAAUGGUUGUUUUACUCUCCCCACUAUAUAUACCCCCCCUCCCACUUUGUGAGAGGGUGUUCAACACAGCUAGAACACUUACAAGAACACCUUUCUCCUCACUCACUCUUGCCUACACCCAAUCUUAGAUCCCAAGAGCAUUUGUGAGCCCCUUUGAGUGUUGUUCCAAUCAAAAGAUAGAUCGUCUCCUUCUCCUCCUCUCCACCAAAGUGACUUGUGAUUUGAGCAAGUUUUGAGCAAUCCCCGUGAUCUUGUUACUCUUGGAGGUUGGAGACUCCUAGGCGGUAGGAGUCUUCGGAGGGGAAUCAAAUCAUUGUGAUUACCCCCGGAAAGUUUGUGAAGGUUUGGACGCCACCUCAAGGCUUACCACUAGUGGUUGAGAAACGCCUUCGUGGAGUUGUCUCAAAGGGAGAAUAGGGUGAGCCUUCGUGGCGUUGGUAUGCCUUCGUGGUAACGUCCGCCCCUCUAACGGUGAUGUAGCUUCCCUCCAAGGAAGUCAACACCGGGAUACAUCCUCGUCUCUCUUGGAGUUUCGGUUAUCCCUAACCCUAACUCUCUACUUGUGUUAAUCCUUAUUACGUACUUGCAUUUGAUUAUUUUUUAACCUGUUGCCUUACUUCACUCUAAAUAGCUUACUCCUUGUCAUUGCAAUUAUUAGGCUCACGCUCAUAUUCCGCACCUUUGCCUCAAAUUGCUAAGUAACUAUUAAAAUUUGGAAUUGUACCUAUUCACCCCCCCCCUCUAGGUCCAUCUCGAUCCUUUUCAGUCCUAAUAAACGAUUGCCUCACGAAUAUCCCCAUGUUCAUCAUGGGCUUUUAUCUUCUCCAGGUUGGGAUUCAUGAGAAACUGAAUAAGGUGAGGUCGAGAUUCUUCUGGGCCAAGGAGAACGGGAAACAAAAGUACCACAUGGUUAGUUGGGAUCACAUUUGCCAACCCAAGGAGGUUGGAGGUUUGGGGUGAUAAAUACUAAGGUUAUGAAUUGGUGCCUCAUGACUAGGCCUGGGCAUUCGGUUACCCGGAAGAGUUCGGUUCGGUACUUCGGGUUAUUUUUAAUUUCGGUUUUGAGAAUAUGCUACCCGAUCGGUUAACUAAAAAAGAGAUAACCUAGAAUUCGGUGCACCAGAUAUUCGGUUCCGUGCUCGAGUUGACCGAGUAGGACCGAUACACUUCAGUGUAGAAUCACCGCCGCUCGCCAAAGUUUUUUUUGAAGGGUCCGCCGCUUGCCAGACUUGAUGGCAGAGAAAUGCAACUAUGCAAGAUAGGUUUAGAUAGCAGCAGGCAACGAGCGCAUUCUUUCAUGGGGCAGUGUGCAACUAAAAAAGCUGAUGGGUGUCUGCGCAAGAAAAAAACUGAUGGGUGACAACGUGUCACGGGAAAGAGCAAGGAGACGUCGCUAUCGAACUAUCCAUGAUGCCUCGAGUAUAUCCAGGAGAAGGUGUAAGGCAUGUUUCUUUUUUUCUUUUAACAAAGCCUAUGUAUGUUUUAUAGUCGUCUAGGAAAAGAAAAAUUGACGUGCACUACUUGUUUGAUGGGCUAAUCGGCCUAGCUGGAUGGGCUUUACUUAAUAUUAUAUAGAGUAGUAAAAUACUUCGGUUCACUCGGGAGAUUCGGUCAGCGGACUCCAGUGACCGAAUUCACCGAACUAAUUUCGGUUUUUGCCAUUUGCUAACCGAACAAACAAUUGAAGCUUCGGUUCUAGGUUAUUUCAGCUUCGGUCUCGGUUUUUUCGGCUUCGGUCUUCGGUUCUCGGUUUUUAUGCCCACCCCUACUCAUGACCAAGUGGUCGUGAAGGAUUCUAACGAGUACAGGUGGUUUAUGGCUCGAUAUCUUCACGAGAAAGUAUUUGGCCGAGGACGGUAUAGACUUUAAGAGAAACAUUAGGCUAUCUCAUUUUAUGAGGGACGUGCGGAAAGUGCAAUUUCUUCUUCGGCUAGGGACGAAGUUUACCAUCCACUACGGGUUGUCAGCGUGUUCUUGGUUAGAUAGGUGGUGUGGUAAUGAACGUCUAUGCUCUUCCUUCCCGGCUCUGUUCGCGAUAUUAUCCGAGCCUAAUGCUAAGGUAGCCGAAGUGUGGCGGCAUGGGAGGUGGAUGCCCCGGUUCAGCUGCUCCCUAGGAGAGGAGGAAGGCACCGAAUGGGAGGACCUUCGUACCAAGCUUAGCACGCACCGCCUGGACUCAGAGAGGGAGGAAGUGAUUUGGCAGCUUGAGCCAUAAGGUAGAUUUUUGACUGGCUCCCUUUAUAGGGAGAUUUUCUCCUCAAGGACCCCUUGCGACCUGUCGGGGCCAUGGAGGGCCUGGAUCCCAGCCAAAGUUAAGAUCUUCAUAUGGCAGGUGGCUCGACAGCGGAUCCCCGAUGGGGACCAAGUUCUUAAACAUCAUGGACUAGGUGAUGGUAAGUGUGUCAGGUGCCAGGACCCCGAGGAUUGUGAUCAUAUUCUCUUUCGAUGUUUGAUGGCUCGUUUUGUCUAGAGCGCUAUAUGCGAGGUGAGUGGGUCUACUUGGAAUCCAAGUGGGUUCUCCUCAUUCUAUAGAUUGUCCUUGGCCACGACUAGGAGGGAUCGGCGGCUGGCGUGGGUUGGCUUAGGCGCACUGGCCUGGGCCCUGUGGACCACAAGAAACAAAGCUCUGAUUCAGGGAUCCUUUCUUCGACAUUCGGCUGAUCUUCUAUACAAAAUGGUCUCUCUAUUGCAGAUGUGGAAGCUAUUGGCUCGGGCAGGAGAUUGGGGGCUCAUGGAGGGUCUCGCCUCAAGACUUCGGACAAAAUGUGCUGACCUUCGCAGAGCUCUGUGAGACGUCCGGCUCGCCGUCGGUGCAUUCUCUCAGCCUUUUAGCGUAGUGUCACUGCGUUAUUGCCUACGGGCUUGUACCUUUUUUUCCUUUUUUCGCUUUGCUGAACUGUUGUUUUCCUGGACGUGUAAGGGCCUCAGUCUAAGGCCUGGCAAGCGUCUCUUUUCUAAAAAAACUAGAAUUACCCAAAGCACUUGUCACAACUGAACUAGGAUUUGAUCUACAUUCUUGUACAAUAAAGGCCAUUCCAAAAAGUAAGGAGUAAAUAUGUUAGUUAAAGUGAUAACUUCUUUUUUCAGACAAAUAUAUGAGCCAUUCUUCCAGGGUCACUCCAUACCACCAAGGAGUAAAAACAGAGACCACCUCACUUCGAACACUUAUAUAGAAGUAUAAUGCAAUCAAUGACCUAAUUUUAGCUUACUUAGGGCAUCUCCAAUAAUUUGUAUGUAGUAUUGUUGGUAAAAUUAUCCAUGUCAUCAACCAACAAGGGAUCAUACAACUACUCCAAUAGUUACAUCCAAAUUAUUCAAUAGGAGAAGAGGGAAUAAAUGCAAUUGCUCUUUGUGUAACCUUUGAGCUUGUGCAAGAGCUGUUGGUUAAGAACAAGUACAAUAAGAUACAGUAAGCAGGCUGUAAGGAUUAAAAUACUAUAUUUUUGCUGAGUUGGAUGAGAGAGAAGAGGACAGAGAAGGGAAGCAGACUCUUCGUGAGGAGCUAGCUCUAGCACGUGCUCGCACGUGCUCCUAGGUGCUUUGUGAGAAUGAAAGGUGUGCCAUAUAUGAUAAAAGUAGUACUCUUUUAUAGCUAACUAUUGUACAAGUUAGCUUUUUUUUGCAUUGAACUUAUGAGCUUUAUUCAACCAAAGGAGUUCGCUGGGCAGUCAGCCAAUAGGCUACUAACCAGAAAACUGGGAGUCUCAGAGAGCCAACUCUCGGUUACAGACACGCUACAUGCACGCUGUGCACACAAAUGUGCUGGACCAUUGGCUGAUCUACUAACAUGCUGAAUUACAAAAGAAUGAAAAACUGGGAGUCUCAGAGAGCCAACUACUACAUGCACGAUUUCGUUUAUAACUGGUGCCACAACAGAGCGACUGUUGUGGCGAUUGUUCCAGAGAUUCACCAUCUCCAGACUGUCGGUCUCCAUUAUCACAUUGGCGAAACCUCUCAGAUUUGCAAAGAUAACUCCAUCCCGUAGGGCUAAUGCCUCGGCGAUCAUAGGAUCAGUGACCCCUGGAUGGGGCUUGCACCAGGCGCCCAACAAAGAUGUCUAUGAGCGGGCGACACCCCCCGCACCACUCUUCUCUUCUAAGAACCGCACUGCUGCGUCGGUAUUGAUCUUCACUUGGUCUAGCUCAGGUAGUCGCCAGCCAUGUCCUGGUAGCAUUGCUUCUUGCUGAUUUGGUACGUCAAGCAAAGCCAGGGCCUCUCGGGUGAGUUUUAUGGAGCUCACCGGAUCGAACCUCUCUCCGUCGUGCGUCCAUCUGUUGCGGGAACUCCAGAUGGACCACAUUAUCGUGAUAAUUGUUGCUCGUUCCUUCGUGGUGAACGUAGACCCACAUAGAAUGUCGCCAGCCCAGGAAGACGGGUGCAGUCUCGGCAGUUUGACGUCCAGCACAAGACGAGCUUCAUCCCAGAACUGCCUCGCAUGCGAGCUAUGAAUUAGCGCAUGCUCCAGGUCUUCCUCAUGUGCUCGACACAGUUUGCAAAAACUGACAUCUCUAAUAUGUCUGAUAUGCAGCAUCUUCUCAUCAUGUAGGAUGCCUCGCAUGACACGCCACCAAAAUACCCGCACCUUAGGGACAAUUUUGAGAGACCAAAGUGCUUUCCACAUGUGUGUUUGAUCAACUGAAGUUCCGGUUCCGGGCCCUUCGCCUAGAGCUUGUUGCUCGUUGCGGUUCAGCAAGGCUCGGCACGCUGAUUUCACACUGUAAUUGCCUGAUUUCUCGUGUGCCCACGCAAGGAAGUCCUCUCCUCCACCUCGCCGGAGUGGUAUAUUUAGGAUAGCAUCGGCGUCUGGUGCAGCAAAUGUUCCUCGAACUAGCUCUUGUCUCCAAGUCCAGUUGCUGGUAUCGAUUAGAUCACUAACCUGCUCCACGCUUGUGAUUGCACGCUUGAUAAUUGGGGACCAAGAAACAGUGGUUGGGAUCCAUUUGUCGGUCCAUGCGUUAAUGGUGGAACCGUCCCCCACCCGCUGGACCACUCCCACUUCAAGAGCUUCCCUUCCAGCGAUGAUGGCACGUCAUACGGCCGAUGCAGAGUGUGGUGCUUGGGCCUGCAUAAAAUCACUAUCGGGGAAGUAUCUUCCCUUCAAUACUCUAGCACAUAAUGAAUGCGGAUUGGUCAUAAACCUCCACCCAUGCUUCCCCAAUAGUGCCAAGUUAAACAGAUGGAAGUCACGAAAUCCCAUACCUCCUUUGCAUUUUGGUACCGUGAGAUUUUUCCAUGAAAUCCAAUGUAGGGAUCUUCUGUCAAUCGAGCUGCUCCACCAGUACUUGGCCAUUUUGGAAGUCAAGCUCUUGCAGACUUUCUUUGUCAGAAGGAAACAACUCAUGUUGAACGUGGGGAUUGCUUGAACUAUGGAUUUCAAAAGUACUUCUCUCCCCACGCACACAAAAAGCCUUUCAGACCAUCCUUGCAUCUUGCCUCUUGAUCGGUCACCUAUGUGAUCAAACGUCCCACUAUUAAUCCUGCCAACGGCAGUGGGAAGACCAAGGUAUCUGUCGCUGAACGUUUCAACAUUCACCCCCAGAGUGUUUUUCAGAACCUGCCGGAUAGUGUGUGCGGUAUUCGGACUGAAGAAGAUGGCACUCUUGGCACGAUUCACGCAUUGUCCCGAUGCUUCCCCAUAUAUCCGCAGUAUAUCAUUCAGUCGCUGUGCACUGGGAGCAUCAGCACUGAGGAAGAUCAAGCAAUCAUUUGCAAAAAGAAGAUGACUGACCCAUGGCGAUCGGAAGCUUGCUCUGACGCCUCUGUCAAUGUUUCCACCAUAGUAUUUCAGGAGAGAGGAAAAACCUUCAGCACACAACAGAAAUAGGAAUGGUGAAACUGGACAUCCUUGCCUGAGGCCUAUCGAGGGAAUGAAAUAAGGUUGUAGCUCUCCAUUUACUCGCACCGAGAAGCGCACAAAAGUAACACAUUUCAUUAUCAACCUGACAAAUGCAUUGCUGAAACCAAGCCUAAGUAGGAUAGCCUCGAGAUAGUGCCACUCCACACGAUCGUAAGCUUUCAUCAUAUCUAGCUUUAAUGCACAAGCAGUAUUUCUCCCCUUCUUCCUUCGUCGCAAAGUGUGGACACUUUCGAAAGCAACCAGAACGUUGUCAGUGAUUAAACAGCCAGGAACAAAGGCGAUUUGUUCCUCGCAGAUAAUAUCGUCCAUGUAGCAUCUCAAGCGGUUUGCAAUUGCCUUAGCCGCUAUUUUAUACAACACUGGGCAUAAUGCAAUGGGACGAAAUUGAGAUAUCAUCUGGGGAUGUCGUACCUUUGGGAUAAGAGUUAUAGACGUGUCAUUUAAGCCCAUAGGAAGAUCUCCACCAUUCAAAAAACCCAACACUGCAGCUAUCACGUCAUUCUUCACAAGCUGCCAAUGUCGUUGAAAGAAUCCCGGUGCUUUGGAUGGAGCCAUUUGAAACAGCGCUUCAUGAACAUCCUUUGCAUCAAAAGGACUAUCGAACACCUGGUUCAUCCCCGGAGUGACUUUCACCGGGACGUGAUCCAACAGCUCAUCCAUAUCAAAAACCCCUUGCGAGGUGUACAAGUUUUGGUAGAAUGACUGUAUUUCCGCUUUGUCUUCCUCGGGGUCAGCACAAACCGAACCGUCAGCUCGUCGAAGCCCACAAAUUAUGUUCAAUCGCUGACAUUGUUUAGCUUGCGCUUGAAAAUACUUUGUGUUGCGAUCUCCUUCGUGGAGCCAACUUACUUUGGACCGUUGCCGUAGCCAGAUUUCUUCCUGUUUAAGCGCUUCUCAAAGCUUUGCGGCGGUCCUUUUCUCCUCCUCAGAGGGACCUCGUCCAAUGGACUGUUCUCGGAUUUUUUCCAACUUCUUCUGAAGCUGUCUCACAUUGCGUGUAAGGCAGCCAAAUUCCCGCACCCCCCAUGGCUCCAGCGUGCGCUGGAGUACCCCCAACGAAUCCGCAAUGCCUUGCAGGCCCGGGGUGCGAGUUUGUUUCAACCAAGUGUCUGUGACAAGAUCCUCAUAAUCCCUAUGGGUCUACCAAACAUUUUCAUAUCUGAAUUGUUUCUGUCGACGUGCAUCACGAUCGUGCGGCUUGUCUCUGAUUUCAGCAACCAUGAAGCAAUGGUCAGACUCAACUGCACUGAUAUGACGCACUCGAAUUGAUUCGUACCGCUGCCGGAAUACUUCGUUUGCGACAGCCCGAUCCAGCCUUGCCUUAACGUUGUUAUCUCCGGCUUGUCUGUUGUCCCAAGUGUAGGGUAGACCGGACCAGCCCAGGUCUUGGAAACCUACUUCUUCGACAACGUCUCUGAAUGCGCGCAUUUGCCAGUCUGGUCUGGCCGCCCGGCUGAAAUGCUCAUCGCCAUACAGGGUCUCGUUAAAAUAACCCAUGCACAGCCAACCAGAAUGUGGCAAUGCAUAUAAGGUUUUGAGAAACCACCAGCUGUGAUGUCUAUUCUCCGCUCUAGGCGCUCCAUAGAAUCCUGUAAAUCUCCAUUCCAUGGAGUUAGUGUCUUUCAUCCGCACUACAGCAUCGAUAUGGCCGGAACUAUAGUUUGUCAAUUGCACAUCAUAAUCCUUGGACCAAAAGAGGCCAAUACCUCCUCUUAGUCCUUCACUAUCCACUUCGAAGCAUCCCACGAAACCCAGCUGGUGCCGCAGAUCUUCCACACGCUUCGCCCUGAUUUUGGUUUCCAUAAUGAACAACAGGGCAGGAACUUCCUGCUUCACAAUGCUGCGAAGCUCGCGAACUUCCUCGGGGUUCCCAAGCCCCCGACAGUUCUAGCUCAUGCAAUUCAUUGAGAACGGCAGGGCUGCACCGCAGCCUCUGCCGAAUUCUCGGGAGUGGGUCCCUUUUUCUUUGCAUCUCUUUCACUGUCAUCAUGAGACUCUUCUUGGCUUCCUCUUCCCAUGGACGUGCCAUCAUGUAAGGCGCUACUGGAUGGGUUAUUUCCAUCGGUGAGAAGAAGUUGACGAUUUACAACUGGCCGAUAAACCUGUCGUGGUACCUCCUUCCGUUUGUUGGUAUGAGACUUAUCUUUUAAGGGAGAAGUCACCUCGACAUGUUCCUUGCCAGCAUUGGAAGAGUUCCUGGAUUCCCUCUGACUGCUCGUGCGUGUAGGCUGUUCUUUAGACGAGCUCUCGCUGGAGACCGGUUUCUUCUUCUCUUCCGGCGCUCUCAGUUUGGGGCCGAACUGCAACUCCCCGUUCUCGUCUCUCGGUCCCGGGUUGGGGCAGAACAACUCCGAGUGCCCUAAUCGGCCACAAGAGAAGCAAAAGUGUGGAACUUGUUCAUAUUGUAUGUCAUAUAGAUCAGUUUUCUUUCUCUUGGCUGAGGUUAUCAAGAUCCACCUCCUCAGUGGCUUGUUGACCUCGAUUGAAACCCUAGCACGCAGAUAUCCACCGACAUGAUCAAACUGAACAAAGGUUGCAUCUGUUGGAAUUAUGCCCUAGAGGCAAUAAUAAAUAUAGUUAUUAUUAUAAUUCCUGUAUCAAGAUAAUCGUUUAUUAUCCAUGCUAUAAUUAUAUUGAAUGAAGACUUAUAUACAUGUGUGGAUAUAUAGACAAAACACUGUCCCUAGCAAGCCUCUAGUUGGCUAGCCAGUUGAUCAAAGAUAGUCAGGGUCUUCUGAUUAUGUACAAGGUGUUGUUGCUUGAUAACUGGUUCAUGUCAUUAGAAGAAUCACGUGAUGGACUAGACACAAACUAAUAGACGUAGCAUGUUGAUCGUGUCAUUUUGUUGCUACUAUUUUCUGCGUGUCAAAGUAUUUGUUCCUAUGACCAUGAGAUCAUAUAACUCACUGACACCGGAGGAAUGCUUUGUGUGUAUCAAACGUCGCAACGUAACUGGGUGACUAUAAAGAUGCUCUACAGGUAUCUCCGAAGGUGUUCGUUGAGUUAGUAUGGAUCGAGACUGGGAUUUGUCACUCCGUGUGACGGAGAGGUAUCUCGGGGCCCACUCGGUAAUACAACAUCACACACAAGCCUUGCAAGCAAUGUGACUUAGUGUAAGUUGCGGGGUCUUGUAUUACGGAACGAGUAAAGAGACUUGCCGGUAAACGAGAUUGAAAUAGGUAUGCGGAUACUGACGAUCGAAUCUCGCGCAAGGAUAAAGGGAAUGACAUACGGGAUUAUAUGAAUCCUUGGCACUGAGGUUCAAACGAUAAUAUCUUCGUAGAAUAUGUGGGAUCCAAUAUGGGCAUCCAGGUCCCGCUAUUGGGUAUUGACCGAGGAGUCACUCGGUGUUGGGGAACGUCGCAUGGGAAACAAAAAAUUUCCUACGCGCACGAAGACCUAUCAUGGUGAUGUCCAUCUACGAGAGGGGAUGAGUGAUCUACGUACCCUUGUAGAUCGUACAGCAGAAGCGUUAGUGAACGUGGUUGAUGUAGUGGAACUUCCUCACGUCCCUCGAUCCGCCCCGCGAACAAUCCCGCGAUCAGUCCCACGAUCUAGUACCGAACGGACGGCACCUCCGCGUUCAGCACACGUACAGCUCGACGAUGAUCUCGGCCUUCUUGAUCCAGCAAGAGAGACGGACAGGUAGAAGAGUUCUCCGGCAGCAUGACGGCGCUCCGGAGGUUGGUGAUGACCUUGUCUCAGCAGGGCUCCGCCCGAGCUCCGCAGAAACGCGAUCUAGAGGAAAAACCGUGGAGGUAUGUGGUCGGGCUGCCGUGGAAAAGUCGUCUCAAAUCAGCCCUAAAACCUCCAUAUAUAUAGGUGGGAGGGAGGGGACCUUGCCUUGGGGCUCAAGGAGCCCCAAGGGGGUCGUCCGAGUCCAAGGGGGGAGGACUCCCCCCCAAACCGAGUUGGACUAGGUUUGGUGGGAGGGAGUCCCCUUUCCUUCCCACCUCCUCCUUUUUUUUCUUUCUCUCUUGAUUUUCUUCUCCUUGGCGCAUAGAGCCUUUUGGGCUGUCCCACCAGCCCACUAAGGGCUGUUGUGCCACCCUCAAGGCCUAUGGGCUUCCCCGGGGUGGGUUCGCCCCCCCCCCCCGGUGAACUCCCGGAACCCAUUCGUCAUUCCCGGUACAUUCCGGGUAACUCCGAAAACCUUCCGGUAAUCAAAUGAGGUCAUCCUAUAUAUCAAUCUUCGUUUCCGGACCAUUCCGGAAACCCUCGUGAUGUCCAUGAUCUCAUCCGGGACUCCGAACAACAUUCGGUAACCAACCAUAUAACUCUAAUACGCAUAAAACAACGUCGAACCUUAAGUGUGCAGACCCUGCGGGUUCGAGAACUAUGUAGACAUGACCCGAGAGACUCCUCGGUCAAUAUCCAAUAGCGGGACCUAGAUGCCCAUAUUGGAUCCUACAUAUUAUAUGAAGAUCUUAUCGUUUGAACCUCAGUGCCAAGGAUUCAUAUAAUCCCGUAUGUCAUUCCCUUUGUCCUUCGGUAUGUUACUUGCCCGAGAUUCGAUCGUCAGUAUCCGUAUACCUAUUUCAAUCUCGUUUACUGGCAAGUCUCUUUACUCGUUCCGUAAUACAAGAUCCCGCAACUUACACUAAGUUACAUUGCUUGCAAGGCUUGUGUGUGAUGUUGUAUUACCGAGUGGGCCCCGAGAUACGUCUCCGUUCACACGGAGUGACAAAUCCCAGUCUUGAUCCAUACUAACUCAACUAACACCUUCGGAGAUACCUGUAGAGCAUCUUUAUAGUCACCCAGUUACGUUGCGACGUUUGAUACACACAAAGCAUUCCUCCGGUGUCAGUGAGUUAUAUGAUCUCAUGGUCAUAGGAAUAAAUACUUGACACGCAGAAAACAGUAGCAACAAAAUGACACGAUCAACAUGCUACGUCUAUUAGUUUGGGUCUAGUCCAUCACGUGAUUCUCCUAAUGACGUGAUCCAGUUAUCAAUCGACAACACCUUGUUCAUAAUCAGAAGACACUAACUAUCUUUGACCAACUGGCUAGCCAACUAGAGGCUUGCUAGGGACGGUGUUUUGUCUAUGUAUCCACACAUGUAAAUGAGUCUUCAUUCGAUACAAUUAUAGCAUGGAUAAUAAACGAUUAUCUUGAUACAGGAAUUAUAAUAAUAAUUAUAUUUAUUAUUGCCUCUAGGGCAUAAUUCCAACAGUCUCCCACUUGCACUAGAGUCAAUAAUCUAGCCCUCACAUCACUAUGUGAAUUACAUUGUAAUAAAUCUAACAUCCAUACAGUUCUGGUGUUGAUCAUGCUUUGGCCGUGGAAGAGGUUUAGUCAGCGGGUCUGCUACAUUCAGAUCCGUGUGCACUUUGCAUAUAUUCACGUCCUCUCCCUCGACGUAGUCGCGGAUGAGGUUGAAGCGUCGUUUGACGUGUCUGGUCUUCUUGUGAAACCGUGGUUCCUUUGCUAAGGAAAUGGCACCAGUGUUGUCACAGAACAAGGUUAUUGGAUUCAGUGCGCUUGGCACCACUCCAAGAUCCGUCAUGAACUGCUUCAUCCAAACACCCUCCUUAGCCGCCUCCGAGGCAGCCAUGUACUCCGCUUCACAUGUAGAAUCUGCUACGACGCUUUGCUUGAAACUGCACCAGCUUACUGCACCCCCAUUAAGAAUAAAUACGUAUCUGGUUUGCGACUUAGAGUCGUCCGGAUCUGUGUCAAAGCUUGCAUCGACGUAACCUUUUACGGCGAGCUCUUCGUCACCUCCAUACACGAGAAACAUCUCCUUAGUCCUUUUCAGGUACUUCAGGAUAUUCUUGACCGCUGUCUAGUGAUCCACUCCUGGAUUACUCUGGAACCUACCUGCCAUACUUAUGGCCAGGCUAACAUCCGGUCUAGUGCACAGCAUCGCAUACAUGAUAGAACCUAUGGCUGAAGCAUAGGGGACGGAGCGCAUAUGCUCUCUAUCUUCGUCAGUUGCUGGGCACUGAGUCUUACUCCAUCUCGUACCUUGUAGAACUGGCAAGAACCCUUUCUUGGACCGUUCCAUUUUGAACCUCUUCAAAACUUUAUCAAGGUAUGUGCUUUGUGAAAGUCCUAUCAGGCAUUUUCAUCUAUCCCUAUAGAUCUUAAUGCCUAGAAUGUAAGCAGCUUCUCCUAGGUCCUUCAUAGAGAAACUUUUAUUCAAGUAAUCCUUUAUGCUCUCUAAAAACUCUACGUGUUUCCAAUCAGUAAUAUAUCAUCCACAUAUAAUAUUAGAAACGCCAGAGAGCUCCCACUCACUUUCUUGUAAAUACAAGAUUCUCCUACCACUUGUAUAAACCCAAAUGCUUUGAUCACCUCACAAAGCGUUUGUUCCAACUCUGAGAUGCUUGCACCAGUCCAUAAAUGGAUCGCUGGAGCUUGCACACCUUGUUAGCAUUCUUAGGAUCGACAAAACCUUCGGGCUGUAUCAUCUACAACUCUUCCUUAAGGAAACCGUUAAGGAACGCCGUUUUGACAUCCAUCUGCCAGAUUUCAUAAUCGAAAAAUGCAGCUAUUGCUAACAUGAUUCUGACGGACUUAAGCAUCACUACAGGUGAGAAAGUCUCAUCGUAGUCAACUCCUGGAACUUGUGAAAAACCCUUUGCCACAAGUCGAGCUUUAUAAACGGUCACAUUGCCGUCAGCGUCCGUCUUCUUCUUAAAGAUCCAUUUGUUCUGAAUAGCCUUGCGGCCCUCAGGUAGUAUCUCCAAAGUCCACACUUUGUUCUCAUACAUGGAUCCUAUCUUGGAUUUCAUGGCUUCUAGCCAUUUGUUGGAAUCUGGCCCCACCAUUGCUUCUUCAUAAUUUGCAGGUUCAUUGUUGUCUAACAACAUGAUUGACAAGACGGGAUUACCGUACCACUCUGGAGCAGCACGUGAUCUCGUCGACUUGCGUGGUUCAACAGAAACUUGAACUGGAGUUUCAUGAUCAUCAUCAUUAACUUCCUCCUCAACUGGCGUCGCAACGACAGAGGUUUCCCCUUGCCCUGCGCCACCAUCCAGAGGGAUGAGAGGUUCGACAACCUCGUCAAGUUCUAUCUUCCUCCCACUCAAUUCUCUCGAGAGAAACUCCUUCUCGAGAAAAGCUCCGUUUUUAGCAACAAACACUUUGCCCUCGGAUUUGAGAUAGAAGGUGUACCCAACUGUCUCUUUUGGGUAACCUAUGAAGACGCACUUUUCCGCUUUGGGUUCCAGCUUUUCAGGCUGAAGCUUUUUGACAUAAGCAUCACAUCCCCAAACUUUAAGAAACGACAACUUUGGCCUUUUGCCAUACCACAGUUCGUAUGGUGUCGUCUCAACGGAUUUUGAUGGUGCCCUAUUUAAAGUGAAUGCAGCUGUUUCUAAUGCAUAGCCCCAAAAUGAUAACGGCAAAUCAGUAAGAGACAUCAUAGAUCGCACUAUCUCCAAUAGAGUACGAUUACGACGUUCGGACACACCAUUACGCUGUGGUGUUCCAGGCGGUGUUAACUGUGAAACAAUUCCACAUUGUCUUAAGUGAGCACCAAACUCGAAACUCAGAUAUUCACCCCCACGAUCAGACCGCGGGAACUUGAUCUUCUUGUUACGAUGAUUUUCCACUUCACUCUGAAAUUGCUUGAACUUUUCAAUUGUUUCAGACUUGUGCUUCAUCAAGUAGACAUAACCAUAUCUACUUAAAUCGUCAGUGAAGGUGAGAAAAUAACGAUAUCCGCCGCGUGCCUCCACGCUCAUUGGACCACACACAUCGGUAUGUAUGAUUUCCAACAAGUCACUUGCACGCUCCAUUGUUCCUGAGAACGGAGUCUUAGCCAUCUUGCCCAUGAGGCAUGGUUCGCACGUGUCAAGUGAAUCAAAGUCAAGUGACUCCAAAAGUCCAUCAGCAUGGAGUUUCUUCAUGCACUUUACACCAAUAUGACCUAAGCGGCAGUGCCACAAAAAUAUGGCGCUAUCCUUGUUAACUCUAACUCUUUUGGUCUCAAUGCUAUGUAUAUGUGUAUCGCUGUCAAGAUUCAGUAUGAACAAUCCUCUCACAUUCGGUGCAUGACCAUAAAAGAUGUUACUCAUAGAAAUAGAACAACCAUUAUUCUCUGACUUAAAAGAGUAACCGUCUCGCAAUAAACAAGAUCCAGAUAUAAUGUUCAUGCUCAACGCAGGCACUAAAUAACAAUGAUUUAAGUUCAUCACUAAUCCUGACGGUAACUGAAGUGACACUGUGCCGACGGCGAUUGCAUCAACCUUGGAACCAUUUCCUACGCGCAUCGUCACUUCAUCUUUCGCCAGCCUUCGCCUAUUCCGCAGUUCCUGUUUCGAGUUGCAAAUAUGAGCAACAGAACCGGUAUCGAAUACCCAGGCACUACUACGAGAGCCGGUUAAGUACACAUCAAUAAAAUGUAUAUCAAAUAUACCUGAUUUUUCUUUGCCCGCCUUUUUAUCUGCCGGAUACUUGGGGCAAUUGCGCUUCCAGUGACCCAUACCCUUGCAAUAGUAACACUCCGUUUCCGGCUUAGGUCCAGCUUUGGGUUUCUUCGUCGGAUUGGCAACAGGCUUGCCGCUCUUCUUCGAAUUUCCCUUCUUGCCUUUGACGUUUCUCUUGAAACUCUUGGUCUUAUUCACCAUCAACACUUGAUGCUCUUUACAGAGUUCAGACUCUGCGACUUUCAGCAUCGCAAACAACUCGCCGGGAGACUUGUUCAUCCCUUGCAUGUUGUAGUUCAACACAAAGCCUUUAUAGCUUGGCGGCAGUGAUUGAAGGAUUCUGUCAGUGAUAGCUUCUUGCGGGAGUUCAAUCCCUAGCUCAGCUAGACGGUUUGAGUACCCAGACAUUUUGAGCACAUGUUCACUGACAGAUGAGUUUUCCUCCAUCUUGCAAGCAUAGAAUUUAUCGGAGGUCUCAUACCUCUCGAUCCGGGCGUUCUUCUGAAAGAUAAACUCCAACUCCUGGAACAUCUCAAAUGCUCCAUGACGCUCAAAGCGACGUUGAAGUCCCGGUUCUAAGCCAUACAAGACUGCACAUUGAACUAUUGAGUAGUCCUCCUUACGUGCUAACCAAGCGUUCUUAACAUCCUGAUCAGCCGUAGCGGGUGGUUCAUCUCCUAACGCAGCAUUAAGGACAUAAUCCUUCUUCCCAGCUUGUAAGAUUAGCUUAAGAUUACGAGCCCAGUCUACAAAGUUGCUUCCAUCAUCUUUCAACUUAGCUUUCUCUAGGAACGUAUUAAAAUUCAGGAUGACUGUCGCGUGAGCCAUGAUCUACAACACAAAUAUAUUCAAUGUGGACUUAGACUAUGUUCAAGAUAAUUAGAGUUUAACUUAAUCAAAUUAUUCGCUAAACUCCCACUCAAAAAGUACAUCUAUCUAGUCAUUUGAGUGGUUCAUGAUCCACUUACACUAGCUCAAGUCCGAUCAUCACGUGAGUUGAGUAUAGUUUCAGUGGUAAGCAUCCCUAUGCUAAUCAUAUCAUCUAUAUGAUUCAUGAUCGACCUUUCGGUCUCAUGUGUUCCGAGGCCAUGUCUGCACAUGCUAGGCUCGUCAAGCUUAACCCGAGUGUUCCGCGUGCGCAACUGUUUUGCACCCGUUGUAUGUGAACGUUGAGUCUAGCACACCCGAUCAUCACGUGGUGUCUCGAAACGACGAACUGUAGCAACGGUGCACAGUCGGGGAGAACACAUUUUCAUCUUGAAAUUUUAGUGAGAGAUCACCUCAUAAUGCUACCGUCGUUCUGAGCAAAAUAAGGUGCAUAAAAGGAUUAACAUCACAUGCAAUUCAUAAGUGACAUGAUAUGGCCAUCAUCACGUGCUUCUUGAUCUCCAUCACCAAAGCACCGGCACGAUCUUCUUGUCACCGGCGCCACACCAUGAUCUCCAUCAACGUGUUGCCAUCGGGGUUGUCGUGCUACUCAUGCUAUUACUACUAAAGCUACAUCCUAGCAAAAUAGUAAACGCAUCUGCAAACACACACGUUAGUAUAAAGACAACCCUAUGGCUCCUGCCGGUUGCCGUACCAUCGACGUGCAAGUCGAUAUUUCUAUUACAACAUGAUCAUCUCAUACAUCCAAUAUAUCACAUCACAUGCAUACCCUGCAAAAACAAGUUAUAUGUCCUCUAAUUUUGUUGUUGCAUGUUUUACGUGGUGACCAUGGGUAUCUAGUAGGAUCGCAUCUUACUUACGCAAACACCAUGUUCACUAACGCUUCUGCUGUACGGUCUACAAGGGUACGUAGAUCACUCAUCCCCUCUCGUAGAUGGACAUCACCAUGAUAGGUCUUCGUGCGCGUAGGAAAUUUUUUGUUUCCCAUGCGACGUUCCCCAACAGUGGCAUCAUGAGCUAGGUUCAUGCGUAUAUGUCUUCUCGAGUAGAACACAAAAGUUUUUGUGGGCGGUGAUGUGCGUUUUGCUGCCCUCCUUAGUCUUUUCUUGAUUCCGCGGUAUUGUUGGAUUGAAGCGGCUUGGACCGACAUUACUCGUACGUUUACGAGAGACCGGUUUCAUUGCUACGAGUAACCCCCUUGCUCAAAGAUGACUGGCAAGUGUCGGUUUCUCCAACUUUAGUUGAAUCGGAUUUGACCAAGGAGGUCCUUGUAUAAGGUUAAAUAGCAAUUCAUAUAUCUCCGUUGUGGUGUUUGCGUAAGUAAGAUGCGAUCCUACUAGAUACCCAUGGUCACCACGUAAAACAUGCAACAACAAAAUUAGAGGACGUAUAACUUGUUUUUGCAGGGUAUGCAUGUGAUGUGAUAUAUUGGAUGUAUGAGAUGAUCAUGUUGUAAUAGAUAAUAUCGACUUGCACGUCGAUGGUAUGGCAACCGGCAGGAGCCAUAGGGUUGUCUUUAAACUAACGUUUGUGCUUGCAGAUGCGUUUACUAUUUUGCUAGGAUGUAGCUUUAGUAGUAAUAGCAUGAGUAGCACGACAACCCCGAUGGCGACACGUUGAUGGAGAUCAUGGUGUGGCGCCGGUGACAAGAAGAUCGUGCCGGUGCUUUGGUGAUGGAGAUCAAGGAGCACAUGAUGAUGGCCAUAUCAUGUCACUUAUGAAUUGCAUGUGAUGUUAAUCCUUUUAUGCACCUUAUUUUGCUUAGAACGACGGUAGCAUUAUGAGGUGAUCUCUCACUAAAAUUUCAAGACGAAAUUGUGUUCUCCCCGACUGUGCACCGUUGCUACACUUCGUCGUUUCGAGACACCACGUGAUGAUCGGGUGUGGUAGACUCAACGUUCACAUACAACGGGUGCAAAACAGUUGCACACGCGGAACACUCGGGUUAAGCUUGACGAGCCUAGCAUGUGCAGACAUGGCCUCGGAACACAUGAGACCGAAAGGUCGAUCAUGAAUCAUAUAGUUGAUAUGAUUAGCAUAGGGAUGCUUACCACUGAAACUAUACUCAACUCACGUGAUGAUCGGAAUUGAGCUAGUGUAAGUGGGUCAUGAACCACUCAAAUGACUAGAGAGAUGUACUUUUUGAGUGGGAGUUUAGCAAGUGAUUUGAUUAAGUUAAACUCUAAUUAUCUUGAACAUAGUCUAAAGUCCACUUUGAAUAUAUUUGUGUUGUAGAUCAUGGCUCACGUGAUAGUCACCCUGAAUUUUAAUACGUUCCUAGAGAAAGCUAAGUUGAAAGAUGAUGGAAGCAACUUUGUAGACUGGGCUCGUAAUCUUAAGUUGAUCCUACAAGCUGGGAAGAAGGAUUAUGUCCUUAAUGCUACGCUAGGAGAUGAACCACCCGCUACGGCUGACCAGGAUGCUAAGAACGCUUGGUUAACACGUAAGGAGGACUACUCAGUAGUUCAAUGUGCAGUCUUGUAUGGCUUAGAACCGGGACUUCAACGUCGCUUUGAGCGUCAUGGAGCAUAUGAGAUGUUCCAGGAGUUGAAGUUUAUCUUUCAGAAGAAUGCCCGGAUCGAGAGGUAUGAGACCUCCGAUAAAUUCUAUGCUUGCAAGAUGGAGGAGAAUUCGUCUGUCAGUGAACAUGUGCUCAAAAUGUCUGGGUACUCAAACCAUCUAGCUGAGCUGGGGAUUGAACUCCCGCAAGAGGCUAUCACUGACAGACUUCUUCAAUCACUGUCGCCAAGCUAUAAGGGCUUUGUGUUGAACUACAACAUGCAAGGGAUAAACAAGUCACCCGGCGAGUUGUUUGCGAUGCUGAAAGUCGCAGAGUCUGAACUCCGUAAAGAGCAUCAAGUGUUGAUGGUGAAUAAGACCACUAGUUUCAAGAGAAACGGCAAAGGAAAGAAGGGCAAUUCAAAGAAGAGCGGCAAGCCUGUUGCCAAUCCGACGAAGAAACCCAAAGAUGGACCUAAGCCUCAAACAGAGUGCUACUAUUGCAAGGGUAUGGGUCACUGGAAGCGCAACUACCCCAAGUAUCUGGCUGAUAAGAAGGCGGCCAAAGAAAAAUCAGGUAUAUUUGAUAUACAUGUUAUUGAUGUGUACUUAACCGGCUCUCGUAGUAGUGCCUGGGUAUUCGAUACCGGUUCUGUUGCUCAUAUUUGCAACUCGAAACAGGAACUGCGGAAUAGGCAAAGGCUGGCGAAAGAUGAAGUGACGAUGCGCGUAGGAAAUGGUUCCAAGGUUGAUGCAAUCGCCGUCGGCACAGUUUCACUUCAGUUACCAUCGGGAUUAGUUAUGAAAUUGAAUAAUUGUUAUUUAGUGCCUGCGUUGAGCAUGAACAUUAUAUCUGGAUCUUGUUUAUUGCGAGACGGUUACUCUUUUAAGUCAGAGAAUAAUGGUUGUUCUGUUUCUAUGAGUAACAUCUUUUAUGGUCAUGCACCCAAUGUGAGAGGAUUGUUCAUAUUGAAUCUUGAUAGUGAUACACAUAUACAUAACAUUGAGACCAAAAGAGUUAGAGUUAACAAUGAUAGCGCCAUGUUUUUGUGGCACUGCCACUUAGGUCAUAUUGGUGUAAAGCGCAUGAAGAAACUCCAUACCGAUGGACUUUUGGAGUCACUUGACUUUGAUUCACUUGACACGUGCGAACCGUGCUUCAUGGGCAAGAUGACUAAACCUCCGUUCUCCGGAACAAUGGAGCGUGCCAGUGACUUAUUGGAAAUCAUACAUACCGCUGUGUGCGGUCCGAUGAGCGUGGAGGCACGCGGCGAAUAUCGUUAUUUUCUCACCUUCACUGACGAUUUGAGUAGAUAUGGUUAUGUCUACUUAAUGAAGCACAAGUCUGAAACAUUUGAAAAGUUCAAGCAAUUUCAGAGUGAAGAUGAAAAUCAUUGUAACAAGAAGAUCAAGUUCCUACGGUCUGAUCGUGGGGGUGAAUAUCUGAGUUUCGAGUUUGGUGCUCACUUAAAACAAUGUGGAAUUGUUUCACAGUUGACACUGCCUGGAACACCACAGCGUAAUGGUGUGUCCGAACAUCGUAAUCGUACUAUUAGAGAUGCUGCGAUCUAUGAUGUCUCUUACCGAUUUGCCGUUAUCGUUUUGGGGUUAUGCAUUAGACACAGCUGCAUUCACUUUAAAUAGGGCACCAUCAAAAUCCGUUGAGACGACACCAUACGAACUGUGGUAUGGCAAAAGGCCAAAGUUGUCGUUUCUUAAAGUUUGGGGAUGUGAUGCUUAUGUCAAAAAGUUUCAGCCUGAAAAGCUAGAACCCAAAGCGGAAAAGUGCAUCUUCGUAGGUUACCCAAAAGAGACAGUUGGGUACACCUUCUAUCUCAAAACCGAGGACAAAGUGUUUGUUGCUAAAAACGGAGCUUUUCUCGAGAAGGAGUUUCUCUCGAGAGAAUUGAGUGGGAGGAAGAUAGAACUUGAUGAGGUUGUCGAACCUCUCAUUCCUCAGGAUGGUGGCGCAGGGCAAGGGGAAACCCCUAUCGUUGCGACGCCGGUUGAGGAGGAAGUUAAUGAUGAUGAUCAUGAAACUCCGGUUCAAGUUCCUAUCGAACCACGCAGGUCGACGAGACCACGUGCUGCUCCAGAGUGGUACGGUAAUCCCGUUUUGUCAAUCAUGUUGUUAGACAACAAUGAACCUGCAAAUUAUGAAGAAGCAAUGGUGGGACCAGAUUCCAACAAAUGGCUGGAGGCCAUGAAGUCCGAGAUAGGAUCCAUGUAUGAAAACAAAGUGUGGACUUUGGAAGUACUACCUGAGGGCCGCAAGGCUAUUCAGAACAAUGGAUCUUUAAGAAGAAGACGGACGCUGACGGCAAUGUGACCGUUUAUAAAGCUCGACUUGUGGCAAAAGGUUUUUCACAAGUUCAAGGAGUUGACUAUGAUGAUACAUUCUCACCCGUAGCGAUGCUUAAGUCCGUCAGAAUCAUGUUAGCAAUAGCUGCAUUUUUCGAUUAUGAAAUCUGGCAGAUGGAUGUCAAAACGGCGUUCCUUAACGGUUUCCUUAAGGAAGAGUUGUAUAUGAUGCAACCCGAAGGUUUUGUCGAUCCUAAGAAUGCUAACAAGGUGUGCAAGCUCCAUCGAUCCAUUUAUGGACUGGUGCAAGCAUCUCGGAGUUGGAACAAACGUUUUGAUGAGGUGAUCAAAGCAUUUGGGUUUAUACAAGUGGUCGGAGAAUCUUGUAUUUACAAGAAAGUGAGUGGGAGCUCUGUGGCGUUUCUAAUAUUAUAUGUAGAUGACAUAUUGCUGAUUGGAAACAAUGUAGAGUUUUUGGAGAGCAUAAAGGAUUACUUGAAUAAAAGUUUCUCUAUGAAGGACCUAGGAGAAGCUGCUUACAUUCUAGGCAUUAAGAUCUACAGGGAUAGAUCGAAACGCCUGAUAGGACUUUCACAAAGCACAUAUCUUGAUAAAGUUUUGAAAAGGUUCAAAAUGGAACAGUCCAAGAAAGGGUUCUUGCCAGCUUUACAAGGUAUGAGAUUGAGUAAGACUCAGUUCCCAGCAACUGAUAAAGAUAGAGAGCAUAUGAGCACUGUCCCCUAUGCUUCAGCCAUAGGAUCUAUCAUUUAUGCAAUGUUGUGCACUAGACCGAACGUUAGCCUGGCCAGAAGUAUGGCAGGCAGGUUCCAGAGUAAUCCAGGAGUGGAUCACUGGACGGCGGUCAAGAAUAUCCUGAAGUACCUGAAAAGGACUAAGGAGAUGUUUCUCGUGUAUGGAGGUGACGAAGAGCUCGCCGUAAAGGGUUAUGUCGAUGCAAGCUUUGACACAGAUCCGGACGACUCUAAGUCGCAAACCGGAUACGUAUUUAUUCUUAAUGGGGGUGCAGUAAGGUGGUGCAGUUCCAAGCAAAGCAUCGUAGCUGAUUCUACAUGUGAAGAGGAGUACAUGGCUGCCUCAGGUGCGGCUAAGGAGGGUGUCUGGAUGAAGCAGUUCAUGACGGAUCUUGGAGUGGUGCCAAGCACACUGAAUCAAAUAACCUUGUUCUGUGACAACACGGGUGCCAUUGCCUUAGCAAAGGAACCACGGUUUCACAAGAAGACCAGACACAUCAAACGACGCUUCAACCUCAUCCGCGACUACGUCGAAGGGGAGGACGUAAAUAUAUGCAAAGUGCACACGGAUCUGAAUAUAGCACACCCGCUGACUAAACCUCUUCCACGGGCAAAGCAUGAUCAACACCAGAACUGUAUGGGUGUUAGAUUUAUUACAAUGUAAUUCGCAUGAUGAUGUGAGGGCUAGAUUAUUGACUCUAGUGCAAGUGGGAGACUGUUGGAAUUAUGCCCUAGAGGCAAUAAUAAAUAUAGUUAUUAUUAUAAUUCCUGUAUCAAGAUAAUCGUUUAUUAUCCAUGCUAUAAUUGUAUUGAAUGAAGACUUAUAUACAUGUGUGGAUACAUAGACAAAACACUGUCCCUAGCAAGCCUCUAGUUGGCUAGCCAGUUUAUCAAAGAUAGUCAGGGUCUUCUGAUUAUGUACAAGGUGUUGUUGCUUGAUACUGGAUCACGUCAUUAGAAAAAUCACGUGAUGGACUAGACCCAAACUAAUAGACAUAGCAUGUUGAUCGUGUCAUUUUGUUGCUACUGUUUUCUGCGUGUCAAAGUAUUUGUUCCUAUGACCAUGAGAUCAUAUAACUCACUGGCACCGGAGGAAUGCUUUGUGUGUAUCAAACGUCGCAACGUAACUGGGUGACUAUAAAGAUGCUCUACAGGUAUCUCCGAAGGUGUUCGUUGAGUUAGUAUGGAUCGAGACUGGGAUUUGUCACUCCGUGUGACGGAGAGGUAUCUCGGGGCCCACUCGGUAAUACAACAUCACACACAAGCCUUGCGAGCAAUGUGACUUAGUGUAAGUUGCGGGAUCUUGUAUUACGGAACGAGUAAAGAGACUUGCCGGUAAACGAGAUUGAAAUAGGUAUGCGGAUACUGACGAUCGAAUCUCGGGCAAGUAACAUACCGAAGGACAAAGGGAAUGAUAUACGGGAUUAUAUGAAUCCUUGGCACUGAGGUUCAAACGAUAAGAUCUUCGUAGAAUAUGUGGGAUCCAAUAUGGGCAUCCAGGUCCCGCUAUUGGGUAUUGAUCGAGGAGUCACUCGGGUCAUGUCUACAUAGUUCUCGAACCCGCAGGGUCUGCACACUUAAGGUUCGACGUUGUUUUAUGUGUAUUUGAGUUAUAUGGUUGGUUACCGAAUGUUGUUCGGAGUCCCGGAUGAGAUCACGGACGUCACGAGGGUUUCCGGAAUGGUCCGGAGAUGAAGAUUGAUAUAUAGGAUGACCUCAUUUGAUUACCGGAAGGUUUUCGGAGUUACCGGGAAUGUACCGGGAAUGACGAAUGGGUUCCGGGUGUUCACCGGGGGGGAGGGCAACCCACCCCGGGGAAGCCCAUAGGCCUUGGGGGUGGCGCACCAGCCCUUGGUGGGCUGGUGGGACAGCCCAAGAGGGCCCUAUGCGCCAAGGAUAGAAAAUCAAAGAGAAAGAAAAAAAAAGGAGGUGGGAAAGGAGAGAAGGACUCCACUUUCCAAUCCUAGUUGGACUAGGAUUGGAGGAGGACUCCUCCUCCCUUGGUGGCGCAGCCCUUGGGGCUCCUUGAGCCUCAAGGCAAGCCUCCCCUCCCUCCUCCUAUAUAUAUGGAGCAAUUAGGGCUGAUUUGAGACAACUUUUUCAAGGCAGUCCGACCACAUACCUCCACGGUUUUACCUCUAGAUCACGUUUCUGCGGACCUCGGGCGGAGCCCUGCCGAGAUAAGAUCAUCACCAACCUCCGGAGCACCGUCACGCUGCCGGAGAACUCAUCUACCUCUCUGUCUCUCUUGCUGGAUCAAGAAGGCCGAGAUCGUCGUCGAGUUGUACGUGUGCUGAACGCGGAGGUGCCGUCCGUUCGGCACUAGAUCGUGGGACGGAUCGCGGGACAGUUCGUGGGACGGUUCGCGGGGCGGAUCGAGGGACGUGAGGACAUUCCACUACAUCAAUCGCGUUCACUAACGCUUCUGCUGUGCGAUCUACAAGGGUACGUAGAUCGGAAAUCCCCUCUCAUAGAUGAACAUCACCAUGAUAGGUCUUCGUGCGCGUAAGAAAAUUUUUGUUUUCCAUGCGACGUUCCCCAACAGCAUCCUUGUCGAUUUGCUGCGCGAUAAGUUUCCCCAUGUCGCAUUGAGAAGAUUAUAUGGAAGGUUUGGAACCCUAGCCCAUAGACUGAGACGAUCGAACUGUACCUCAUCGGGCCGCAUGCAGUCCCUGAACUCUGCUAAGAUCACCGCGUUUUUGCUGAUAUGCCACGGGGAUCCAUCCCAGACCCUAUCCCGAUCUCGACGGGAUUCGAAUUCUGCAACAAAGGUGUUCUCUCCCAUAGAUCGGAAUUGGAGUCCUCUUGGGUUUCCCCAAGCCGGCCGAAGUGCAUUGGUGAUGGUCUGGAUGUGAAGGAGAUGUCGAUGUAGAACCCUACCCGCCAAUAGCCACUUCUCCGGAUUGCCUUCAUCCGUGUCAUUGAUCACCAACGGAGUCGCUUCCUCGUCGGUGAUCCCAAGCUUCCCUAGCAGUUCUUUGAGCAAAGCCCUAGCCGUCCGAGGGGAGGCUGGGUCUGGCCCCCGACCAGCGCCGCUUGCAGAUGUCGCCAUCUCCUGGCGGAGUCUCCGGUGCGCUCCGCCGGAAUAUUCCCGCGAGCGCCGUCUACGUCGCCGAAACCCUAAUCGCCAGAGCUAGUUAGGUUUUCGCGAAAACUUGGAUCUAUCUCCAAGGCUGUACAAAUUAGCUAUAAGAUGACUUAUAGCCAGCGGUUGGCUAUACUAUUAACCAUGCUUUAAUCUACAUACAACUUUCCUCUCUCUCUUCAUUUAUUUAUUGUCACAUCAUCAUAUAUCCUACGUAACAAAGUUUACCAACAACUAUCGUAUAUCCAUUAAAGAUUGACCUUACCGCUGCCAAGCAAGCAAACACGACUGCAGAGAAACCUGCCGAGCGAGCCAAGGCAAAGCAUCCAGAACCAUGUCCUGGUCCAAGGCGGACGAGCUCCGGCGGCGUGCAGGCAAGUAGUGGCUAUGGAUCCAGACGGGAUCCAGGAGCAUCUCGACCACCCGAUCCGGCGAACCGACGCCACAGCCGUCCGUCCCCACAGGACCCCGGACACGCGAGGCUGACUCACAGAGCACGCAGCCCUCAACCCCGCUGGGUCCCGCUGCCACGUGGCACGAAACAGCAAGCGUCCCAAUUGGGCAUCCUGGCCCGCAUGUCAGAUCCCGGCACACGGCCGCUGCCGGCAGCUGCUGACUCGCUGCGCCCAUCCCAAGACGCCAUCUCGGUAGUACGUACCUAAAGAAAAUUAGACGCCAUCUCGGUCGCGUCCAGAAGCCGAGAACGAGCCUUCUCCGCGUAUUACUACUAUUUACGCCGUCCAUGACAUGUGGGGUCGGCAGCGAGAACCCCCACAUGCCAUGGAGACCAGCUCGUUCUUACCCGAACACGUUUUAAUUAAACCCCGGGGUACACGCGACCGCACGUCGCCCGAGCGUCCAGUCCCGCCCGCUGCGAGCCCUACUUCCCUCCCCCACGCACCGUACGCCCCAGCGCCACUGACACCCGGGGUCCGCGAGGUAAGGCCCCACCUGCAGUCGUUAAAAAAUGGCCGCCGCGUGUGCCUUUAAAAGCAAAAGGCCUCGUCUCCUCCUCGCCACUUACCACUUCUUCUCCCUCUCUUCGUCUUCCUCCUCCCAUUCUCGCGUACACAACGAGAUAACGUGUGAGGUUUCUCGGGGAGAGCCAAGCGACCAGCCAUGAUGGAUGCGGCCGCGGCGACGAUGCUGGAGGCCGGGGUGNNNNNNNNNNNNNNNNNNNNNNNNNNNNNNNNNNNNNNNNNNNNNNNNNNNNNNNNNNNNNNNNNNNNNNNNNNNNNNNNNNNNNNNNNNNNNNNNNNNNNNNNNNNNNNNNNNNNNNNNNNNNNNNNNNNNNNNNNNNNNNNNGGUGGUCGUCGGGUGGCGGCGCGAGCACGCGGCUCGGAGGCGGCAUCGGCCCCUCCGUGUCCUGCCCUCCGCCGAGUGAAAAAAAAAGUUUGGAACGGAGAGCUGUAGUAGGUGUGGCCGUGCGUGUGAAUGUGAAUAUGCCUGGCGGAGAUGCCGAUCCCCGGGCAAGCGGGUGAUUGCUAGGGGUGGUUAGGCCCCGGGUAGGCGGUGUUGAUGAUGAUUACUAUUCAAACUUUGCUUAUCUGGAAAGCAAGAUCGGCUCCGCUCCUGCGUUGCGGUUGGGUCAAUCUUCGUUUGUACCGAUAUUCUUUUGAGACGGAAAUGCUCGAUUGCGCAUCGAUCGCUCCUUCUCACAAAAUUUCCAAUGUUGUGGAAAGCUGUUAGUACUGCUGCUCCUUUUCGGUGGAUUGUAUCGAUGUUAAUAAAACUACGUUAUCCAUUGAUCCAUCUCCUUAAUAUUUCCCAUUGUUUGCAUUUGGUUGUGUACAAUAUACAUGCACUGUACUAGCUCAGCUCGUCAAGAACUACGCAUUAUGUGCUCAUAGGCAUUCAAGAUUACUUACCACGUUUACCACGCGGUCGUCGAACACACACGUCGAUCGAUUGACUAAGCAGAAUUGUCACCCUUGACAGCAAUUCACAAAUUUCCACCUGGUCCGGCCCAAACCCUAUUCAGCAAUCAAGCUAGUUUCCUAGCAGUUUCUCCAAGCUUAUCAGAGGACGCAAAUUACGUGUAUAAGGCACAGGUAGUUUCGACGAUUUAACCUUGGAUGAUCGAUUGCGUUCGUUGACCAUUACUAAGAGUCAAGUCCAUCAUCAUUAUCGCCGCGUGAGAAUUCCAUUAAACCUUUUUAUUCCGCUUUAUUGACCAGCUGUCAGUGUUCAUCCAUCAUGGGCACUCACACACGAGACGGGACACGCCCACGAAACAAAUCCCCGUCAGCGAACAACUUCGUCAAGUCCAUUAAACUGGCCUUUCGAGCGCAUCCAUCGCUUUCCAAUCAACUCUGGCCAUCAACUUCAACCGACGGUGCACGAGACACACAGCUUGAGUUUUUCGUUUUGGCUUUUCU
RNAcentral lists this long non-coding RNA (169964 nucleotides) under Hordeum vulgare. Its description in RNAcentral is "long non-coding RNA (HVUL_LNC012955)". Lineage: Eukaryota; Viridiplantae; Streptophyta; Magnoliopsida; Poales; Poaceae. The record is from RNAcentral.